UUUUUCUCUCCUCUUGCUAACCCACAAUCCAAAAGCAAACCAAAGAAUUAUGGCAUGGAAUCUCUCAAAUUACAAAUAAUCAGAUCUAGAGUUAUUAUUGUAGAGGACGAAGUAGAAGCGAAGGAGUGUCCGAAUUGGGGUAUGGGCAUAUGGAAAGAUGGAGCUUCAGUAAGAAUACGUUCUCCUUCUCCGUCUUUUUUUACUUCUAUUUCUAUUUGAAUUUUCUAAACGUUUUCAGCAGACGAGUCUUACUAAAAAUCAUGUUUUGAUAUAAGAGAGAUAUGUUCAUCUUUUUCUCUUAAGUAGCUAAACUAUUCAUCUUUUUCUCUUGAUUUUUUAGUUUGAUCUUCAGAUGUUGAGNNNNNNNNNNNNNNNNNNNNNNNNNNNNNNNNNNNNNNNNNNNNNNNNNNNNNNNNNNNNNNNNNNNNNNNNNNNNNNNNNNNNNNNNNNNNNNNNNNNNNNNNNNNNNNNNNNNNNNNNNNNNNNNNNNNNNNNNNNNNNNNNNNNNNNNNNNNNNNNNNNNNNNNNNNNNNGUUAGUGUGGUGUGUGACGUUGGCAGGCGCUUGAAGUCUUUGGGAUGGCGGUUGCAUUAAUCUAUUUUCUGUACAAGUUAGCGAGAAGAAAAUUACAACAGGAUUAACCAGAGACAUAAUCGAAAUUCUAUUGUCAAUCUUUUACUCUUUAUUUAUGAGAGAUAGGUUUUAUUUUUCAAAAAAAGGUAAAUUACCUUAUUUAAGAAAAUACUAAAUUGAGAGUGAUUUUAGUUUUAUUAAUAGCCUUUCACUUUUUUCAUAUUUCUAGUGGCAUUUGUUCUAAUUUAAGAGUUUUAAUUAGAUUAAUAUGUCAUUUUUUAUCCAAACUCAUGGUGAUUUCAUAUCAAAAUCACCAUGAGACCACAUGUGGUGAUUUCAAAACUCUAUCAUUUUUAAAAAUGAAACAAGGGAUUUUGUCCAAAUCACUUGAGCUCACCGAUUCUCUUUCAAAUCCCCCUCUAAAUACAAAAAUCAAACGGCCGUGCUGUUUUGUUAUCAAAUUGAUUUUGCUGUAAAAAAUUUAUUCAUAGGUUGUUUUUAACACAAUUGACUUAAUUGAUCAAUAAAUCAAACAUAAUCCUAACAAUGUUAACUUAUAAUUGAGAAUAAAAUUGAAGGAUUUUUUCCCUAACAUCUAAGGGUUUUUUUCCCUAAAUCCUUACGAGUGUUGAAACUGUUUGAACGCCGCCGUCUUCAAAGUUCCUCUUCAUCAACUCUUGUUGCCUGCCUCCAUCACCACAAAUCCAUCACCAUCUCCUCGAAAUCUACCGCCAAAAAGCCUCUUCAUUAGCUUGCAAUCCGCCGUCAUACAUUCCCUUGCUCAUCGCCUCCGACUCUCCUUCAUCUUUAAGGGUUCUCCAUUGCCGUCGCUUAUCACCCGAAUCACUCGUCGGUUUCCAUCACCCGCUCUAUAGUUCCUUCAUCAUUGUUUCGGACUCUGCCGCCAAAGGAUCACAUCACCAGCUCGCUUCCCGCUACCAAACUAUUGAGGGCCAUCAUCACCAGCUUGGUUCUCAGCCGCCAAACAUCCUCUUUGCUCGCCUACACCAUCUACAUAUAUCACCACAACCAAACACCCUCAGUGCUCACCAUUCUUUAGCUAAGCUCUGCAUAAUAGAAGCCCAGAUGCAAGGGCUAUUGCUAGUGGCGAUCGAAAGGGGCUAGACAAACCAGAAGCGGUUGUCGAAGACUAUUCCAUGUAUGUGGUGGGAGAGUUCCUCACCGAUCGCUCCUUCAAUUACGACUCUACCAUCACAACCGUAGUACAGGCAGGUUAGCCUUCGGCGGCCUUCCCAUCGGCAUAAAUCACAACGACACUGCGGAGGCUGGUCACCUUGCGCAGAGACAACGACUGACGGCCAUUGUUUUUUCCGGCACUCAUUUUCUUUCGCUCUAUUAGACUACCUUUUUAAAUUUUGUUUUUGAUUUUGGUUGCAUUGUCUUUUCGGAUGAUUUCAAGUUGUUUUUGUUUGAUUUUGGGUUUUGUCAAGUGUCUGGGUUUGCUGGUUUGGUACUAAUUUGCCAGGAGAAUAAGGAAAUAGGUCAUGUCAUCUUUUUUGUGACGAUCGCGGGUCCAUGUAUUACUGGUGUGGGUUUACAUGUCCCAACUAGACUUGUAAUGAUUUGAACUCUUUGUAAUCGCAGCGUCAGCAUUAAUAAGAUUGAUCAGACUAUUACUUUUUUCGUAAAAAAAACAAACCAGUGGAUUGCAAAUUGGAUCAACCCAUCCAAAAAAACAUGAGACGAUAUAAUGUGAUAAUUAUCAUAACAUUGACAAACUAAUAAAGUGAACAUAAAAAUGACAUAUUACACUAAUAAAGUGCACUCAUAAGCAUUCCUAUGACAUAUUUACAAACUCUUAAUGUAGACAUAAAAAUGACAUUAUCGUUUCAUAAUGUAGACAUAGUUGUGACAUAACCUUUUCAUAAGAAGGACAUAAGGAUCAUGUAAUUUAAUUGACUCGUAAAACGGACAUAUCAGUGACAUAAUCACUACAAAAAAACAAACAUAUAAGUGACAUAAUCAGUACAAAGAAUUAGAUACCUAACAAUGACAUAAAUAACACCUAACAACGGGUGUGUACGCUACUAGGAAUAUUAACCGCAGACACUAAUUUAUUGUUAGAAUAUUCAAUGCUAGGCCCAUCUAACAGCGACCCAUAAACCGUGGUUAGAAUGAAUAUCCUAACUGCAGAUAAGUGACCGCCUGUUAGAAUUUUGCCUAAGAGUAGCUGUUUGGCCGCUGCUAGAUUAUGACCCAUCGUUAAAAAAAAAAACCAACAAACACGAAAACUUCAUAUGACUACACCAAAUCAAAAAAUCAUCUGCUAUACUCAUACCUAAACUGUUCCUGGAUGAGAAACAAAUGGCAGACCUGGUGAUAUUAAGCACAUCUGUUACGAAAAAUUUACACAAAAAAUUAAAUCUAUAUAUCUUCUUCUAUACGAUCUUCUUCUUUUCUCUUUGUUCCUCAUCUUCAAAUCCUACCUUCAUCUUCAUUCAAUCUCAGUAACUUAUCCAUAAAAAAACUGAAUCAGAAAACCAGAUCUUUAUUUGAAGGAAACAAACAGAAAAUCAAAGGCAGUUAAAAGAUUGAAUCUACUACAAACCUUGUUUUAUUAUCGUUCCCACACCCAAUCGACAUGCUUUCAAUCAUCUGACCCCUAUUGAAAUCGAUAGGGCCAUAGAUGAUAAAGGAGAUUAAGAACUCAAGAAUGGAGAGAUCUUGAAAUUAGAUUGGUCCAUUACCCCGUCAGCGCGGUUCUAUCCAGAUGUCCGAUCGAAGAGAAAUAAACCAUCUAACUACUUCUACUCUACCAUUCAUCGCCAUUGCAAAGUUAUGAAGAGAGAGGAAAGGAAAGUAAUAAAAAAACUGAACUGUUAUAAAACGUCAUAGAUUUUACUGUCAAACGUCCUAUUAUUUAAAUUUCAUACGUCAAAUUACGUGAAUGCCCUUCGAAAGGCCUCUUUAAAUACACAUAACAGCGGUCGAAUCAAACACACUUCCUAGUUUUCGUAAACUUUCUACUCUCUAAAAUUAAUCCCCGAAACCACCCACCCACCUAAUUAAUACUUGAUAAUUAAAUAAUUAAUCGUUUAGUUUUUCAAAAUUAAUAAUUAAGGUUAAUUUACUAAUUAAUCGUUUAGUUAUGAUUCCGACGGCAAUGACAAGCAGAUCCCGUCGGGCGGUGAUGGCGAUGAUGAUGACGAUUGUGAUGCCUCGUUUCACCCUUUCUUGCUGGAUAGUGCACGCUCGCGGAAGAGACCUACUGAGAGAGGUGCAACCGCUCUAUUUGGUUCUGGAGCGGGUAUUAGAUCAUCUCGUGGGUCGCAGGGCUCGUCUACUAUGGGCCUUAGACGUGGGAGAGGAGCACGUUCUGCAGUGGUCCACUCUAGCAGCACCGUUGUACCAGUGUGAUGGAUGGGACGAGUUCGUUGACCGGGCGAGGGAAUACUACGAGGUCGUUGAGAGCAUGCGAGGGUUGAGUCUCAGUAUGCUUCGUAGCGGCUCGUUUUCCAUUGUACUACUAUAUUGUACUUUCAUUCAGAUAUUAUCGUAACUUGUACUUAUGUUGGGAUUGUAUUUUCGUAACGCUAACAAUAUCGUAACUAUUAGUUAUGUUGCACUAUGAUUGCGGGAAUUAUCUAGUGGACAUUCAUGUUUUUUUAACUUCUGUUAGUGGUUCAAUACAUCACUUCAUUCAUCCCAACAUUUGCAUCCUUAGUGAGUCAAGAGUUUUCAUAAAUAUAUAUUCAAUACAUAAUUCAAAUGCGUACAAAGAAACAUAGACACUGUAAGUCCCUUAAUCUGAAACAUCGAAUACAUCCUCAACUCCGAGGUUGGGGGAGUUCGGUUUAUGCACCACACGCCCCCAAGAUCGCGGAACAACUACAGUUCAUCCUUGUAUAUGUCAUGCCACAAUGCUGUGCGAGUCCCCCCCCCGCCCCUUCCCAAACCGGAUGGAAAGACGGCAUCGACCUGACCCCGUCCACCUCGGCCAACUGGAUCAAUCCUGGCCGUCGCCGUUGACUGCCGACGACGUAGUCGGGCUGUCGGCGUUGACCGCAGAAGCCGUUGUCGAGCGGUCGGCACACUGUCCAUAGUUUUAAUACCUCGGCGGCGGUACGGCGGCGGAGGGGUCCGACGGCGCCGAUGGUUUUUUAAUGUUCGUUUGAAUGAGAUGUGAAAGUUUUUUGAAUUUUCGCGUCUUACAAAGAAUUUCAUUCUACUAUUGAAGGGGCGUUCAUGUUAUUUUCAUUAUCGAACUUAAAUAUUGCGACAAAAAAAAGAUAAGUCAUGGGAGGAAAGGGGAAGAAACGUUAAAUGAAAAGAAAGAUGGACGAGAACCACAAAUAGGUGUGUUUCUUUGAAUUUCAAUCUAAUGGUUGUGACUAAAUGAGAUGCAAUCCACGUCUUCAAUUGAGAGCCAAUGAAAAAAAGUAUUUAGUUAAAUAAAAGAGUAAAUGUUGGCCAGCUGUAAUAUGCGCUUGAACAUUAAUUCUAAGAGCAGCAACACAUACAGCCGCGAUGAAAUGGAAAAGUUUAUGAGCGGGAAAACGGGCCACUGUUAGGAGUUGUUAAAAUAUUUUAAUUGCGAUUUGUGUGGCCGCUAUUAGAAUGCUGCUGUGAGGUGGGCUUCUUUUAGUGAAUGAACAUAUAAGAGAGACACAAUAAUGAUUUAACAGAUUCAUUAAAUGGAUAUAAUAAAAAAGAACUGGUCUAAUAAUAACAUAAAUGGUCAUAGCACCCAAUUAGAACCGAUAUUUCCUUUCAUUUAAGACUUUACUUAUGUGGAUUAUUUUAUAAUAUUAAAAUUUUAAUUUUUUAUAAAAUUAUAUCAAAAUUAUUUUCGUUAGAUUUGAAAGAUUAAAAUAAACAACAUUUAUGGAGUAAACAUUAUUUUUGAACAUUUUGUUAAUAAUUAGAGUGAUUGAAUUAAGAUUAGGAAGAAGGGAGAGAGGGAGAGAGAAAGUGACAUAAACUAAAAGAAAUAAAAAAAUAAAUAUUCAUUUCCCGUACAUUUUAGUUUUGAAAAGUUUUGCUGUAUAGAUACGAUUAAAUAAAAAAUUAUGUGAACAGUCAAGUUGAAAUUUAAAUUUCACAACAUGGCAAUUAUGAGAACAUAUAAUGUGCGUCGCACCCCAAAAUGUGUGACGCUUCUUAGGGUUGAUUCAACGGCUAUAUUAUAACGGUUGUUUCCCUCACCGUUAGAAUUUAGCCGUUGGAUCUCCCCUGGGAAGCGACGCGCAUCCUAUAGAGCGCCGUGCAUUGUAAGGGGGAGAUCCAACAGAUCUUUUCCCACCCUAUAUAAUCUGUGCAGUUUGGGUGAAACAACUCUCCUACCAAUUUCUAUAUUUCUACCAGUUUGGGGUGAAAGAACUCACCCCUCCUAUAAAAUGUCUUCAAGUCGUCAUUCUCACAACAUUAUGCACAAGUUACGCCGCCACAAUGAGUCAAAAGACUUGUUCAUCUAUAACAGAGAAGAAGUGAAAUGCGAUUGCGGGUUACGUGCAUCGAGAUUUAUGACGCCGAGGUUCGAGAAACCUAUUCGACGUUAUAAAAUAGUCACUAUGUAAGUACUAAUAAGUAAGGAAUCUAAAACACUAUGCAAUUAUUAUUAUUCUCUAACAUAAUACUAAACAAGUACUAAUAUUAUCUAACACUAGAUAAUUAUUAAUAUUAUCUAACUAGGAAAUUAUGAUAAUGGUACCUUCCUGAUUAUUGAAUAUAUCACCGACACGAUGUCGGUUGCAAUUUGCCCCAAAGUAGUUCUCCAUCUAUCGGCUCAGGCUCGACACACGGGGUGUUGGUCUAUAAAAGUAAUCCACCCUACAACAAAACAAAAUAUUAGUAUGCAACAAAAGUAAAAAAUUACAAAUUAAAAAAAAAAGAGAAUUACCGACUAGUUGGUUGCGGAACGUGUACUCGUUGUCGGUAUCGGAAACCUAAGGAAGGAAGGGAUGAGAAAGAGUGAGUUGGUGUGGAAUGAAGAGGAGGGGAUGGGGUAUUUAUAGAUCCGCUGGAGGCAUACUAUAGCAUGCCGCGCAUCCUAGGAUGCAACACGUGUUAUAGGGUGCCUCCAAUGGCUAUAUUGUAAUGAUCAUGUGGUAACACCUUAGGAAACUCUCAUAUCAACAAAGCACAUGAAAUAUGCAUGGGCUAUAAGUAACAAUCCGUCUCUAACUAACAACAUCCAUUUUCAAGGUGAAAUGGAGGAGUUCUUGUAAGAACUCUGAAGUUAAUCGUGCUCGGGUAGGAGCACUGUUGAAUGAGUGACCUCCUGGAAAGUCAUUGUUAUGCACCCGAAAGAAAAUUUGUGAGGACCUAGACCGUAAGUGGACAAUAUCUUGUCGAAAAGGUCGGGGUGUUACAAGUGGUAUUAGACCCUCUUCGUGUAUGGAAAACCUCAGCAAGGACGUUGAGUCCCAAGGGGGGGGGGGGGGGGUGUAAUGUAACACCUUAGGAAAAUCCCACAUCAACAAACCACGAGAGAGAUUCAUGGGCUAUAAGUAACAAUACGUCCCUAACUGACAAGACGCAUUUUCGAGGUGAAAUAGAGGAGUUCUUGUAAGAAGUCUGAUGUUAAUCAUGCGCAGUUGGGAGUACUGCAAAAUGGGUGACCUCCUAGGAAGUCACAAUUAUGCACUUAAAAGAAAAUCCGUGAGGAUGUAGACUUAAAACGGACAAUAUCUUGUAGGAAAAGGUCGGGGUGUUACACAUGUAACAACCGUUAUAAUAUAGUCGUUGGAUCAACCGUAGAACGCGUCGCGCAUCCUACGGUGCGUCGUGCGUUGUAGGGGGUCCUUAUGACCAUUUGGUGUAACUUAGGUUUCAACUUGAUGAUAUACAUAAUAUUUUAUUUAAUCGUGCCUAAAAAAACUUACUUUUAUUUUUUCGCCUACCAAUUUUAGCCACUCUUUUUACAUUCCAAACUACCCCAAUCAAUAAUAGCCAAGGAAUGAAAAUAUUUCAGAUUGUCAGUUAUAGGAUGUUCCCAUAGAAUCUGCCUCUCAGCUGAAUAGACGAGUUGUCAAUUUAUAGAUACAGCAAAAGUUGAGAGAUGUGUACAAUGGUUUUUUUGAGAGGCAUUUCCUAAUACAUGUCACAAGAGAAACAAGUAACUUGAGUAGUUAAUAUGCUUCGCAUCCUCAAUCUUGAUGACUAAAGUUAGCUACUUAUCUAGAAACGUCUAGAAAGGUCACCAACUAAAACUUCUCUAUAACUUGAUAAUAUCUCUAUAACACGAUCGUGGCGUGCAACAAGUCACGCCCGUGAUUGACAACCCAUCCACUACUCUCCUUAGUAUUCCAUAACUUGAACCAGUCAUUAAAUCAAAAAUCAGGGUGUCACACAAACACCUAAAAAAAUAAAAAACGAGAUAGUUAGGUUUACAGAAAAUCGAACAUGACAUAUCUGUAUAUACUACUAAAGACAUACUCUUCCAUCUACAAAAGUAACAAACAGAAACCAUGCCAAAUUUCCAAAAAUGCUAACAAACACAUAUCCAAACAUAAAAAGUUUUUUGAUGGAUUGUUUCUAUAAAAAGAUCCUUACUAAUUUUUAAUAUAUUGAUUAUGUUUUAUAAUAUUUAAUACUAAAUUUUUUUUUAGGAUUUUGCUCCUCAGUCAUCUAACUUACAUAAAAACCCUCAAUUUCUAACAUCUAACCUAAUUUUAACUUAACUUACUUGAUUGAGUAGGAAAUUCAAGUGCAGGAGUUUGAUGGAGGAGCACAAACGACCAACGACCGGCGGAAAGGAGAAAGAGGAAGGAUGGUUCGACACUACAACUUAUAAGGUUUAGUGUUUAGUGUUGUGAUUAGGAUUUCUAAUAGAGAUUUGUGGUUUCAAUUUAGGGGUUAUUAAUUAGGGUUCUUAGAAAUUUAGGGGUUAUUAGUGUUAGGGUUCUUAGAAUUGCUAGAGUGAUAAUAAUGCAUUGUGCAUGAGUUAUUCUAAAGAAAUUGAGCACACAUAGACUUGCAUUGGGAGGAUGUAAUUCAAGGUUGGUAUAUGUUGAAAUUUGGGGCUUUGUGUUUUGUGUUAAAUUUGGGAAAUCUUGUUUAGGUGAUUUGAAAAGGAAGUUUGUCUAAAUUCAUCCUUCAAACUUUGAUUUUCUUCUACUUAGAGGUUGGUAGUCCUUAAACCAUGUAUGGAAAUGUGUUAAUGUGGUGUGCUUAGAGAUAAGUUUGCUUUAAAAUUUAGUAUAAUGCUUUACUAAUUAACUUAUCUGUUAUAAUUGUGUAAUUGAUAUCUAAACUAGAAUUUGGUAGCUUGAUAAUGUAAUGUGCUUAGCAAUGAGUUUGCUUACAAACGUAGUAGUAUGUGGUGUGCUUGAUUAGAAAUGAGUUUUCUUUAUGCAUACAUUUUAUCUAUAGUCAUUAGUUUUUUAUUGUAUUAUAUGAAUUCAGUCAUGGCAGACGUUAUGGGAGGUAGUAGUGCCAGAGCGAAUGGAGGUAAUGAUGAUCACGAGCGUGAAACGGAGAAGGAGGCUUCAGAGUGGUAUGUGUGUUGCAUGUACGACAUGUAUACUUGCUCUCUAAACUAUUUUACAUCUAAACUAUUUUCCAUCUAAUGUAUUAUGUAUAUGUGUGUGUUUUUAAAAUGAUGUAUUGAUUGUUUCAAUGAAGAUGGUAACCCAUCUAAGGAAACGUGGACAGUUAAAGAGUGGAGAAAUGUUGGGCAGGAUGGGAGGAGGAUUUUCAUCGAGUUGGAUGUGGUUUGAGUGCCUUACAAAUGAUCGGGCCAGUACCUACGAUAGGUGCUUGAGAAGAUCAUCAAACUGGAAUGCUUCCCAUUCAGCCACGACAAUUAGCGAUAUGUGAGCAAUUUGGAAACGGCAUAUUGUAGGUAGCAACUCAUACUGGUAAAUAGAGUAUUUUGUAUCUCUUAUUUAGGAUGUAGGGUAAGUUCUAUAUCAUAAUUGGAGUAUUUUCUAUUCUUAAUAAUGGCUUGUUGUAAAUUCUAUAUCGUUGUAGCCUAAGUUCUAUUGGAGGCCCGAGGAUGAUAAAGAUAUAUGCAAAUAUAUCUCCCAAGAUCUAGGGAAGAAUUGGAGAGAGCACCAAAGGGUGGUUUGGAAAAAAAUCCGUGACCCAAAAAACCCUAGGAGUGUAGCUGAGUAUGUAGCAGCGAAACCUAAUCCCAAUUAUGAAAUCCACAAUCGGGAUAGGUUUUUGAAGUACAAGACGAUAACGAAAGGAGUGAAGAGAUCAACAACUAAUAAAAACAACAGAAAGAAACAGUCAGUUUAUCAAGCAACGGGAUCGAAGCCAUUCAACAUAACGCAACAACAGUUGGUAUGGGAGACCUCUUCCUAGAUUAGCAAGUUAAUUAGUUUCUAAAUUUUAAAGCUAAAAUUCAUGUGUACACGGUUUCAUACGACAAAAAAAAAGAGCCAAUUAGUAGGGGAGAUCUCUUCAUAGAAACUCCCAAGCCGGGUAGGAAGAAAACUUUGUAAGUAUUCCUAGACUUUGUACAAACUUUUUAUGUUCUUUCUAUAUAUAUGCAUUGUGGAAGUACAUUCUUAAUCAUGUAUGUUUCUUUCUUUGUGCAUGCAGAAACAAGUGGAAAGGAAUAUCAAUGAUCCAAUAAUUGAUAAUUCUCAUAUUGGCCAGAAUGAUGCUGUGCCACCCCAAUUUCGGGUUAGUGUCUGACUCAGGAUUUAAUUACGGUUUUUGUAAGUCUCUAUGAUUAGAUGUCAGAUAGUCCAUCAUGGGCGUGAUAGACAGUCUGUCACAGGCGUGAUCAUCAAGUAGAUCACGGUCAUGGUUAGUGAAAGUCACGUUUGUGCCUGAGAGAAGGAUCACGGUCAUGACCAUCAGUAGGCCACGGGCGUGGUGGACAGCUUAUAAAAAUAGAGUCGCAAUUCUAGAGUUCAAAAUUAUAGAAACCUAAUUUCUUUUGCAAUCACUAACGAGCGGCGAUUAGUUCCAGGCAAGGGAGGGGAACUUGUUGAUCGAUCCCAUAUCAGCAAAAGAAAGUUAGACAUCGUCAAAGAAGCUUCAGAAGGUAAUCUACCUUCUUCCUCCUUUCUCAAUCCUUUAUUUUGAAUCCUACGUAGGAAAGUCCUGACGGGUUUGGAUUUGGGGUUUUGGGAUUUCAAUCCUACGUUUGAUCUCAUCCGAUCAUACAGAUCAGGCAAUCAAACUCUAAGGAGACAUCUUUAGAUCUGACUCUUAAGAGGAAAGAUUUCGGAGGUAGGGGUUAGGAUAAUUAUGUGCGUUAGGAAUCAUUGCUUGAAUUUUCAGGACUGUACACUAGUGUACAAUCUACUAUACACAUGAUUAUGAUAUGCAGUUGAGUAUUUUAGGUUGUGCAAUAGCGUGUGAUCUACUCACAGAUAGUAGUUCAUCUUGAGCCUAAGCUCACAACAAGGAAUGUGCGUGUGAUUCACAGUUCAUGAUUCAGAUAAGAAUCAGGACUAGAUAGAUUAGCUCCCAUUAUACGUCGGUCACCCACCCCAUGGAUUUUGCGAUCCCCCAGGUUACAGUCAGACUUCAGAUAGACGUGACGAGCAAGCCUUGAGUUGCUCUCAUAGUAUUACAAGGUGAUUUCAUGGACUGAUCCACCGUGAAGUUUUCCACUCAUAGCUAGGGGUGGCUAACGUUAGGAUGAUGCCUACAGGUCCAAAUGGUCACAUUACUAUAUACUAGUUUAGUUCUUCACCUUUAGGCUUAGCUACUUAGUGUUUAUCGAUGACCCCCGUUACGUUUCUUCACACAUGACCAACCUUGGGACUUCAUGAGCCAUUGCUGCCUAUGAAGGGAGCACGGGCAGCGACACCACCUUUGAGUGACUAUGAGAGUUGCAAAGAGAGGUACCAUGGAGGACCUGAGCUAUCUCUUUCAUUGUUUUUACAGUUUCAGACAGUCUUUCAUGUUUUUCAGUUAUUUUGAAACUCUUAUUUACAGUGGUGGUUUCCAUGUUUGGGAUGUUUUUCGAGUGAUGUUUUGUUGAUGAUUUCGAGCAUUUGAUGCUCUGUUUAUAUCCGCUGUCAUUUCACUUAUGUAUUGAGGAUAUUUCAUAUUAGUUAUUAUAUGUCAAUUAUCAUGUUUAUGUGUUGAGUAAACCUAUGAGCAUUGCAUGGAUCAAACCGCAUGGUUCGAUUGGGUCGUCUCGGGGCGGACUUCAUAGAUGCUGUGGGGAGAUGCUAUAAAGGAAAAGAGAAGCCGUGACGAGUGCCCUAUGUGGGAUUUUCCAAGAAGCCUUCGGUGGUAAGUUUACUAAAACCAUAUAUGUAUGUAGUUAGAAGAAAAAUGCAGUCUAGUGAACUUGACAUGGUUUCUUAGUUGUGUUAGUGAACAUGUUAUGUGAUUGUUAGCCUAUUUGUGACGUUGGCAUGGUUUUCAUUUGCUAAUUUUGCAGUUGGAAGAGUAUGUGCUAGUAUUAUAUACAGAUAUGUCAUGUCCAAUUUUCUGUAAAAUUAAUUAUCUUGUGCUCAUUUUUAAGGUGUUUGGUUCGAGUUCAAGGAACACCAAAGUACUUUCCGUCCUAGAGUUCAAGUCGAGGACCUAGUCAUGCGACUAUUUGCAAAACUUAUGCUUUCGGGCUAUUUGCAAAACUUAAUCUAGGCUUUUUGCAUCAUUUAUCGUUGUUGAAUUUCAUCGAACACCUGUAGUGUGUUCUGCUUGGGUGAAGAAUAGCUCGAGAGAGGAGUCUUUGGUCAAGCAGAAUAGAUCCUUUUAUUCAUGGGAGCAGUCUAAGGUUAUGUGAGAAAAUUCCAAGCCAUUAUAACUUGUUUUAUUGAGAUUGCAUAUCAUUCAUUCUUUCAUACAUUGCUACAUUGCUCGCUUUUCUGGAUUGCAUAUCAUUCUUUAUAUGUUUUAAUUAGUUCUUAGUUUAUAAUUGGUUGCAUUGACAUUUAAAACAAAUAAACCUAAAUUGUUACUUGGUCUAGUUAGUAAAUUAAAGUUGAGUAAUAGAGUUAGGAAGACUCUAGGGAAAAUAUGAUUCCAUUAGUUGAUUCUAGUGGGUAUUUGGUGCAGGGUGAAAUUAGCUUAUCAAAUUUGCGUCUUUGUCGGGGAGGUUUUCAAAUUCUAGGAAAGACAUAGAUUGUUAGCUUUUUCUUCACUUUUCUUUUCAUAUAUUUACUCCCACAUCGUUUACUGGGAUUGUUUGCUUUGAAUUUCAUUAUGCAGGAUUACAACUAGGAUGGAAGUGGCAAGGUUUACGAAGCUACUACCAAACUAAUAAUGGAGGAGAGCAACAAAAAUGGAGCAACUUUGGGCAUGGACCAGAGUCAUAUUGAAUUGAGGACCAAUAUUCUCCACCUUUGUUCCAAGACUCAUCAACAACAUACUACCACCAAAGCUUCAAUGAAGACUGACCAUCCUUUCAUAAUCAAUAUGCAAGUUCUGAUUCAUAUCUACCUCCGCCUCCUGAGAAUACAUAUAAAGAUAUGCUUUUGGAGAAAUUUCUUGCACAAAUGGAUAAGAAUAAUGAAUAGAUGAAGUUUUCUGACCAUAUGGUACAACAAAGAGAGAAAUUUGUCUAUCAACAAAGUGAAGUCUCAAAGAUGACCUGUGAAUUCUUACCACGACUAAUUAAAGAAGAAUAUUCCACAAGUAGAGGUUGAUUACGAAGAUGAAUAUGAUUUGGGAGUAUCAGUUGAAGUAGUAGAUGAAGUGAAGGAAGAUUUACCUUUAUUUGAGGAUGAUCUAGUUGUUCAGGAUGGCAAGUUAGAAGAGUUUGAAAGAGAGAAAGUAUGUUUCCUUCAUAACAACCAAAAUUUCUAUGAUAGGAAGUUUAGAAAAAUUUGAAGAGGAGGAUGAUGAAGAGUUUGUGGAAGAGAUAUGAGAAGAUGUAGAGCCUCUCCAUAAUGAAAUUCAAGAUACCAUUGAGCACUCCAUCAUUUGGCGCUUCCCUCUAAUUGUGGUCCCACCAAGAGAAACUGAGAGCAUUAUUGAUUCUUGUUUGAUUAUGAAGUACUUAUGUCAGGAAAUUUACAAUAAGUGCUUCACACAUAAGAUUAGAAAGUCGUUGUCCUAGAACUAGAUCUACAUUCCCCAGAGGACUUCUCAAGCUACACCAUUGGGUCAUGGAUAGGUGUCAACACAACAUACUACCUCUUCCCUCCACAUUUAGUGGUGGUCAAGAAGAGAAUGCCACUUCAAGCCAUGAACUAGAACUUACAACCACUUCACCGGCUUCUUCAUCAAUUUUUAAGGGUGCUACUUGGCAUUCAACUGCAAUCCUUGGAGAAACUAAUGGAAUUUUAAGGAAGAUCUAAGUUGGACGGUGAUGAAUGCUUUUUACGCAUCUCAAAAUAAUCUGAUUAAUAAAUUAACCAAAGUCAAAUCUCCAUAGGGUCUCUUUAAGUAUCUUACUAAAAGUUGCAACAAGUAUCAAUCGAUCUAAUAAGACAUAUGGUUGAGGUGCCAUGAGAACCAAUCAAACAAUCAAAUUGAAAAAUGAUAACUGCUUUGAAAGUAAGGUUUGUAAGACUGCACGAAUAUGGUUUAGACAAUCAAAGAUGAAGCUGCUUAGAUUUCAAAUCCCCCAAGGCAAUUCAAAUUCACAAAUGACAGCCAAAUUUCACGAAUUAAAACAAAUAAGAUAAAUUCAAAAGAUAAUCACAAUUAUUCUCUACUCAAAUCACGCCCUUUAAGGUCCACUAAUUUGCUACCUAUCUAGUAUCCUAGUCCGCUCUUUUGAGACAAAGAUCUGAAACAUGUCUAGCGAUUAAUCGAAUAAGAAUUGCUCACACAACAGACUAGUUCAUUUGCUCCCGGAUGAGGGUUAUCGUCUAACCUAGUUGUUUUGAUUUUGACUUUCUAGAUAUACAAGCUCUCACGAGUCUAAGAAAAAUCUAAAAAAAAUUCAUUCAAGUUGAUUAGGCAAGAACAUAUCGAAAACGAAAUCAGACAUAUACAGAAAUUCAUCCAACUUGCAUAAAUCGACAAACGUCAUCAAAUCAUUCGUUCAUAAGAAUUAACCUAGGGUUCAUCUAAUCUAAGCAAGAGAAGUUUAACAGCUCAUAAUCUUGAUGGAAAAAUCAAAAUCAGAAGCAGAAGACAUUGAUUCUAGGUUUACACGAAGAAUUAUGAAAACCUUACUUCGCCAAUUUUGAGCUCCUUAAAGUUGCUUCUAAGUCGCUCUUAAAUCUCUCACUAUAGCUCUCAAUUUCAUCCGGGGAAGUAGUUUUUGAAUGAGGGGUGAAAUGCCUUUAAAUAGAAGCAAAAAUUAUUGUUCCUAUCGGCCGUCACACUAUGCACCUUAACUGGUAUGUUUUAGGCGCAUAGUGUGAAAAACUUCCAGAGAAUCCAUGCGCCCAGCCAUCACACAAUGCGCCUAAACUUAGGCGCAUAGUGUGAAAGUUUUAGGCGUAUAGUGUGACAAACUUCCAGGACUAGAGUUGUAGGAAAUUGAACAAGCCUUCCAACGCCGCCAGCCUUGCACCAAUCAGACUUCUGAGCUAGGAUAUAUGGCCAAAAUACAAAAUUGCGAUGUUUUCCAACCAAGUUAAGAUCCACACUCCUUGGCGAUAUAGAAAUGCACCCCAUUGCUUGUCUUAGAUCAUUCAUGCAUGCGGUAUCACUCCGAUUAAUGCCUCGAUGUCAUCAUGUACCUGAAAUCUAACAAAUGGACCUGGACAGGGUCCGAGAAAAUAAAUCGAGAUAAAAGCUUAAAAAGCAUAAAAUAUCCUAAACUUCUACCUAAAACAAUACAAUUAUGCAUGAAAUAUCACUUGAAAAUGAGGGUGAUAAAUGUGAAAAAUCUAGCGUCAUCAAAUAACCCCACACUUAAACUUUGCUUGUCCUCAAGGAAAAAGCUUAUAAAAGCCAUAGAACACACCUACAAUCAAAUCAAAUCAACUACUAGCAUAGCAAAGAAAAUUCAUAUUCCUCAAAGCAUCCCUAACACUUGCUUGACAAACAAGUGAACAUUUAAAAAAAAUGAAAUAGGUAGUAAAGGCUUCACAACAAAUUAUCCAACUUGCCAUACAUCAUCAUGACAUGUUAUACCACCCAUCUAGACUUACUCUCAGCGGAAUUUCAGCUCAAAUAUGAAUCCAAUAAUGAACUCACUCAAAGUGUAUAAGGAGAUUGUUUAUGCACUCAUCAUCAACUCUGAGGUGCGCUUCGAACACUUGCACAUCAUCCUACUUUUACUCAUCACAUCAAGGGACAUCAAGCACUAGUCAAGAGGUCUUUUAUUCAGGUUGUAAUGUGGAAAGAAAAAAAAGAAGAGAAGGUGAAAUGGAAAAGCUGUGAGAAAUCGGAGGGGCAAGAUGCAUGAUUCAUUAAGUCUGUGCUUGACGUUGACACUAACUCUUGAAAAGACACAAAACACACACAAACCAAAAAUAAAAGUAAAAAUGAACCAGGACAAGUGUCCAAAUCCCACACGUAACAAAAUGGAUUUAUGAUUGGAAAAGAAAGAAAAUAAAAAGCUUAAAGUAGAACGAUUAACACUUAAACAUGCGAUUUGACUCAAAUAAAAUGAAAAUACUGGCUCCGGACAUGAGCUACCUCUCAUGAAGCGCUCUUUCUUUAACGUCUUUGAGCUAUACAAAACCUGGAUGAUUAAGUUGGGGCAACCCAACUCAGAACUUAUUUAAGGCUAGCAUCGUUGGUUUUGACAUACAGCUUAUCCGAUCCACUCUGAAGUAGCCACUUCCACUUACCACCAUAAAGAAGCUCCAUUACACCAUCAUCUAUGACGCCGAUAACUUCAAACAGUCUGAACAACUCAUUCUUAUCUACUUUAUCAUCAAGGGGCUUGAUCGGCUGCUUCGUCUCUUUCAAUUUAGGCUUCCCCUUUUUGUUGGUGGACACCAUCUCUCGAUUAACCUACUUCUUUGGGAUCAAUUUCUGCUCUAAAGAUGGGUUGAUAGGUAAAGCAUAAUCAAGAGUGACAACAUGCACUUGCGCAAGGUGUUUUUCCUAUGAUUUAAACUUAGAGGAUGCAAUCAUACUCGAGGUGGAACUAGGUAUCUGAAGGAAAAUCCUCUCUUCUCCCAACCUCAAAGUCAUCCGUCCUGCCUACACAUCUAUAAUGGUACCAACAGUGGCUAAAACAGUCGACCAAGGAUGAGAGGAGUUUGAUUGUCCUCUCUGAUAUCCCUUACCACAAAAUGAACCAGAUAAUAGGUAUCAUACAGAUUCACUAGCACAUUCUCUACCAUCCCUAGAGGACACUUAAUAGACCUAUCAUCGAAUUGGACAUUCAUAUCGAUAGGCAUUAAACUAGAAAGUCCUAAGCGCUUAAACAAGGGAUAUGGAAUGAUAUUUAAAUGGCUUGAAAAGAAAUAACACUAAGAAUCAAUAAAUAUUUUCCAUUUCCAAUCCUCUCACCAAAAGCUUCUUUGAGCGACGAGUGUGUGGUGCAUAAAACACAGCUCUGUUUGCAACAUUCUUCUCAGCUUUUGGUUGCACAUAUGAACAACCAAUUAUAAGAAGAUGUACAUAAUACAAAGAAAAUCUAAAUAUUUCAUUUGCUUACUAAAACAUCAUGUCUCAACUUGUAGUCCACAAAUUGCGUUCAUAUCUGUUGAGGAAUCUACUCAGGCUUGGCUGUAAUACAAGCUGCUCUAAAAGCUUGUGCAGAGAGUGGUUUUGGGAUGUGUUUAUUUUUCAGCACCUGGUCUUUCCAUAUCCGAACUCGAUAGUCUCUCCAUUUCUUCACAAUGUCAUCCAUGAUAUACAUUUUAGCCGCUUCAAAUGUUGUAUCUGAUUCAAUUAUGAUCCGGUUCGGCAAUUAAACACAAAUUUAAGUUAGUAAAAAGUGUAAUGUAAAUGACAAAUUCAUAAAAAAACUAUUACUUACCAUAACCUUCGCUAGUGCUACUUCCUUCUGUGUCACACACAUGGCCAUCCAUCAUAGUACACGAGAAUAAUGUGUUGAUCCGUUACAAUCAUCCCACGAAACUGAAGAAAAAGACCAGCAACAUCCGUCGCGUGGGGCAAACCACCUUGAAAUGGAAUGAUGACCUUCAUUCCAACAUCAAGGGAGAGCAUCCGCGCGCUAUCAAUAAACCUCCUCUCCCUGCCAUCCUCAGGAGUAAUUACUUCAACAUCCCAAGUCUUCCAGUUUUCUGCCAUCCUAUCUGGAAAAAUAAUUAACAAGUAAUGUAUACAAUAAUAUGAUACAAAUACACAUGAAUAUGCAUUAUAUCAUUACAACAACCCAUUAUAAAAUACAAUCCUCAAACUCUGAAAUAACACCAACGCUACAUAAUGAAAAAGAACUGGAAUCAAAAGACAAAAAGUCUUGCGUUUCAAAAACCUCGACUUCAGACAUAGUACUCCCUUAUCUAUCACGUAUAUCAUAUUAAUAUCUUGGUUUCAUAUGUACUGGGAUGCACCAUCCAUUGUGUCCUUUAUCUUGGACAUAAUAUACCAUUUUGCCUCGUUUGCUUCAAUAAAUGGCUCAUUGCCUGCAUGUUCGCCAGUGUACAGAAUGUGUGAGAAGUUAAUGGAAGUUAAGCCAAACACAUCUUUCUUCGCAAAUCUAGAAUUCUGAGUGUUGGCCCAUUGACACUUGAAUAACACUACAUAAAAUUCUUCAUAGUAAUUUAGCUCCAUAAUAUCAACCAACUUGCCAUAAUAUGACAUUUCUCCUGCUACAGGUCGAUUAUCCACCGAACAUGCAUAGCAUUGGGUUCCAUAGUUUCCAAACACACCACUAUUUUGAGUCUUUUAUAACUUUUCUUGUGUAAGUGUUCGAAAUCGAUAACCAUUAACAUCAUAAGCACUAGAUUCCACAAAUUGAUUAGGAUUCUAAUCGAAUCAUUUUAACCGCUAGCCUACAGCUUAUCUCAUGAACCAAUUCCGACUAGUAUCCUUAAAUCACAAUCUAGCAGCCAAUUUAUCUAAGUAAUCUACUAGGUACUGAUAAGUCAAUCAGUUUUAAAAAUAAUUUGACUAAAAAACUAAUACUUAAAGUAGGUGAUAACUAACAAAUGGAAUAAUAGUAAUAAUAAUAUUCAUAAUAAUACCAAUAGUUCUUCCAAACAAUUUAUUGUUAGGAUUGGGGUGUAACAGACUUCACAAAGUUCUUUCCUUUUUUUUGUUCAAGUCGAGGACCCGGUCGUGCGAUAGUUUGCAAAACUUAUACUUGCGGAGUUUGAGAAGCCGAGUGGUACUCUCUCCCCCACUUUGUAGGAGAUGGCUAAAGUGUUGAAGCUUCUAGAAUUGUACCGAGAUCAUCCUGAUUUGUACCUCAGUCAUCAAGAUCAUCGAUAACUUACAGAGGAAAGCGUUAUCCAAAUAGUAGCCCACCCACUGAGAAGGAGGAGGAUGAUGAUGAUGAUGAAGACGAGUAGCCCAAUAGAUCGAUUGGUGGCUAUAUCAUGUAGGUACUGUUCAAUUGACAAACCUAUGCUAUGUUAUUAGUUUUUUCCUUUCAAAUGAUGUAGUUAUGGUUAAAUUUGGAUGAUAUAAAACUAUGUUUGUUAUUUCUACGUCUUUAUUAUCAAUUUUCCCAAACAAGAAAUCUCCACUACGUUUUAGGACUGAAUGUACUAAAAAUAUAGCUGUUGUAGUUUGUAACCACUGUUAAUUUAACCAAUAAGGGUUAAAUGCGUAUUUUAAUUUCUUAAAUAUUUUUGGGAUAUUAUAAGUGAAAGCAUCCUUCAUUCGGUGAUUAAAAACUAAACUGAAAUAACUUUACCAAUAAGGUUCGAAAUCCCAAUCAUAACACAACAAAAGGAGAUGCAACUCUAGUUCUGAAAUACAUCGAAAACAUAUAUCAUCUAGUAUCAAAACCCCGAACAGCUCUCUCCCCACCAUCAACUCGAGUACAUGUGUCUGAAAAUACACAGAUACACCAAGGAAACUAAUAUCUAAUGGGGUCUGUGAUAAGCACACGAGUGGCUAUCUAGAUUCACGUAGAACUGAGACUGAAACUCAACAAUGAUGAGAGUGAACUGAGGAUAGAACAUAGGACUCUAUCUAAACAUACAUCUAGUAAAGUGACUAUGUGGUCCCGAUAUGAAUCUACCUACCAUCAACAACCCCUAACUGUGUGUGAAUGGGCUCAUGGUGGAUCCGACCAUGAAACCUCCCUAAAAUAUCGCGUGAGUAACAUCAGUAGGCGUACUCAACAUGUCCUUCCUGAGCCUGAUUAUAACCUGGGCGGUUGCGCAAUCCAAGGGUGGGUGACUAAUGCAUCAUAAUCAUGAACUAGUAUAUAUAUGCCUAUCUUGUCCUAUCAUGAAAUGUGAAUCAAUUGCCACAGUUCGAACGCCAAGAGCUUAUGCUCAAAAUUUAAUUAAUGUAUAGUAGAUCAAACACUACUAUACAGUUCUGAGAGCCCUCGCAUCAAAUCACACUGGGAAUCCAAUCAUUAGAUUUCUGCAAUCUAUUACAGUUCUACGCUUAUAAGGAGAAAAGUAACCCUAAACCCCCACCUCUAAUUAGCUUUCCCAGUUGAGUCUGAUCUGAAGCUGCCUUCCCAGAGCUCAAGCCUCCCGUCCUGAUUUACCUAAAGAGAUCAAUCAUAGGAUUGACAUCCCAAAAUCCUGGCUGUCAAGUUUUCCUACGUGGGUUUCAAACUAUAGAAUUAAGAGAGAAAGAAGAAGAUUGAUUACCUUCCCAUGCGUCCCCUAGCCUCUCUUACCCUCUAUCCUUGAUCCUGGCUGAUCAGCUCUAUCUUCUCCUCUUUCAUCGAUCGCCUUCAUCUCCUGGGAGAGACUCGCCGCCCGUAGGUUUCUUUUUGUUUUUGAAUUCUGAGUUGCAUGUCGUGAUUUUGGCUUUUAUAAUAACUCCACCAUGCCCAUGAUGAACUUACCACAACACCUAUGACUGCUUGACAGCUACGCCCGCAACCUAGUGAUGGUCACAACUAUGAUCUCCUGAUGAUCACGCCCUUAACUGACUGCUAACUAGGGUGAUGGUCUAUCUAGCAAAUAUAUCAUGUGACAGACUGACGGUCAUGCCCGUGAUUGUCCACUUGUCUAACCACAACUCAGCUUAUUAAACCCUGAAAUUAGGUUGGGGGUUAGGAUUACUUUUCUGUUUUAAACGUAGAACUAUACUAGGUUUUCAGGUAUUCAAUGAUUGGAUCUCAUUAUGUUUCAUAGCAAGGGAUCUCAAGACUGUAUAGUAGCGUGUGAUCUACUGCACAGGUGUUGUGAUGUGAUUAGAGCGAGGACUCUAGCGCUGUACAAUAGUGUGAUCUACUGUACAUGCAGUUAUUAAAUUUUGAGCAUAAGUUCAUAGCAUUUGAACUGUUACGUGCAAUUCACAGUUCAUGUUAGGACAUGAUUAGGCUUAGCUAAAUUAGCUCCCGAUUAUGAUUUGUUGGUCACCCACCCAUGAAUUGCGCAAUCCUUUAGGUUAUAAUAAGGUUCAGACAGGACGUGUUGAAUAUGCAUAUAGAUGUUGGUCGCAUGAUAUUUAGGGUGGUUUCAUGGUCUGAUCCACCAUGAGGUUGUCCGCUCACAGCUAGGGGUGGCUGAUGUUAGGUUGGUGCCUAUAAGACCACAGGGUUUACUAGAUAUCUUCAGUUCGACAGACGCGUCAUGAACCUCAAAGCGACCAGUGCUCAUAGUAGCUCAAUAUUGAAUAAUUUGGGCAGAUGCUUCUAUUCGGUGUUAGGCGUAUGUAAGUUGUGCUUCUAACGGAGGAGUUAGCCAUGGGCUUGGAGGAAAUUACAUCAAAGGCGUGAUGGAUAGACCACUAUGAGCGUGGCUAAUAGUGGGUAACUUCUGUGACAUAGUAACGACCACAUGCAUGAUUAGUCAUUGGCCACGGGCAUAAGGGGAUGUGUACCACAUGUGUGGUCAUAUGUACACCAAAGGUGUGGUGAUGUUAGUAACGGGCGUGGUCAGAUGUAUACCACGAGCAUAACCGAGGAUACAGCACUGGCGUGGCAUGUCUGCCAGAGUGAGUGCCACAAAUACCUUCGUAAACCUCUUCGAGUAUGUGUCGGGCCCCUUUUGCGUUCACACACCGGAAAAGGGUAAUACCAUGGUUUCGUUUGUAGAGGGUGGACCAAUUGAUAUAGAAUUCUAGGGCGAGUCUCUCUUAUGUCUUUUUGAAGUUUUUGUUAUACUCCUGGUGGGUAUUCCUUGCUUUGUAUAUAAGUUUUUAUGUCAUGGUACCAAGGUUUAUCGUCCGACUCUUCUUUCACGUUAGCACGUGAGAGGGAUCAUCUUAUGUUUUAUCUGAAUUUGAGGAAUGGAGUCAAGCUUUCACAAUGCGUAUAUCGAGGAUAGGAUAGCCAGAGCAUCAACGAUAUGUUUGUGGUAAGGGAUAAUCUUUCGGAUGUGUUCCAACUUGGUGUUAUUGAAGCUUUCCAUCAUUUUCAUGAUGAGUUUAUGGUAAGGGAAAAGAUUUUCGUUUCUUGUCUCCCACUCUCCUCUUAGUUUGUAGAUGACGAGUGAAGAAUCUAUGUAUACCUUCAAGUUCUUAAUCCCCAUCUUUAUGGAUGAUCGGAUACCAAGCGAGCAUGCCUCGUACUUUUUUUUAUAAAAACAUGCCUCGUACUCAGAGACGUUGUUGGUGCAAUAAAAGGUCAAAUUAGUUGUAAUGGGGUACAUUUUCCCUUUAGGAGAUAGGAACACUACACCUAUACCGUAUCCAAAGGCAAUAGAUGCCUCGCCAAAUUUCAUAAUCCAAGGUCAUUCUUCACCCUCGAUGUCUUCGUCUUCAUCAUCAUUCAAAACAGUAUCGUCGGGGAAUUCCAAUACUAAUGGGUUUUAGUUUGAUAUAGGAUGGUCCGCCUAGGUUGUCAGCGAUCAGAUUUCCCUUGGUUUCUUUCUUUGUCGUAUACAGGAUGUCUUACUCGGUUAGUUAGACCGGCACUUUGCUAAACGACCAGUGAGAGUGGGCUUCUCAAAGAUGUGCUUCAUGGGGUCGACUUUUGAGACAAGGUAUGUGGUGUAGUACAACUUCUAGCGUCUCAACCUUUUAAUCAUUCAUGUUAAUGCUCCACAUUUCCUUUGUAGGUCCGAGUAUCGAGAUUCAUAGUCGGUGAACUUCUUGAUGGUAUAAUACAUGGUGUGUUCCUUCUUUCCUGAUAAGUCUCUUUCGGCUAGCAUAGGCCCUAGUGAGUUCUCAAACACCUUUAAGUAAAAAAGUAGCAUUCUCCCGGGUGUGGGAGGGACUAAUACCGUUGGGCUUUGGAAAGUAUUCCUUAAUAUUUUCAAAUGCCAACUGGCAAUUAUCAUUCCACUUUACUGGUUGGUUAUCUCUGAGAAGUUUGAGUAUAGGCUAGCACGUCGGGGUUAGAUGCGAGAUGAAGCAACCAAUGUAAUUUAAUCUUCCUAAGAACCCACGUGCUUAUUUCAGCGUUUGAGGCAGCGAAAUCUUGAUGAUGGAUUAUAUUGGGUCCACCUUAAUUUCUCUCUCGCUUACUAUGAAUAUGAGAAGUUUCCCUCACAUGAUCCUGAAGGUUCAUUUCUCAGGGUUCGGCCUUAGUUCUUGUUUCUUUAACCUUUUGAACAUUUUCAGGAGCACUUCUUUGUGAUCUUCAUAACUUUUGGACUUGGUGAUCAUUUCAUGACUUUAUGUAUCAUAUCAUGAAAACAGUGACAAUUCCCCUUCAAUAGGUACGUCGCCCUGAAAAUAUAGCUAAACGACCCCUAAAGUGUUGUAAAUGUUGUCUUUUCUCUAUCCUUGGGGCACAUCUUUAUCCAAUUGUAGCCGGAGAAGCCAUCAAUGAAUGACAACAUUUGGUGUCUUGCCGUAUUAUCUACUAGCAUGUCAAUGUGGGGUAGAGAAAAGUUAUCUUUUGGGCUUGCUCUAUUUAGAUCUUAAUAGUUGACACAUUUGCACCUUUCCAUUUAUUUGGGAGAUGAGUACUAUGUUAGCCACCCAUUCCAAAUAUCAAAAUACUUGGAUAAACCCGCCACAUACUGCUUCUGCACUUCCUCGUUGAUUUUGAGAAGCCACUCCAUUUUCAUGCUUCCAAGUUUUCGCUUCCCGUGUUUUCACCCCUCCAUGGUUGGCAAGCAAUGUGUAACAAUACUUUUGUCUAGACCCGGCAUAUUCUGGUAUCAUCAUGCAAAGAUCUCUUGAUAUUCUAUUAACAGCUCUAUUAGCUCCGCUAGAAAGCCUGCAGACUCCUUUCCUCUUAUUCCAAAAUCCAAUCUAUAUCUUACUGCAUCUCUUUCUCGUUCUCUUCUUCAUCCCCGAUUUCCAUUUCGCAAAUUGGGUUAUCAAAGUUAGUUUAGAUAUCAUGAUAAUAGUUAUUUCUCCUACCCGUAUCUGUUACCCAGUUAAAGUUUGCGUGGAGAAGUUAAUAAGAGGAUAAAGGAAUGCAGUUUUAACACUAAGUGAUGGAAAGAACAUGAUUUUUAUUUAGGGUGUUUUAUGUAGAACACUGAUUUUCAAGUAGAAACUCAAAUACAAACACACGAAGGGAAAUUCUUAAAUCAAAAUGCAUGAAGACUUUUAUUAUUUUAAAAUGUGCUCGUGUUUAUUACUUUCCAUGCGGCCCCGGGAGUUUGAUGGUCGUCCAGUUGUUCAGGUCUUCACCCAGUUGUAGCUGUCACAGAAGAUCCUAUUACUGAUCCUUGUCGAGAUCAAUUGUGUUGAUAUUGAAAUUAUAGAGAGCCAUCCUUGAGUCUUUUUAGGUGGAAGGAUCGCUCUUUGUCUGGUUAAUAACCCCAGCGCUAAAAAAGGUAUGGGAGAUGGGUGGGAAGGCCAUCACCCUCUUUCCUAAGCUCUGUUGGUGGGUCAUUUUUCCAUUGAUGAAUCUACCGUGAGUGGGUGUAUAUCCCAAUCCCUCUUGACCCUUAUUUUUCUUUAGUUGCACUGGUUCUUUCAAUAGAAUUCCCACUUUGAUGGGUCCAAAUGACGAGUGAGACAUUGGACCGCCAUAAGACUAACAUGGGAAAGUGAUAUUUGACCUUUCCAUAAUCAGGACCGUGCCUACUAACCCAUCUAUAGUUAGGACAGCGGCUACUAACCCAUCUAUUAUAUCCAUAGUAGUAUUAUAGUGAACAUGCACUUGACUCAAUAUUUUGAGCAGGGCCAGUCGGUGAGUCUUUGAAGAUGUUAUCAUAUCUAGCUGGGAGACUCAUGCGAGGGUUUUUUUAAGUUGUUUCAUGACUUCGUAUUCGAUGUGCUUCAUCAUACCCUUAAGAACUCAUGGGCGGUGUCGCGGAGGUCUCUCAUCCAAGAACACAUUCUGUUGGUGCUCUACCCUAUCCCGCUUGAGGAAGGGGGUUUGGCGCGCUGGCGUCACAAGGUUGUAGCACUUGGUGGAGUCGCCAUCGAUCAGAAGAACAUUUAGGGUGAAUGUAACAUCCUGCCCGUCCUUCCAAAUCAAUGUGGCUUGGGACACAAUUUUGACUUGAUCUAUGAAAUUGAGAAUUGUGGGUACGGGGUGAUGUUACGAUUUAUGGUUGUCGGGUUGACCCCAUGUUGACUGGUUUUUACUCGGUUUGACCGAUUAUUUACUCUUAUGUCGUGAUUGGUUGAUGAAAAUAAGGGAUUUAUGAAGUGUUAUCGAACGGAACAUUUAGGUCUUUUUAACAUGUCUUCUCAUGUUUUAUUAGGCUUUCAGGUAUCCGUUGGAUAGAAGACGACAAAAAUAAUCCAACGGGACCAAUCGGAGCUCAAUCGGAUGUCGGUCGAGGGAGAUACUAGCAAAAGAAAGAAAAUUACCCAGGCUGGAAUCAGGGCCACACGGCAUGUGGAGGCCAUGUGGGUGUGCUGACAAAUGAUAUUUAUGCCCAAUUUUGAGGAGAGAGGUGGCAUUCUUUGGCUUACACACAUUUUCAAUCAUCCACUACUCUCCCAAGAAUCCUAGUCCAAAAAGCACCAUCCAUCCACCAAUUAUUUGAGGCCAUUAAAGACCAUUUGGAGCUCUUGAAGAUCUAGGAUUGGAGAUCAAGCAUUGUUAGAGGUUGAAGCAAGGAUUUGCAUUCAUGAUCACCUCCUCCAUUCUUGUAGAUUAUGGUGAUUAUUGUAUUCCUUCCUCUUUGUUAGUUUCAUCAUGAGUGGCUAAGCGAUUAGAAUUGUUCGAUUAGAGUGUUUGUAAGUGCUAGGAUGAUCCCCUCAUGAUGAGGGGUUGGACAUGUUCGGAUUCUAGUUAUGAUUAUGGUUGUGCUUGGAUUAUGGAGCUAUUCAAUCUAUCUUACGCCAUGGCUUGAUUUAGGUCAAAUUAACUCUUUCCUUUGCUUAAUUGUGAAUGAAUUGAGUUAGAUUGUAAUCCAAGAUUCAAGCAAGGUGUAUGUGGAACAAGACACACCCCAAUUUAACCUUUAGUGCUUCUUUAGGGACAUUUCAUCGAACACUAGAGUGCAUUCUAUAAAUCAUCUAAGUAGUGACAAACUUGAGUGAUUGGGAUGUUUGGGGUGUCAAUUGGUGAUUAGCACCCAUUCCUAGGUGAUUGUGGUGUCCUUAAGGAUUUCUAAGUACCAACGUAUUUCAUCGAACACCUUCUGUUCACUACUAUUUUUGCUUGAUCUCUUGUGAAUUAGUAGUGGUAUUCCAUUGUAAGACUUUAUUCUGAAUUUCUUCACAUGCCUAGAGACUAAUCGUACCAUAAAUAGUGUCCAUUAUGUCUGAAGUCCUCUAAUGAGUCAAAUUUGAGUAUUUCCAACACUCGACGUCUAGCAACCUUACUCUCUUCGUUUGAUCUUUAUACUCUUUUGCAACAUUUAAUCUCUUUAAUCGCUUUGCAUACUUUGCAGUGAUUGGAUAGUAAACCUAGUUAGUAACUUAGAAAAACCCUUUUACAAACUUUCUUUGGCUUAAACCGUGAACGAAGUGUUGAGUAGAGAUUUGUGAACAGACCUCGUGGGAUACGACACUCGUGUCAGUUAGGAUUUGGGUUUCAUAGCCUCUGUUCUAUCCUAUCAAAUUUUUGACGCUGUUGCCGGGGAAUGUUCACACCUUUAAAAGACAGCAUUCACCCUCUCCAAUUUACUUCGUGCUCCCCUUGUUUUGGUAUAUCCCCCUGUCUGUGUAUUACUUUGGUUUGCUCGUUUUGGUGUGUAGGACUCUCUUGUACAUCCUCAUUGUAUACUAGACAUUUAAAUAUAAAUAGAUGUGCACCAAGGUGGCUCCUAGGGACUCCACCUCACCCUCUAUCACGCAUAGCGACUCCAUCCCGUUUUCCAUCAGUUGCAUCAUCAUCUACACUUCCAUCAAUCCUAGAAUCUUCUACACCAACAUCUUUACAGGCUUCACUAGUUGACUUGAGCUCCAAAGCAGAACUAGAGUCGUUGAGAACAUGUUCGAAAUGGCUCCACCACCACCUAGAACUCUUGAGGGAACUUCAUCAAGUGUCCUUCGUCCACGAGUCGACAACCGCCAAAAUUCCAAUACAUUCAAAUGGUGCAACAAAAUGUCUAUCAUGGCCAUGAAAAUGGAUGUCCGAGUAGCCCCCUUCGAAGCUUCUUAGAGAUUGUGGACCUCACGAAGUCCAACAAUGUCCCUCAAGAGGCCACCAACUUCGACUCUUUCUUUUCUCACUCCAAAGUUAGGUGAAUCAAUGGCUAGAUAACCAACCCAACAACACCUUGCAAACUUGGGACGAAUUGGCGAAGACUUUCUCGGAAGAGUUCUUCCCCCCUACAAGACGGAUGAGAUUAGGGGAAGGAUCUCUCACUUCCAACAAAUUAAUGGUGAGCCUUUCUUUGAAGCAUGGGAUCGAUUUCAAGACGGAUGAGAUUAGGGGAAGGAUCUCUCACUUCCAACAAAUUAAUGGUGAGCCUUUCUUUGAAGCAUGGGAUCGAUUUCAAGACGGAUGAGAUUAAGGGAAGGCUUUACCCAUGCCCUCACCAUAACUUUGGAGAGUGACAACUUGCGGAGACAUUUGCUAGAGGGCUUACUUAUGAGGAUACGAAGAUGAUCAACCAAGCGACGAAAGGAGAUUUAAGAUCAUUCCUCCUCGAGCGUUGCCUUCAAAUCUUCAGAAAGAUGACCGUGAUGACAAAGAGUUGGUCAAGGCCACAAUGUCUUAAAGACAUCAAAGCGAUGACCUGGGAUGCUUAUAUCUCCACCAACACUACUGCUCCCAAAACUCUCAAGGAUAUGCCCAAACUUUGAGAGAAGGAUGAAGAGCAACCAGGCCACUUAAUUGUAUCAAGGAUGGAUACAAUGGAUGCUCUGCUUUUUCCUUAGCUCAAGCAAUUGCCAAGCCUCAAGAAGUACAAGCACUUCUUCCCAAGCCGACAAUCAAGCCUCCUAUCGCACAAAUCUUUGUAUCCAAGAGUUGUGGCAGUGAAGGGCAUGAUGCUUCGACUUGCUAAUCUUUUGCUCCCAACUUUGCACUGAAAGAGGAUUGCAUUGAAGAAGUGGACUAUGUACAAGGAAGCUACCACAGAGGCAACCAAAGUGGAUCAACCACAGAAGGCGAACAAGAAAGAGAUCAACCACAGACAACAAGAAGAUGAUGCGGUGGUGAUGUUGAUGUCUGGUAGAACCUUCCAAUUAUGUAUUAUUCAAUUCAGUUGUUGAUGGUCAUCCGAGUAGUAUUUUUACUGAGCAAACAUACUGGGCAUUGGAGCUGGCUAUUGGCUAAUGUAGACGCAAGAAACAUUCUCUAAACCCUCAGCAAGUAAUGUAGACGUAGUCCCUUUCUCCAGUAUUUCUCUGUGUUUCAAUGAUGUAAGAAGUUAAAACUCUUAACAUUUUAAUACACCAGCCGCGUAAGAUAUUAUUUUCUAGUUAACCAAAGUCUGUAUAGAAUAUUACCUUAUAUUGAUAAGGAAACAUCCUAAAUUCUUACUAUUUAUUAAAUGAUUAAAAUACCUCAAUCAGAGAACUUUAAAAUAAAGAAAAUAAAAUAAUAAAAUAAAAAUCUUUAAAACAAGAGGAACUUAAGAAGAAUCUCGAACACUAAUUCUUACGAUUCACUCUCCUAUAAUAACUUUCAAAUAUCUUGGUGGGUGGUUCGGGGUCAGUCUUUCGUGCUCUAAUCUUAACAAUCAAUAAUUAUUAAAAGCGUUAGCCAACAUAUUAUACAAUUUCAUCUAAUCAUUUAGAGCUAUUUUCAUCUCUAGAACUAUUCCACCGUUAUUAAGGUUCUCUAACUUCUACUAACUUCUACUAACUUCAUACAUUUAGGAUAUCAUGAUCUGAAAUCAUUUACUAACUCAAAACUAACUAGUCUUAAUAUCCAUUUGACGGACUACUCUAAUGGCCCAAUAUUUAAUCGUAGGAGUCCCUAGUGGCCCAAUUAUAAGUAUUGGAUUUAUAUUGGUCUGAGACCAUAAGCUGCCAAUAUGGAUCAGAGGUCUAAUAAGAGAGGUAUAUAUUACUAGAUCAUCUAUUAAUCAUCUAGACUUAGAGUAGCUCUUGUUGUUCGCUAGUUAUCUAAUCACAUCAUACUCUAGUUUAAUCAUAUAGGCACGUCAUAUGAGCAUCAUAACUGAACAUAAGAAAAUAAGGACACAUAUAGAUUCAUAAGUACUAACUGAGUAACCAUAUUACAUAAAGUAGUCCUAUUUAUGUAAUCCUAUCAUAAGUAAGAGUUUAACACGAUAAGUACUUAAUCAUCAACAAGGAGUCUUUAAUCAUCAACAAGGAAUCAUCAACAAAGAAUCGUCAACAAGAAAUCAUCAACAACUAAUCAUCAUGAAAGAUUGAAACUAAAGUCAAUCAUGUUAGGUGCAUUAUGAAUCAUGGAAUUAUAGUUCUUGUAACUUGUCAUAUCAUCAACAUCAUUGAGGAAGUCAAUUUACAAGACUCUGAUUCAUGCACUAUCAUUGACAUUAUCUAAGGUAUCUUAUUCCUCGUGGGGCGUCCCCCAACUCAACCAACUAACCCACCGCCCUAGCGCGGAGGUCUGGGAGUACAUAUCCAUCAGACGGUAUCAUAAAUCAUAGAAGGAAAACUGUGACCGUAAAUCAUAGUGGGUAUAUGCCCAAAUCAUAGGGGCAACUGUGGCCCGAAACAUAAGGGGCGGUGGUCUAACUAGUAAGUUUCAUGUUUUAAAUCCACCUAUUACACAUCUAAGUGAAGUGUUCAUGUUUCUUAUCACUGGUUAUGUCUAAACUUAUCAUCGUCUAACAUUAAUAUUAGUCUAACCUUAUCAUAGUGUUAACAUUAUCAUUAGUCUAACCUUAUAGUUAUAUAGGAGGUAUAACUUGUACAACAUCAAAGUAAUAACAUGUCACAAAUAAACACUCAAGCAUGGAAUCAUGGCAUAAACUAAAAUGCAUCAAAUUAACUAACUUAAUCUACCCCCUUAAACCAACCCACCUCAUUGGCGAGCUGACGUCUCAGAAAUAUAUCCGAGAUGAUUCCCUUUGCUGCCACGAAACCACAACCUCAUACGGUGCUUCGUUCUGAGCUCAAACGACCAAGUUAUUCUCUGUUUACUUCUUUGCAACUUGUUGAAACUUGAACGGCAGAAUUUUCAUUUCCCUGUCUAACUUGGCAAACUUCAGAAUCAGUUCCCCAACUUCUGGUCCUUGCAGUUCACUCCAUAUCAUACAGAGAACUACAAUCCAGUCAUCCUAAUUUCCAGGAAGAACAGUUCAGUCUAACACCCCAACUUUACAGGUAUUGCAAAUUGGUCACUUAUCUUCCAUAAUUCGCUAGGUGAUCACUCUUCCCUAACCUCUGCAUCUGCGAUUACAGAGGAUGUCGCCGAUGACCCGAUUCAAUCCGUCGAGCUUUCCACGAAUCUUGGAAUCCGCUUCUUCUCCUCGCCUUUGACUCUACCGCCAGCCGCUUCGCAUGGGAGAGAAGGCUUCUCCCUCGAUCUAUCUUUGUCAGAUCGAUUCCUCCGCCAGACACCCAACAUCGGCUCUUGUUGAUGCUCAGACUCCAUCCAUCCUUGAUCCAAGGUGGUCGCCCGAUUGGUGGUUCGUUGCCGAUCCGACGAGGGAACGACACCAUCCCUCAUGGGCCCUCUCUCGUUCCAGUCGCCACCAAUGUCAGCCUCUCCCUCUCCUCUCACCGAUCGAUCUCAGGCCACCAAGGAAGCUCGCCAACAUCGCCUCCUGGAUUGCCUUCCCCAAACGAGAAGCCGACUUACCUGCGUGGUCACCAUCAACUCCUCUCGUCGGAUCUGCCACACUAGGGUUCCCUCCCAGCACGAAACACUCUCAAGCUUAAAUAGUUACAGAGGCUCACAUGUCGUUCGAUCCAUCCAACCGCCCAAUGCCCAUCACGUCAUCAUAAUUUCAAUUGUGUAUUAGGCCCACAACCGAAAUCCAAAACCAAACAAACAACAUCAUCUACUUUCUCUUGGACAAAUCAGGCCUCACUUCUCACCGUAGAAUCUAUCCAACCGUCCAGAUUCCUCCAGACCCCCAACUAAUAGACUAAUGGCUUCAUUCCAUCUCCGAUUAUCUAACCAACCGAUAAUAGCACCGCACCUCAUAGGUCUCCGGAACUCGCACAACUCAACAGCCAAACUCCUCGAAUAAAACAAUUAAUUCAACACCAAACCUUCUAUUCCAUUCUUCGAGUAGGAUUUCUAUCAAACCGAAAAUUCUAACUAGUAGCCUACAACCGAUUUAUCCAAUUUAAUGUACCAUGUACUAAUGAGUUGGACACUUCUAAUAAUUCACAAUUAGGCUAACAUUAAUUUAGUAACAGGAUCGUAUCCAAACAUGGAAUUUACAUUAUUGUACUUUUGCCAAUUUAGUGUUUUACCCUCCAUUUCAAUUUUAGGGAAGCGCAAAACCGCUUUUUAACAAUAAUAAUGGGGUCAUUUUUGGAAAUAAAAAGUAUGAUUAAUUUAAAAAUUAUAUUGACCGUCAAGUUGAAACCUAAAUUAUAUAAAUUGGCCAUUAAGACUUAGGAGCCUCUAAAACAUGCGGCACAUCCAAUAAACACAAAGAAGAAGUAAAAUGCGAUUGCAGGUUACGUGCAUCGAGAUGCUAGGUUUCUAUUCGAUGUUAUAAAAUAGUCACUAAGUAAAUACUAAUAAGUAAUGAAUCAAAAAUACUAUGCAAUUAUUAAUAUUCUCUAACAUAAUACUCGAUAAUUACUAACAUUAUCUAACACUAGGCAAUUAUUAAUAUUCUCUAACUAUGCAAUUAUGGUAAUGAUACCAACCUCAUUAUCGCAUAUAUCACCGACGCGAUGUCAUUUGCGGUGGCCCCAAAGUAGUUUUACAUCGAUUGGCUCAGGGUCGACGCACGGGGAUAUUGGUCCAUACAAGUAAUCCAUCCUACAACAAAACAAAAUAUUAAUAAAAAACAAAACUAAAAAAUUACAAAUUAAAAAAUAAAAUUAUAGAAUUACCGAUUAGUUGGUUGCAGAACGAGGACUCGUUAUCGGUACAGAAAAAUCAAGAAAGGAAGGAAUGAGAAAUAGUGGAUUGGUGUGGAAUGAAAGAGGAGGAGAGGGUGAUAUUUAUAGAACAACUGGAGGCAUACUAGAACGUGCGAUGCACUGUGCCUCCAACGGUUAUAUUGAAACGGUCAUCUAACGAUCGUUACAAUAUAGCCGUUGAUUCCACCUUAAAACGCUUCACACAUCCUAAGACACGCCGCGAGUUGUAGAGGGUACUAGUGAUCAUUUUGUAUAAUUUAAAUUUUAAUUUAACUAUCUACAUAAUUUUUGAUUUAUUCAUGUCUAAAAAAAAUCCCCAUUUUCUAAGCCUUAUCUCAUCUCUUUCCUGCUCGUAUAAAAAAUUUCAUUAUUUUAUUUUUAGAAAAUUGGCCCCUUGUAUUUUAAUUUUACCAAAUUGGUGAUUAGCCCCUUUAUGACAAAAUUGCCCACGUCCCCUCUUACAUUAUUGCUAAUUAACCAACCAUAUUUUCUGUUAUGGUUUCGGUUAGUUUACUAUUAAAACCUAACAAAUCAGCAUGCCAUAUCACUAAGUCCGUUUAUAUCAUCAUGUUUAUGUUGAGACCAUCCAUUAUGGUGAGCUAAAUAGCUAAAAAUGCUAUUAUUUAGUUCCAAGUAGCUUCACAAUGGGAGAGCUAAAUAUCCAAAAAGUAAAAAAAGCUAAAAUAGUUGGUAAAAAAUAAUUGGGUCAAAUAGCUAAGACUAUCUACAUCAAUACAAUUCAUCUCCAUCUAUAAAAGUGAUCCACAUUUUCACAUCAUUAACUUUUGCAAUUUCACAUUCUAUAUUUUCAUAUCAUUUUCAUCCAUACAAUUCAAUUCCAAUUGCAAAAAUGAGACCAAUAUAUAUAUUAUUUAUAUUUUCUUCAAAUUAAUUCGAAUGUUAACAAAAAGUGGACCCAAAUGAAUUUUAAAAUAUUGUAUGAAUGGUGUAGCCCCAAAUAAAAUUAUCACUUGACUUAUAACAAAUGUAAAUUUGCAUUUAAAAGUUACAUUUUUUCAUCUAUGAUAUUUUCAAUUGAAUUAUAAAAAUUUAACACAUAAAUUCCAUAUCAUUUUAUAAAUAAAUAAAAUCUCAUUAAUGGGAUGCUUUAAUAGUCAAAUUUCACACUACCUGGCAGACCCAUAGUAAUGGAAGGCGUAUGGAAUUAAAAACAUAUUAGGAAAGAGAGUGACAAACAAUGCCCAAUGAUAAAUCAAUAAUCCGGCGAGUGGAAGACAUGCGGACUUGCUGCUGCUGAGAUUCCUUGAAUAAUUAUUCAUCAGUACAAUCCAGCUGGCACAAUUUGAUUGGCUUCUUUGUGUUGUUGUGAUAAAUGGUUUUGCUGUUCUUUGUUAAAAAAGGGAAUUGCCUUCAUUAUUUCACAUAACCAUCCGUCAUGUUUGUUCACGAACAUUAAUAUUAUUUUUUGACAUUCAUUCAUAAAUUUAAAAUUUAAAGUGCCUUAAUUAUGGAUAUAAUUUAACGAGAAAUUGAAAUAUUUGAAUUUUAUCUUAGAUCUAUUUUCUUGCAACUCAAGGAUAUAUGCAAAAUAAAUAUCAUAGCCCAUCAAGUGGUAAAAUUAUCACAUGAGACCAAUUUAUGGUGAACCAACACAAAUAUGACCAAGAUUACUACUUCAAAACCGAGUAGUUCUUGUGUUUGAAUAAAGGUCGAUUAAAAUUGACAUAGAGUCACAUAGUGAUCUUACUACCAUCCUGGCAUUGAUAGCCAUGUUAUAUCCAUAUAACUUUUUGUUGGAUAUAAUUAGUAUAUCAUUGAUGAUAUACGAAAAUCAUGUUCGAGAGAGAUGCACAAUUGGCAAGUUAGUGGUAAUCUUCCACAUCUUUCAUCAAAGACUUGAUGUCUUAAAACUUUUCAUUUCUCUUGGGAAUUUGAAUUUGCCUCAAAUUGAAAUUUUUUUUUUUAGCCAAUCAUUUCUAUCUGUGCAUGCAUUUUGGCUAAUGAUCCUCAUUUUCAACUAUCAUAUUUAGCGUUGCACUAUACGCAAAUAUUUCGUCGACGUUGACUUCAUUGGGGUUCCAAUAUUUUCCAUCCAAGAUAUAGAUAAUUGAGAUAUAUAUUCAUAUCUUUCAGGUACCUGAUACUCUUCUUGAGCACAUUAUUUGUUUCUCUUGGUGGCUUUGUUUAAAUAAUCUUAACCUCAAUUUGACCAUCUUGAUAUAUAGCUCCAUUCCACUUUUGAGGAUUUUUUCUUUGGAACCGAGUGGUCUAUCACGCCUUUGCGGGUUUUAGACUCAUUUGUGAUGUCAGAUUGCCCAAUAUUGGCAUUAUUGUUAUUGGAGCAUUUUGAGUUGGCACAUGAAAACUUUACUCUCGUUGGGUCAGUAAAGUGUCUGGCAGAUAAUGAAUUAUAUAUUUUUGAACUUCAAGCUCAUAUUGCUUAGUGCGAGGAUCAAAAUAAUAUGAUCAUUCAUCUAAUCUCUUGGCCAACUUUUGUUUUGUCCCCCUAAUGUUGGGAAGUUUAAAUAUAAACCUCCAAACGAGUCAUCAAAAUACUCCCGACAACGAUGUGAUACUUUACCAUCGAUGAACUCGUAAUCAAAAUUCAAUCUUCAUUGAGAACCCAUCCUAAUAAAUGGUGGUGGAGCAAUUCAGAUGUGUAUAUCACAUCCAUAUAUCCAAUGAUGGGAAGUAUAAGGUUUUGACCCAAAAACCACAUAUAAUGGAGGAAUUCAUAAUAAUUUCUUGGCGUAAUGCGAAUUUGUGUUGUUCAUGUAAAUGACAUGUUCACAAUAAUAUAAAUGGAAAAUGUUCGUCUUAAUGACACAUUUUCGUUAUUGGAUAAUCAUGAAAAUAUGCUCAUAACCAAAUGGUUGAGCUAGUAAUCUCCCAAAUUAAAGUUUGUCAUGAUAUACACAUGUGACUAUCUAAUUGAUGCAUCAAUUAAAAUAAUUGGCUCACAUGUUGGGUGUAUUGAUCCCCAAAUAUCACCUUUGUUUUGUUGUGUGGAGGAGAAAUGAUCUUACUUUAGUUGAUGAUUAUCCAACAAUCUACUCUAUUUGAGAAUAAGCAACCAAAAACUGAGUUAUGUUGCGUUGGAGAUUUACCCAACAAUGGGUAACGGAAAGGUCAAAAUGCUUUCCUAGAAACGAAACAUUGUUGACAGAACAGAAAACCGUUCGUGUUCCCAGGAAGUAGGGGAGUCACAAGGACUACUUAAAUCCAUAUAACCUUAGGAAUCAUUUCUUUAGAAUACCCAAGUUGAGACCAUCAUGCACAACAAUGUUCAAGAGAACAUACUCUUUAGAUUAUGGAAUCAUCAAAAUUGACCAUAGAGGUACUUAUCGAUUCCCAUCAUGAUUGAACCUGGAUGGUCUCACCGGUUAUGCCAAAUAAUAGUUGUCAGGACUAGUAAACUUUUGUUUUACAUUGACAUAUAUCUCAAUCAUGGUAACAUAUGCGUAGUACGAAUUGGAGGAAAAUAUUCAUAUUCUAUUUUAUUGAUGGUCACAAGAGAUAGGAACAAUAAUGUGGUCUAUGACCAUGCAAAAGGUUUUCGCUCAUGCAUGAACAAUAUAAUAUCUCGAUCUAGAGUUUGAAAUAAAAUAUAAUAGCUCGAUCCAGAGCUUGAGAGAAAUGUUGUACUACACCAUAUAUCUUGGUGCACUAUCGAUGUGAUAUAUAUCACAAUUAAUUAUGGUGAUUCGCAUCAUAAAAUACUCAUUUUUGUCAUAAGAAUGGUACAUGGUUUAAAUGAUAAAUAGAGAUAUUUCUCAAUCAUCUAUGUCACCAAUUAAUUGAUCAAUAAUUCUCGUAUAACCACAAUUGUUAUGUCUAUCCGAAUAAAAUGGUUCCUUAUGUGAACAAUGAUAAUAUGUUGUCACUUAUGCUUUCAGGAACAAUGUAACAAAAUAAAAGUGUCUUUGCAGAUCGUAUGAUGUUACUUGUGCUUUCAAGAAUAAUGUAACACAUGUGUCUUUCCACAAUCACUUUGAGGGCUAAAUUAGUAUCAGUUGGAUAUGAUCAUCAAAAUAAAACUGACAGUUGUACCACCAAUCAUAGGAUUAAAAUUGUUCAACAUCAAUUCACAACUCUCUUCCACGCGAGAAGAUAAAUUUCACAAAUUUCUUUCCCAUGACCAUAAUAAGAGGUAUUGUCCUCCACAAUAGUGUAUUGUCGUAUCGCCUUCGUGGGAAUAUAUGUAUUGUCACAAAGGACAUGAUAUAAUCAUNNNNNNNNNNNNNNNNNNNNNNNNNNNNNNNNNNNNNNNNNNNNNNNNNNNNNNNNNNNNNNNNNNNNNNNNNNNNNNNNNNNNNNNNNNNNNNNNNNNNNNNNNNNNNNNNNNNNNNNNNNNNNNNNNNNNNNNNNNNNNNNNNNNNNNNNNNNNNNNNNNNNNNNNNNNNNNNNNNNNNNNNNNNNNNNNNNNNNNNNNNNNNNNNNNNNNNNNNNNNNNNNNNNNNNNNNNNNNNNNNNNNNNNNNNNNNNNNNNNNNNNNNNNNNNNNNNNNNNNNNNNNNNNNNNNNNNNNNNNNNNNNNNNNNNNNNNNNNNNNNNNNNNNNNNNNNNNNNNNNNNNNNNNNNNNNNNNNNNNNNNNNNNNNNNNNNNNNNNNNNNNNNNNNNNNNNNNNNNNNNNNNNNNNNNNNNNNNNNNNNNNNNNNNNNNNNNNNNNNNNNNNNNNNNNNNNNNNNNNNNNNNNNNNNNNNNNNNNNNNNNNNNNNNNNNNNNNNNNNNNNNNNNNNNNNNNNNNNNNNNNNNNNNNNNNNNNNNNNNNNNNNNNNNNNNNNNNNNNNNNNNNNNNNNNNNNNNNNNNNNNNNNNNNNNNNNNNNNNNNNNNNNNNNNNNNNNNNNNNNNNNNNNNNNNNNNNNNNNNNNNNNNNNNNNNNNNNNNNNNNNNNNNNNNNNNNNNNNNNNNNNNNNNNNNNNNNNNNNNNNNNNNNNNNNNNNNNNNNNNNNNNNNNNNNNNNNNNNNNNNNNNNNNNNNNNNNNNNNNNNNNNNNNNNNNNNNNNNNNNNNNNNNNNNNNNNNNNNNNNNNNNNNNNNNNNNNNNNNNNNNNNNNNNNNNNNNNNNNNNNNNNNNNNNNNNNNNNNNNNNNNNNNNNNNNNNNNNNNNNNNNNNNNNNNNNNNNNNNNNNNNNNNNNNNNNNNNNNNNNNNNNNNNNNNNNNNNNNNNNNNNNNNNNNNNNNNNNNNNNNNNNNNNNNNNNNNNNNNNNNNNNNNNNNNNNNNNNNNNNNNNNNNNNNNNNNNNNNNNNNNNNNNNNNNNNNNNNNNNNNNNNNNNNNNNNNNNNNNNNNNNNNNNNNNNNNNNNNNNNNNNNNNNNNNNNNNNNNNNNNNNNNNNNNNNNNNNNNNNNNNNNNNNNNNNNNNNNNNNNNNNNNNNNNNNNNNNNNNNNNNNNNNNNNNNNNNNNNNNNNNNNNNNNNNNNNNNNNNNNNNNNNNNNNNNNNNNNNNNNNNNNNNNNNNNNNNNNNNNNNNNNNNNNNNNNNNNNNNNNNNNNNNNNNNNNNNNNNNNNNNNNNNNNNNNNNNNNNNNNNNNNNNNNNNNNNNNNNNNNNNNNNNNNNNNNNNNNNNNNNNNNNNNNNNNNNNNNNNNNNNNNNNNNNNNNNNNNNNNNNNNNNNNNNNNNNNNNNNNNNNNNNNNNNNNNNNNNNNNNNNNNNNNNNNNNNNNNNNNNNNNNNNNNNNNNNNNNNNNNNNNNNNNNNNNNNNNNNNNNNNNNNNNNNNNNNNNNNNNNNNNNNNNNNNNNNNNNNNNNNNNNNNNNNNNNNNNNNNNNNNNNNNNNNNNNNNNNNNNNNNNNNNNNNNNNNNNNNNNNNNNNNNNNNNNNNNNNNNNNNNNNNNNNNNNNNNNNNNNNNNNNNNNNNNNNNNNNNNNNNNNNNNNNNNNNNNNNNNNNNNNNNNNNNNNNNNNNNNNNNNNNNNNNNNNNNNNNNNNNNNNNNNNNNNNNNNNNNNNNNNNNNNNNNNNNNNNNNNNNNNNNNNNNNNNNNNNNNNNNNNNNNNNNNNNNNNNGUUAAAUUUGAGUGGGAAUUUGACUUUUUUAGGUUCAACUUUUCUAAAGUUAAAACGCUAAAUUUGAGUAAAUUUUUUUCCCCACCGCUAGUAUAGUUUCAUUCCUGAUCACGGACACCUGUGUAGGAACCACCUAUGAUCUCUUCACUUUCUUUAUGGUUCUGAAUACAACUAUAUUCACACCAUCUUCCUGCUCUUCACCCAAAUUCGACAAUGAUAUCAGCAAUACUUUGUUAUUUUAUUUAUGUCAUUAAUAAAUAAGUUUAUAAUUAAGCUGAUUAGGAUGUUGACUAAAAUGAUGACCCCAACUGCCACGUCAGUGUUGGACAGAAUUAUUGACGAAAUUGGACGGAAAAUAUAAUGGAAGGAUACGAUUGGUUAAUUGGCAGGACUGUAAGGGAANNNNNNNNNNNNNNNNNNNNNNNNNNNNNNNNNNNNNNNNNNNNNNNNNNNNNNNNNNNNNNNNNNNNNNNNNNNNNNNNNNNNNNNNNNNNNAUCCAUUUAUUUAAUUGAUGGUUUGUCAUUAGGUCCGCUCAAAUUCACAACAGUUCAAGCACAUGUAAUUCAUUUUUCUUCUUUCCUUUUAUAAAUGAAUUUUAGUUCAACAUUAAAAUGAAUUAUAUAAGUUCAAAAUUAAAAUGGUCCUGUUUUUUAAGGCCCUUGGUUUUUACUUUUUGGCUACUUCUUUUUGGUUGGCCCAAGUCAUCUAGAGUGAACAAUGAUUGAUUGUUAGCGUAUGUAGUUGUAUGGGUUUUGAGCCCAACUCGAGCCUAUGUUAUUUUGUUGUCUUUUCUUGAAACAACGUUACUUAAUUAUAUAAAUAGUCCAUCAAUUGUCUCCCUAUAUACAGGUGAUACCAGAGAACGAGAUCGACGAGCAAAGUUUGUGAGAAACCGUGCUCCUAUAUUUUCUAACCCACUCAACCCUGAAUAUAGGUCUACUAUUAAGGAUGUGUUGGCAUCGCUCCAUUAUCGGGCCAAACUCCAUGCUACCAUGUCCCAACGUUACUUCUUGGUAAUCUGUCUCAAUGAUGGCCUUUUCAUAGCCCAUGUCUCGUAUCCAUUCGAAGCUAUCCUUCACUGCAUGCGCUUCUUCUUCCCCGCUCUUGUUAACCUUGUUGCCUUCUACAUGAGGAAAUGUAUUAAACCACCUGACUCAUCGCAAACCGCUAGUCUUACGCCAUGGUUUCUAUCCUGAUGGAACAGGGGAAUGUCAACAUUGCAGUUGACGUACCCCACCGGUGGUGGGUGCCAUUAAGGACAAGCUGUGGGUUGAGGUUGUUGUGGUCGCUUCUCCUCCGUCCAAUAAUUCACCCAUUCCAACAAGUCAUCCAAAGCAUGUCGUAUAAUCACCUCUGGUGACUAGCCUCCCCAUUCCAUACUCGCUCGUUCCUUUCCCGCCAGACUACCUUGAAUCUGUAAAUUCGCGUUGGAUUGCAACAUUUGGAAAACCCAUCCCCGUACAUCAUCCACUUGCAUGCAUACCGAAUGGACCCACUGCCACAUUCCCAACAAGGUCUACCAAUUUCACACUCGAAGAGCAAGUUAUCGAGAUCCUCACCCAUUUUCAAACAACAGUCGCAAGUAUCCAGUACUAUGACUGCUUGCUUGCCAGACGCACUCUAGUUGGCACCACAUCACGAGCCACCCGCUAAAUUAUGAAAUUACUCGAAUGAUUUAAGUGGUUACGUUAUGUCAUGUCAUUCAUGUGACUAUGUUAUGUUAUGCUAUGUUAUUCAUGUGAUCCGGAUAAUUGUAUGCCAAUAUCAUUGUGAUUAAGUGGUUACCUUAUGCUAUGUUAGUAUGUAAUGGUUAAGUGCCUAUCUUAUGUUAGGUUAUGUCAGGUUAUGAUAUCUCUUGAUGAUGUGCAAGUUACAACUUUCAACUACAUUAAAGCAUGUCAUGUUCCCCAACAUUAGUGUCCACGUUAUGUCCAUCAUAUUCAUGUUAUGAUUAACUGCUUAUGUUGUUGCUUGAUGAUGUGCAAGUUUGCCCUUUUAAACUAUGUUAACUCAUUUCAUGUUCUCCAAGAUCAGUGUUGUGAAACCCCAUCCUAAGAGUCCUGAUCGAACCACUAGUUCAACCAAUGAGGAGUCCUACUCGGGUUUCAACUUGAAACACACUGAACUCUAGGCUACUAAUAAAAACAUUUAAAACAAUAUCCUCUGAUAUCAAAACACCGACAAGCUCUCUCCCCACCGUGAGCUCCAGUACCUGUGACUGAACACACAAAUAUGCCAAGGAAAACAAGCUAAGUCUAAUGGGGUCAGUGAUAAGCAUUGAGUGGCUAAAUUAGACUGGCGUAAAACUAUGACUAUACUGAGAAGAUAGGGAAAGAAAGUAUAACUAAUCCCUGAAUCUAGUAAUGUGACCUUGUGGUCCUAUAGGCAACAUCCUAUCAAUAGUCACCCCUAGCUAGUAGUUGAUAGCCUAUGGUGGAUCAGACCAUGAAACCACCCCGUAGAUACAGUGCGAGUAACAUCAGUAGGCAUACUAGACACGCCCUGCAUGACCGUAUGUCACCACAACUUUAAUUGGACUCAAGGCCCACACCUUAAGUUCAUGUCCAAUUAGAGUGGAAGUCCUCACCCUUCACUUGAAUAGUUCAAUUCCUAUCCAUAGCCAUACGAUCAAUCUAACGAUCUAGAAAUCUCCAAGUCCAUAACUAACAAUUCACAGACUUAACUCUUCCUCCGAUUGACUUAGUCAACCCGGUAACUACCCCGAGCCUUACAAACCCUUAAUACUUGGUCAACUGUGAACUCAACUCCUCAAAUUAAUUAAAUUAAUUCAUUUUCCAACUUCCGACUUCUACUCAACGAGUAAAUUUUGAAUCAAACCGAAAUCAAACCAAAAAUUGGGGUGUCACAACUCUCCCCUCCUACAAAAGAUUUCUUCCCGAAAACCGAACGUCACCCCACUGAGCGGGAAGGAUUCGGCGCAAUAGUGUUCAACUAUGGCGCUUGCACUCCUACUUGGUAGCAAACGACCUUGAUGUGUCGUCCUUCUCAAGUACUCAACCAGUCCACUCCUCGAAAAUGACCCAGGGUCAAAUCAAAGUCUAACCACAACCUUGUCCUCGAAGACCGACAGUGACACCUUUAAAGAAAUGAGUCAACCCAUGGGCAAUACUCAUCAUCCUCUGGACCUUCAUUUCUUUUCCACUUCUUGUUCCCCUAACUCUCCUUCCUCCUGACUAGAACAUCCAAAGCUCGCACCUCGCUCAUGACCUCUCAGCCCUGAAAUGCUCAUUCCUUAACUGAUUUCCUUUGAAAUCUGAACACACCUUCCCCUUCCUAGAUGAUACUUGGCCCUUGGUAGUCACCAUCUGGCGGAAGGACUUCCCUUAACCUACCGAGCAUCAGCUUUGCACUUUCAGUAUCCUUACGAUCUUUUUGCACCCUAAGCAUUGUUUCUAGCUCGUCAACCCGCACUACCAUGUCCCAGACAUAGAAGUACAUAGACCAGUCCUUGCCAUGCUGCUUUGAAGAUGCAGCUAGUCGAGCAGCAAGCUCAACCUCGCAACUUUGAUCUUGAUGCUUAUACUACUAUUCCCCAUUUUCUUACUGAUAGGUAAUACUAAUCAUAUAGUACUACCAAGACCUUAGCCAACUCACAGAAUCUUGUCAUCCUUUCCCAUGAUGACGGUUCCGACAAGUCUGAUCACGCUUGUGACCGUUGUCCCGCCACGCCCAUGGUAUUCUCCUCACCACACUCGUGGUCCUCUCCUUACCACGCUAGCUUGUGGUCGACUAUCAACAACGACCGUUGCCACUUGACUGUCACAGCCGUUGCCUCAUGAUCACUGCACCAUCACACUCGUGAUGUACUACAUGUCAUGACCAUGACUGUCAUCCAACCAUACCCGUCACGGACUAUUCGUCAUGCAUGUGACUAACUGUCAUCCACGACCGUGACGACCUUUUUGUCAAGCCCGUGAUGUAUCAUCCCUCACGCCUGAGGCCAACUCUUUGACAAGCCCGUGGCUGAGCUUCACCACGCCCAUUGCUUGUUGAUCAUCGUGACCGAGGUUAACAUCCCGUCACGCCCGUGACUGACUUCUUUUUCCUAGAACUACCAGAGUUGCUACAGCUGUUACAGUAACACGCCUUACUGUCUUUCUGAGACCAACAAAGACCUAUCUCUACUCUUGCCCUAACUACUCCAUCGGCCCUCAGAUGCUUCCCAUCCUUGCCUUCAAGCAUGGUUCUCAAUUAAAUACUAGAGGCUAACUGUCUCUUUGACGUUACACCUCAAGGAGCGAAAGCAUCCUUUAAACUCUGAAUUCCCUUCCCAUUGGGGUCCAAAAGGAUCAUCCGACUAAUGGCUCUAAUGAAGAGUUCCACUGGAUGAAAUUCCCAGAUUCCAUCCAAUGCAUCAUGUAACACCUUAGGCAAAUCGCACAUCGACAAAGUACGAGAGAGAUCAAUGGGUUAUGAGUAAUACUCUAUCCUUAACUGACAAGAUACAUUUUCGGGGUGAGAUGAAGGAGUUCGUGUAAAGAACUCUGAAGUUAAUCAUGCUCAAGUGGGAGCGGUUUAGAAAUGGGUGACCUCUUGGGAAGUCAUUGUUCAGCACCCGAAAAAAAAUCCGUGAGGGAUUAGCUAUACCCAAAGCGGAAAAUAUCUUAUCAGAAAAGGUUGGGGUGUUGCACUUCCCUUAUCACUACCCCUUGUCUUACUAGAAUUCUUAAAGUUCAACAACAAGCCUUUGAAUCAAGAAAGUAAGAUACUCUGCCCCUUGGUUCCUUAAUCCCUUUCUUUUCUCUUUCUAGAGCUGGUGAGAGAGUGGUCGUUCAAAUCCUGACAAACUAUCGCAAUGUUCCCUUUUAAAGCACCUGAAUCCUGAAAACUCUUUUCUUAAUAUCUUUUGCAAAGACUGACUCACCACAUCAUUUUUUUCUAGACACUCACCUACUGCCCCAUGAAAGACUAGUACCGUUACAUGUGUCGACUCACCUUCUCCCCUCUGAGGUUCGUGACGCCUCUGAGGAGUAGGUAGCAUACCGUUAGGGUUACAAGAAAACCGGGCUCUAAUACUAGUUGUCAAACCCCACCCUAGGAGUCCCAGUCAAACCACUAGUUCAACCGAUGAGUCUUACUCAGUUUUUAACUUGAACCACACUCAACUCUAGGCUACUAAUAAAAACAUUAAGACAAGCAUUAACAGCUUAAACUGAACACUUCAAUAAAAUUGACAAACUAGGAUCCGAAAUCCCAAAACACAACAAAUCAAAAAGAGAUGCAACUCCAGUUUAAAAAUACAUAAAAAUUAUAUCCUCUAAUAUAUAAAAACCAACCAGCUUUCUCCCCUCCAUCAGCUCCAAUACCUGUGACUGAACACAUAGAUAUGCCAAGAAAAACAAGUCUAAUGGGGUUAGUGAUAACCAUUGAGUGGCUAAACUAGGCUCGCAUAAAACUGCAACUAUACUAAGAAAAUAGGGCAAGAAUCAAGUAAUGUGACUCUGCGGUCCUGUAGGGAUCAUCCUAUCAAUAGUCACCCCUAACUAGUAGCUGAUAGCCUCAUGAAGGAUCAUACCAUGAAACCACCCGUUGAUACCGUGUGAGCAGCAUCUGUACGCAUACUCCACACAUCUUGCAUGACCGUAGAAACAUCCUGGGGGAUUUUGCAAUCCAUGGGUGGGUGACCAACACACAUAAGGAGCUAAUCUAGCUAAAUCUGAAUUUUGUCCUAAGCAUGAACUGUGAACCACAGUUCAAAUGUCAUGAGCUUAUGCUCGAACUUAAACAACUACCUGUUCAGUAGAUCACACGCUACUGCACAGUGUAUGAGCCCGACUCUGUUUCAUAACCCAUGUAUAGUAGAUGACACGCUAUUGCACAGUCUUGAGAGCCCGGCUCCGAAACACAACACAUGUACCGUAGAUCACACGCUACUGUACAGUCCUGAGAAUCCGAUCAUCGCAUUCCUGACAAUCCUAAUUACAGUUAUAUGCUUAAGUCAAAAAGUAAUCCUAACCCUCACCUAUUAAGAAGGGAUGGCAUUUCUGAUUCUCACUUGACAUGAUUCCUCUCACUGCCACUAAUCUAUAGCUUCUGACCGUGCAUCAUUUGGAGUUUAACCAAUUGAGUUAUACUCCAUUUACUUGUAGCAAUCUGAAACUUGCUAGGACAGAAACGUGGCGCUAAUCCUCCAACUGCCUCCAUUACACUAACUGAUCCAAAACUUCUACUCAUUGACAAAACUAACCCAAGUCCUUAACUAUAAAACAUCCAAAAGUUCAAAGUUGCUAAAGGUCCUCAACGCGUCCUACACACCACCAAAGCCGUUGCACCCUUGCCGAACGCGGAUGGCGCCACCGCUACUGCUAUUCCUAAAGCUCCGCCUUGAAUCUCCUCAAUCUCCUCCGAAAUAGUGAUCGGCACCGCCACAACUCCAUCCUCGUUUGCCCUCGAUCGAUGGAAUUCAAAAUCCUCACCUCUUGGCGUCAAAACUAAUGGCAACAAGUAACUUACCCUGCUCAUCGUCUCAGUGCAUCACCAGUUAGAUCAUGGAAGGGAAGUUAAACCAUUCUCCCACUUGAUGGUAAUGGGGCCCAACUCCACAAUCUGAUCCAUCAUACGGCCCAAGGCCCACCUCAACUUUAAUUGGACUCAAGGCCAUAAUUUAAGCCUAGGGUGGCAGUCCUCACCCUUCACUUGAAUGGUUCAAGUCCUAUCCAGAGCUAUAAAAUCAAUCUAACGGUCUAGAAAUCUUCGAGUUCAUAACUAACAAUUCACAGGCUUAACCCCUCUUCUGAUGGACUUAGUCAACCCAAUAACUAUCUCGAGCCUUACAAAUCUUUAAUACUUGGUCAAUUGCUGAGUCAACUCAUCAAAUUAAUUAAAUUAAUUCAUUUUUCAACUUCCGACUUCUACUCAACGAGUAAGUUUUGAAUCAAAAAAAAUUUUAACCGAACCAAAAAUUGAGGUGUCACAAUUGUCUACAGUAUGCUUAGCUUAUACAUGUGAUGGUUAGACAGUUAUGUUCAUGUUUCUACUUGAUGAUGUGAAAUUCAUUAAACUAAGAUAAGUUGUUAAACUAUAAUAAGUCCUUAAAUUAUGAUAAGUCAUGUUCAUGAGAUCCAUGUUAUGGCAUGUCUUUUUUCCAGGAUUAAUGCUCCCAUUAUGUCCAUCAUAUUCAUGUUACGGUUAGGUAGUUAUGUCAUGUUAUGUAUUAUUUAAUGAUGUGCAAGUUGUACCCUCGAAUUAUGAUAAGUCAUGUCAUGUCUCCCUGAUAAGGGUUUAUCUCAUUUUCAUGUGAUCCAUGUUAUGGUUAAGUGGUUAUGUCAUGAUAUGUUGGGUUAUUACAUGAUGAUGUGCAAGAUGUGCCUUGAAUUAUGAUAAGGCUAGACUACUUCAAGGUUAGGGUGUGAUAUGUCUACAUGACUAGUGAGUAGUGAAUAAGUACACGUUACUUAGACAAGUAAUGUGUAUUAGAAACAUGUAACUUUCUGGCUAGACCACCACCCCCUAUGUUGUGAUCUCAUGGUACCGUCUGAUGGAUACAUACUCACGGACUCUCACGUUCACGUUUGGGCCGGUAUUGCCCCUCAUGUUACCGUCUGACUGAUACGUACUCGCAGACUCUCACGUUCAUAUUUGGGCUGAUAUUGCCCCAUGUUUCUCACGUUUGGGCCACAUUUUUCCCCUUAUGUUACCGUCUGAUGGAUACAUAGUCCCAAACUCUCACGUUCACAUUUGGGUGUUGGACUAGUUAGUUGAGUUGGGGGGGGACGUCCCGCUAUUGAAAGUUCAAGUGAUAAGAUACCUCAGAUAAGUUCAUGUACAAGUAUGUCAAGUUCAAGGGAUAAGAUAACUUAGAUAAGAUCAAGUAUAAGAUUCAAUGUUAUGUGUUUUCAUGUUCGCUAAGUGAUGUUGGUGAUAAUGACCACCUGAUAUGAUAUGUUCAGUGAUUGUCAUGUGCUGAUGUGUUGUGAUAUGUUCAAAUGUUUCUUAGAUGUGAUAACUAUGUGUUGGGAUAAAUAUUCAUGUAAUGAUGUGUUCCUUAUGUUCCAAUGUGCCAUGGAUUUGAUGACUAGUUGUGAUCAAUAUUCAUGCAGUGAUGUGUUCCUUAUGUUCCAAUGUUCCUUUAGAAUGGAUUAGAGGUUCAACCUUUGAUGAUGACUAUGUUACUUGCCAUGUUGAGUUCUCAUGUGUUAGGAUUACACAAAGAUGGAUACUAUAUCUUAUAUGCCUACUUAGCUAGUAUCAAUGAUGCCUUAUACAAUGAUAUGUUUUUGUCUUCCCUAUGUUCUAGCAUGAUACUCAUGUUAUGUGUCUACAUAACUAAGUCAGAAUAUGUUGUGGUUAGAUAACUAGAAAGCAUGUCCCUAAGUAAAGGCAAUGUUUGAAUAUAGCAAUGUCUGAUUAAGGUGAUGUCUGAAUAAGGUAAUGUCUGAUUAAGAUGAUGUCUGAAUAGUUUGAUGUCUGGAUGAGUUGAUGUUUGAAUAAUUUUGAUAUUGUUAAACUUAAGUUGGAAAUCAUAUGUGUUAUAUUAGAGCAUAAUAGACUAACCCCAGAACCACCCACUAGGGUGUUUCUAAGUUGAUGCAGUAGUAGAGUUGAGCUGAUUCGGAUGUGCAGCGAUGGACUUGGUAUUCAAUGUCGGGUUUGAGUUUCAAGUGUUUAUUCUGAGACUUGAUUCUUUUCAUGUUGUCUUAUGUUGGAGCACUCUCCGCUUUUGUUAAAGCAGAUGAUCAUUUUCUAUCUUUUUGGUUGUUCUAUUUAAAUAAAGUUUUUGAAAUUCCUUUGAGUUGAGUCCCUAUAGGGCAAUUUGGUUAUUAAAUAAAUAGAAAGUUUUUGGGGUGUGUCACAAGCGCCCGCGACAAAGAGUAAAACCUGCGACCAUUGUAUGAGCGCUAAUGGAUUUAUUCAAACGUUGUCGCAGUCCGCCUAAAACAAGAGCUCGACUGCGAUAAACAUAGUGAAUGACUACCCUUCAGCAGCCGAUCUCCACUCAUUCCACACAGCUUCAACUCUCCUCCCAUCUGAAAUCCUCCUAUUCCUCUCAAUUUCCUCCAUCGAUUUUCUCCUCUUCUCUUCUCCAAUUUUGUCACCCCGACUUCCACCCUUUUCUCGAAAUCGCCAAUAUCAGCUUACUGUUACUAACAAGAAGCAUAAGAGUUCGAUUUUGAUAUAGUUGUGUCGGGCAAUCGCAUUGUGUUUGAGUUGAAGAAUCAGGGGGUUAAACCUGUAGGUCCACUUCAUUCCUUCAUGGGAUACUACAUAAGUGAGUGUACAAGAAAUUAUGCUUACUACCCGGUCUCUCCAAUCGAAUGGAAGAAGUUGUCGCCCCAAUUGAAGACACGGGCUUGGGAGCAGUUUGUGCUAGUAAGUAUUAUUUUAGUUUUUUUAAUUAGAUAUAUUUUUGUAGUUAAAAUUGUAACUAGUUAGUGCUUAAUUGAUUUAUAUUAUAAACCUCUUUUCACAUUGAGGCGAAUGAGAUGGUUGAAGCUCGCAAAUAUUGGGAUCGCAAUGUUGGAAGACUGUUGGGGGAAGUCAAGGAUCACAAUUUGGCAAGCUUAGUUGAAGCAUGCACAAAUAAACCAACUCCCUCCAUAGUGGAUUAUGAAUAAUUCCUUGACAGGUUGUCCAAUGGCUGAUUGGAUAACGUACUUGUUGCGAGUUAACGACAAGUAGUUCGAGAUAGUACAUAUAUUUACAGAUUUCUAAUUGUAUUUGAUUGUAGUUUUUAAUACCGACUCAAGAACUUUUAUGUGCUUGAGUCAUAUCAAAUCAAGCCGCUCAAAUGGAAAACCAUAAAGGAGGGAGAAGGCCAUGUGAUACAUAUGUCAAGGAAACCAUUGAGAAGAUGGGUAAGCCACCUUCUCUACGCCAGAAGUUCAUAAAGUUCUUCCACUAACUAGAUGGAAGUUACAAAUCAGAACAUGGAAUACUUGUGGUGGUAAUGACUAGUUUCCAUAUAUAUAAUAGAUAUAGCUUUAAACUAGAAGACAAUAGAAUUAAUUGAACAUCUGUUAUGUAGGAGACUAUCAGCAACUAGAGCGGGAAGGAGCACCGACUGAGGUUGGGCCUAAUGACUCAUUGGCUCAAACACUAAACAAGCCAAAGCAUCGAGGCCACGUUCGGAUGAUGAGUUUGGGGUUUACCCCACAAUGGUAAUAAUGUUCAAUUUCAAAUUUGUUCUUUCUUGGGUCGUUAGUGUUUGUACCUUGUUUGGUGAUAUUUGUACUGUUUUUUCUUUAAGGUAUUUGGUGGUGCUAGCACUUGUUCAUCAUCAUCAUCAGCUCCUUCUGCCUCUGGGAAUGCAAGUGUGUCCUCAAAUGCUGCUCCUAGUGCUCCCCCUCCCUUACGAGAAGAGUUUGAUUGGAUGUCGUAGCAGAUGGCAUUGAUGUUGCAACAGUUGGCUACAAUGUAUUACAUGAUGUCGUCGGAGCUCGCCGGUGCUUUUACCUAAGUUUUGACUCCUGGGAUAGUUCCUGGUACUCCAUUCAAUCCAAGUCCUCUAUAUCUGUAUUAGGAGCCUAUGCAGCAGCAACAACCAUCUCAACAAUAGCAACAAGCUCAUGAGACCAAUCUUAUGGGUUACUUCCCAUUCUCUCAAGAAGCCAAAAAUCAGUUUCGCCUUCAUGGGAUGAUGGCGAAGCCUUUUCUUCCCUUCUUCAUACAUUAGAAAGAGUGAGUUUUAUAAUUAGUUUCUUGAAAUUUCAAUUAGAAUUCAUGUUUGUACUUACUUGUGUUUUUUAUGUUUAUAUAUAGGUCCCCAUUCCAGACACGAGGGAGCAACGAGAUGAUGAUGAUUGUUCGUAGUUGUAUUUCUAGUUAGUUCUAGCUCUCUCCCCAUCCCUAUUCCCAUAUAUUAUGUAGUAUUUGAAACUUCUAAGAUAGUUUCUUAAGAUAAUUUCUUAACGUUUGCAUAUUAAUGUUUGUUAUUGUAGUUUGGAAUUAUUACAUGAGAUGGUAAUUAUGGAAUUAUUAUGUGUUAUUAUGGAAACCUAAAAACUGCUCUAAAUUCUAAAAUUCUGCUCUAAAUUCUAGAACAUUGAAAAAGCUCUAUAACUGCAAAGGUAGAUCAAUUUGAAAGUGAUAGGUGGCACCAUACCAGAAUAGACACAUCUCCAGCAUUAUUGUAAUAGGCUAGUCGCAGGCCCUUUCUCGCAAGUGUUGACUACGAUUGGCCGGUCACUGGUAGCGCCUGUGAUAAAGCGCCUACAACCAGCCAAUCGCAGCCAACGGCUACGACAAGGCGAGCUUUGUCACAUCAAUAAUUGUCGCAUGCCUAUUUCUAUUUGUCGCAUGCACUGUAUGUAACCAUCCUUCUAUUUUAUGGCAGGCUGGCCUGCGACAUUGUUUUGUUUUUGCUUGUGACUGUUUUCCCUUUUUAUUGCAGUGUAAGUUAUACACUUUCAUGCAUUAUUACGUGUUGAAGAUGGAUUCUAACGUGAUUUUGAAAGCUCCUAGACCGAAACGAGUGACCAUUUAGUUUGAUUCUUUUAGUAAUGUGUAAAUGAAAAGUCUACAUGCUAAAUAUAAAUUCAUAAAUUUGUUCUCAAUAAUAAAAAGUUUACUAGUUAAGAAUAGUUGAAAUAUUGAUGGACGAUGUUAAGUUCAUCCUUCCAUAAAUUUAAUUCACAAACUUAAAAUGAUUCGUAAGUGAAAUGUUAGUAUUAAGACGUUCACAGAUGAAAACAACAAAGAUUGAACAUCAAACUGUAAAGAUAAAAAUAAACUGUAUCUCAUAUUAUUUGGAAUUAAGNNNNNNNNNNNNNNNNNNNNNNNNNNNNNNNNNNNNNNNNNNNNNNNNNNNNNNNNNNNNNNNNNNNNNNNNNNNNNNNNNNNNNNNNNNNNNNNNNNNNNNNNNNNNNNNNNNNNNNNNNNNNNNNNNNNNNNNNNNNNNNNNNNNNNNNNNNNNNNNNNNNNNNUAAUAUAAUACUCAUAAGUGGACAUAACAUAGACAUAAUCCACCUAUAAAGUGGACACAAUGAUUAUAUAUAUAAUUUUAUCAUAAUAUGAACAUAACAGUGACAUAAUUUACUUAUAAAUGUAACAUAAUAGUGAAUUAACAUACUCAUAAGGUGAAUAUAAUAGGGACAUAAAAUGUUCGUAAACCAAGCCUAAAAGAUGCCUAAUAAACUUAUAACUUAGACAUAACAUAGGCAUAAAAGAAUUGCAGUAGUACUGAUAUUUAGGUUAUGUAGCAUAAUAGCCUAAAACAAGUGGUCUACUCAAAACACUAAAAAUUGAUAUAUAAUCGUAAUAUAAUUGUUCUAUGACAGUUAUCCGUUAUUAACAUAGAAGUUGUACAAACAUAUUGUGACACCUUGAUUUUGGGUUGAGUAUGAUUCUAGGAUAGUAUUGGUUUUUGUGAGUCGGUGAGAAUCACUGUCAGACGGUCCGUCACGGGCGUAUCGGACAGUCUCUCAUAGGCGUGAUCAUCAGGUAGAUCAUGAUCGUGGUCAAUGAUAGUCACGAACGUGGCAGCCGGAGGAUGACGGCCGUGACCAUCAGUAGGUCAUGGACGUGGUUUCCAUGUCACAACGGGUGAGGUAAGCAGUACGCCAUGGGUGUGGUGGACAACUUAUGAAACCUAAUUUUCUUCUUCCUUGCAAACUUCUGACGAGCGACGAUUGUUCCAGGCACAGGGGAAAGUCUUGUUGAUCGAUCCAGACCAGUAGGAGAGGCCUAGAGAUCAUCGAGGAAGCUUUAGGAGGUAAUCUACCUUCUUCCUCGUUCGUCAAUCCUUUUCUUUGAAUCCCAUGUAGGAAAAUCCUGACAGGUUUGGAUUUGGAGUUUUGGGAUUUCAAUUUUAUGAUUGUUCCCUUCAGGUUAUAUGGAUUAGGCAAGCAAACUCUAGGUUUCAGAUCAUACUCUUCAGAGGAAAGCUUUCAGAGGUAGGGGUUAGGAUUACUUUUCUGCUUUAUGCGAAGAAUUGUAAUUAGUUGUCAGGAAUCCUUGUUUGGAUUUUCAGAAUUGUACAAUAGUGUGCGAUCUACUGUAUAGAAAGAUUUGUUAUGCAGUUUAGAGUUUCGGGUUGUACAAUAGCGUGUGAUCUACUGCAUAGGCAGAUGGUUAUGAUUCGAGCAUAAGCUCACAACGAGAAACUAUGCAUUUAUACAGUUCAUGUUAGGAUUAAGAAUCAGAACUAGAAUAUACUAGCUCACGAUAUACGUUGGUCACCCACCCUAUAGAUUGUGCGAUCCCCGAGGCUACAUUUACUUUCAGGUAGGACUUGACGAUAAUGCCUUCAGUUGCUGCUCUCACGGUCUGAUCCACCAUGAGGUCAUCCGCUCAUAGCUAGGGGUGGCUAAUGUUAGGAUAAUACCUAGAGGACCACAUGGUCACAUUACUAGAUACUAGUUCAGUUUUUCAUGUUCAGGGUCAGCUGCUCAGUGCUUAUCACUGACCUUGUUACAUUUCAUUAUACAUGAUCAACCUUGGGACUUCAGGAGCCAAUGCCGCUUAAGAAAGGAGCAUGAGUAGUGACACCACCUCGCAGUGAGUCUGGGAGUCACACAGAGAGGUACCAUCGAGUACCUCAGCUGUCUCUUUCAGUGUUUUCAUAGUUUUAAGACAGUCUUUCAUGUUUUUUCAGUUGUUUGUGAGACUUAUUUUACAGUGGUUGUUUUCCCAGGUUUGGGAUGUCUUUUAGUGAUGUUCAUUUUUGAAUUCGAGCCAUGAUGCUCUGUUUAUUUUUUGCUGUCGUUUUACUUAAGUAUUGAGGAUUUUCAGUUCAGUUAAUGUAUGUCAGUUGUUAUGAUAUAAGUUUGAGUGAACCCAUGAGCAAUGCAUGGAUAGAACCGUGUGGUUUGAUCGAGUCAUCUAGGGGUGGGUUUCACACAUAUUAGUUAUAUUAUGUGACAUUAUAAUAAAUAAUAAAGGGAAUAUUGUCAUUUACCCUCUUUUACUUCACCCAACUCGCAUUAAGCCCUCUAUACAAUUCAAUGUUCCAUUAACCCCUACACAUUGCCCACUUUACCAUUCGUCUCCUUCCGUUACGCUUUCCAUAUGUACACCGUUAAAACCAUACAACUCAACAUGCCAUGUAAGUUUUUCGGCACCACAUCAGCGUUUAAUUCCUUUAACAAUUCAUGAAAUAUAAAAAAUUCCAGACACCCUUCUUUCUUCACUCUUCUCCACUCGACCCCCAACCUUUCUCACAUCCGAUGCAGCCGAACUUCGCCCCGAGGGUGAACACAAGGAGAGGAGGGUUGCUAGAUUUUGGGUGUUGUUUUUGCACUCAAAUCCGAUUCAAAAGAAAUAUUGGCCACACUGGAAAAAAGUUAUGGUUUGAUCAUCCUCUAAACAUUCGUAGCAGUGUAAUUCAAGGUCUUAAAUUGGCUACCACUACCAAUUGGAAAGUGAGCAAGCCAAUUUGUAGCGAACACCAAGUGUUCAACAAAAUUCUUAGAUGCUAAAAGACUCUUACUGGCAUCACAAACACUUGACAAGGGUGCUAAGUCACUAUUUGACACCCCCUAACAUUCCAAUCACCUAAAUUGUCACUACCUAAGUGAUUACCAAAAUGCACUCAAGGUGUUAGAUAAAAUGCCACUAAGAGAAUCCUCACACUAAUGGUUGAAUUGGGGUGUGUGCUUGGUCCACACACCCUUACCCCAAUCUUGGACUACACACUUACUCAAGUCAAGCACAAUUAAGUAAUUGAAAGAGUACAUUUGACCUAGAACAAGCCAUAGCACAUUCUAAGUUGCAAUAACCAUAGUCCAACCAUUCUCAAAUACCAUAAUCCAUAUCUAACAUGUAUCCAAAUCCUCGUCAUGAGGGGAUCAUCCUAGUACAUAGCAAUACCCUAAUCUAACAACUAAAGAGUCUAGCCACUCAUCAUGACACUAAAACUAAAGAAAAGGGAUACAAUCACCAUCAAUCAACUAGUAUGAAGAAGAUGAUGAGGGUAGGAUCCUUCCUCAAAGCUCUACUAUUCCAAUUCCUUCAAUCCUUGGUCUUCUCUAGCUCCGAAGCUUCUUCAAGGUCUUCAAUUGAUCUUCUAAGGCUUCAAAUUGGGUGAAAAUCGAGAGAGGAGUCGGGUCUCAACAAUUGUUAUGACUGUAGUGUGAAUUGUUCGUCCAAUCUCCAUGGACCAUAUGCCAUGUGGACCAACACGGGCUCCAGAUGCCAUGUGGCCUAAUUUCCAGCUUAGGACUUUGUUCUUUGAUCGCACAUAUCUCCCUCGUCCGACCUCCGUUUGAGCUCUGGUUGGUCUCAUUGGAAUUUUCUCGUUGUUCUUUAUGCAUCGGAUACCUACAGCCUCAUAUAUACAAUGAGAAACGAGGUCGAACGGACCAAAAUGAUCCAUUUGACAAAAUGAAACAAGAACCCCUUUUUUUCUUCCAACCAAUCACAAAGGAGGGUCAAAACUAGGUCAAACAAGGUAAAAAACAGUCAAGAUGUGGUCAAAUUGGCAACAAAUAAUCGUGCUAUCACAUCCCCCCACACUUGAACGUUGCUUUUCCUCAAGCAAAUCUACUAAUCACACUCAAAGAGAACUCGAAACAGGGUGAAAAGAAAAUAUUUCCUAGCAUUUCAAGCCUAUUUCACGAUGCCAAGAUUGCAAGUCAAUCACCAAACCACUCAAUUAUGUAUAAGACAUUGAAUCCCUUAAAAAAUUUCACACCAAACUCUAAUAUAUAGAUAUUAUGAUUAGAUACCUAAACAAGCGAAUGUACUAAAGUUUCUCCAAUGCACUUAUGUCAUAUGGUACUAGCGGAAGAAAUGGACAGACAGACGGUCCUGGCUGGGUAUUUUUCCCGUCUUGAGGGAGGGGAUGCCUGAUCUAACAUAAACAUAACUAUCACCAAGUAUACUAGCAUCUCCCUCUUCUUUUACUCUACUUUGCUUUCUUUUGUAUUUAGUUUUCAACUAUCUUUUCUCCCUCUUUUUUUUCACAUGGAUGCUUUUUCCAAAUGAGGUGGUUGUGAUUCCAAUUAGGCUCAGAUCCGGUGAAUACCGGGCACCAGUACCGCAAUCCACACAUCGAAGGGUUGAGAAGAGGAGCCCGAGGUGUUGAGCAUACGAGUGGCAGAUCGAAAUCUACCUUGCGUGUUUGAAUCACAACCUUCCUCCAUAUCAUUCUUAAGCACAUUGGCCUCCUGUCCAUUUUGACUUCAUAAUACCAUAGACAAGUUCAAAAAGGAGAAUCAAUCAUACAUAUCGAGCAAGUAAAGGUGAAAACUCAAAACAUCCAUAUGUGCGAGUUUGAAGCAAACUAAUUUCAGGAAAAUGGGAGGUAGUCCACAAAUGAUUACUCAACAACCUAUUCGUCCUCAAGUAGUAUGAAUAAACUAGGUAUGCAUCCAAAGAGAUUCACAUAUUCAAAUUUGAGAGGGAGUAUCAAAAUUCAAGAGCAAGUCAGAAAAAAUGCUACCAAGAUAUGCACAAAAAUUCUCAAACCCGAAUAGUAUAAAAAAAUCCUCCCCCCCCCCACACUUGUACAACACAUUGUCCUCAAUGUGAAAAGAUAUAAGGGGAAGAGGGGUACCAAACGGGGGUGAGGAGUGAAGCCGGAUGAGAAGAUGAAGGAUCAAGAUCGAGUACCUAGAGUUUCACAAAAGGCAAGAACAAAAAAAAAACAAAAAAAAAACGCAGAAACAAACACGAAUAAUGGUCGAGUCAAGAGAAAAGAAGAUAUCUCAAGGCCGUCGAGGAGCUGUCUCAACAAGAAUCCAAUCCACUUAGGCAAGAGUAUACAAGAAUGUGCACAAGUAGAUAUGGAAGAGGCAAGAUGCAUAAGAUAUGCAUAACCAAUAAAGAAGAUAACUAGUUAUUCUCAACCAAGACUAACUAGCAAUCCUAAACAAGAGCAUCCUAUAAUCCAUAAAUGAGUAAGACAAGGGUGAGAAAAAGCUAUGGAACCAUCUCAACUCAUUUAGAAUCAAUUCCAGAAAGUUAUCAUCACAAACGUGUACCAAGUCCAAUCAACAAGAAUGAGCAUAAAGAGUGUAUGCAAAGCAUCAAGUGAACAAAGUAUGCAUCAUUCAACUAUAAUCAAUUUGAGAGCUCAAUGGACUACUAGUAUGCAUCAUUCUUCUUUGACUCAUUAACCAAAACAAUGAGCACAUAUGGAUAAUCAAAAGUAGUGGCAUGAUCAAAAUUCAAGCAUUAGAAGCAAUGAGCAAAGUCACAAUCAUCAAUUCAAUAAUUGGACGCAUCAAAUUCACCUAGCAACAACCUAGGUUCAACCAUACAAGGGAGCACAAAGAUGCAAUUCCAAAUUCUCAUCGCAAGAAUUCAACAACCCACAUAAUUCUUGUUCAAAAAUAUCAUAUUGGCAAAGCUAGACAUUCAAGUAGGCACAACCAUCUGAAACUGGCAAUUGCAAUGUUCAAAUUAGCACAAAAGCAUCAUUUGACCAAAUUUGACCACAAUUCAAACUUUCCACACACUCCAUCAAUCAAACCAGAGCAAACAGAACACAGACGACACAGAUUCAGGCCACAUCAUCAACCAAAAAGUCGUAGGCAGUCAAACGAGCUUUCCAACGCCGCUGGUCUUGCGAAAAACAAACGCUCGAGCAAGAAGUUAUGCUCAAAAUACCGAACCACAGCAUUUUUUCGCACAAGGCGACCAAUCAACGGAGGGUCAACGUCCGGUGAACCGGUCUGGUCAAACUCAGGUUGGUUCGGUUUGAAAAUCGGUUAAACAAUGCACCCCCUUCUUUGAAUAGUGCAUCUUGGCACAUUUUUAACACAAUCGAGCACGUUUCGGAGCUGGAAAUUCAAGUUUUUUUUUAGAAAACCCAUUGGAACUGUAGAUUUUGCAUAAAAAGUACGCUUUAGCCUUUUGUUUCCAAAAUCAAGCAAAUUUUAGGAUCUGAAAGUUCAAUUUUUUCAGAAAACCCGUAGGAAGUGUAGAUUUUUCAUAAAAGUAAGUCUGAGCAUAUUUUUUAGUAAAACAACCAUUUUUUAGCUCUCGAAAAUAUAAAAAUUUCAAGACUGCUUUUUUUCUUUUUCCUAAUGCAACGAAACUUCCUGCUAGCCUUAGGCACACUAAGAUAAGAUCAAGCAAAUCUCCAAACACUCGUUCUCUCGUCCCGGUCAUCACAAGAACACAAGAAACAAAAACACAAACAAAACACGACAAACACACAAUCAUGCAAGUUUUAUUCAAUUUUCCUACUCCUAAGCUACACUAUUCAUGACGAGACACCUAUGGUAUCACCAACUUGGUAAUGUUCAAGAUGCAUCCCACAAAGUAGAAGAGGGUCAAGAUGAGUAGAGGAGGUUACCUCGAUCUUGGAAGGAACGAACUUUUGUUACCAUAAAGGGGCCGGAGAUGAGGACUCUAUCGCCCUCUUUGAGUGCUUGUUUGGUGGGGAGGUGCAAAUCAUGGAGUUGCUUGAUCGCUUUCUUGCAACUCCCAUCCUUGACCUUGUGGACACUUUUUUGGUGAGAAGAAGGAUUCUUGGGCUCAAGGUCUGGUGGUUCUUCAUGCAUGUUCCUCGCCUUAGCAUGCACUCCCUUGAUCGAGAUAGCUUCGGUUUCCUUAUUAUACUAUUUCACACACUCGCUCAAGGAUGGAUCCAAGGCUUCAUGAUGAAGAGAUACAUUAAUAGCAUAAACUAAAGCCAUUUCAACGGGCUCGCCAAUAUCAUUAUCAUCUUGAGGAUCCGGGUGCUCCAUACCCCCGAUCAAUUGAAAUGUGGCUUCCUUUUGACCCACUCUCAAGGUAAGCUUACCCUCAAACACAUCUAUGAUUUCCUUCGACGUGUUGAGAAAUGGACGACCCAAAAUCAAUGAAACGUCGGUGUCUCCGGUGUCAAUCACAACAAAAUCCACCGGAAACAUGAACCUUCCAACAUGCAUAAUAACAUCUUCAACUACACCACUAAGCAAUUUUGUAGUUUUUUCCGCUAGUUGGAUGCACAUCUUAGUUGUUGUAAGUUGACCUAGGCCUAGUUUCUUGUACAAUGAAUAUGUCAUGACAUAUAUACUAGCACCUAGAUCUGCUAAACCUCUUUCAAUCACAACUUGACUAAUCAUGGAAGGGAGAAAGAAACUACCCAGAUCUUUGCGUUUGCAAGGGAGGUCCCUUGAGAGGAUUGUCGAGCAUUGCUCAUUGAGAUUGAUGUUGGAAGCUUCUAUGAGCCUUCGCUUGUUGGUGAAGAUCUCCCUUAGGAACUUGGCGUAUUGAGGCAUCCUUUCGAUUGCCUCGACGAAAAGAACGGUGAAGUUCAUAUUGCAAAGUCGAAGCACAAGUUGCUUUAAGCUCUUCUCGAGAAGAUCCUUAUCCAAUUGGUUGGGAUAAGGUGGCUUAGGGUUGUAUGGAGCCGACUGGGGCUAGGAGAUAGGAGAAGCCUCAGUUGAACUCUUCGUAGCCUUCUUGGAACCAACUUCAGUUGACACCUUUGGCUUUCCAUUACUCUUUGGAGCUUUCGGAACUAAUGCAUGCGGAACCGGUGCACUUUCUUCGACCAUCACUUCAUUCUCUUAAUCACUAGAUGCUUCAUUUUUCAUUAACAUCUUUCACAAGAAAUUCAUUAUCAUGCACAAGCUUGCUAGGUACAUCGAUAGGAGGAUCGAUUAAAUUUAGGAGUUGUGGACACAUAGUGUCUCAUGCUCCUAGUUGUGAUAGAUCCACAAGUUUCCUUGCUCUUUGGAUUGGUUAUGAUAUUUCUAGGUAGAGUGCACGGUUGCCGACUUGAAAGAGCGUGUGUGAGGUAUCCAACUUGAUUCUUAAGAUCCACCAUUUGAGCUUGAGUUGAGGCAUUGUGGGUGUCUUGAAAUGCUCUUUGCUCUUGAGUCACCUUGUUGUGCUCUUGGAAGAACUUAGCUUGAUUCUCAAUCAUUUGGUUUCCUCCAUUGAAGCUCCCUUGAACAUAAUCAACUUCUUUAAUGAAGUGCUCUUCCUCCGGUGCGAAAUCGGGAGCAAGGGAUUGGCAAGUAGAGGUGGCAUGCCCUUCGUUCCCAUAACAUUCACAAACAAAGAGUUGCACAACCAGUUGAUUCACCUUUGGUUCUUGUACCUCUUUCUUUUGAGGUGGAGUGGCGGUUGGUCUCACCACCGGUUGAGCCAAGGCAAGUGCUUUGAUUUGAGCCGCCAUGCCAUCCAUCCUUGAUAGCAUCAAGUGAACAAGAUGGUUGGGAUCUUCCUCCUUAUGUCCCGGCAUCUCCUUAAGGACCUUUGGAGCUUGAGUGCGAGUACAAACAUAAGGAUCUAUGCUCACCACCUUAGCUUCUAUAGGACCUUGUUGCCUAGACCAACUCUUCAUCUUCACCGCCAUUUCCCGGAAGACUUGAAGCCAUCAUUUGGCGAGGAGUGAUCUCAAGUCUCCUCCCGCCGCUUGAUUGGUCAUCUUGGUGUCCUCAUAAGUGAGUCCUCAUAAGUGAGUCCUCUAGCAAAGGUCUCCGCGAGUUUCCACUCAUUGAAGUUGAAGUUGUGAUGAGGGCAAGAGUAGAGAAGGGCUUGGGACCUCUCCCAAGCUUCAAAGAAUGGCUCUCCAUUAAUUUUCUCAAAGUUGGAGAUUCUACUUUGGAUCUCAUCCGUCUUGUAAGGCAGGAAGAAUUCCUCCAAGAAGGCCUUUGCUAGAUUGUCCCAAGCUUGGAAGGUAUUGUUUCGUUGGUUGUCGAGCCAUUGAUUUGCCUUCCAUUGGAGUGAGAAGGGAAGAGUCGGAGUUGAAUGGCUUCUUGCGACACAUGAUUGAACUUCAUUAGAUCCAUGAUCUCGAGAUAGCUACUUGGACAUUCGUGCUCGUGCCCAUGGUAUACGUUUUGUUGCACCAUUUGAAUGUAGUUGAACUUCAACUCGAAGUUCCGGUUAUCAAUAAGGGGUGGAGCACACUUGAAGAAGUACCUUCAAGAGUUGGCUUAGGUAAUCACCUAGAGUUCUUUGAGGUUCUUGAGCCAUCUCAAAGAUGUUAACAAAUUCAUCAGCCUCUCCUUUGCAAGAUGAAACAAUUGAUGAGUGAUCCAGGGUUGUUAAAGAAGUUGCGAUGUGAGGUGGUGGUGGUGCUUGAGGUGGAGAUGAGAUGAAUCUCUUUGGUAGACGCCUUGUACGCUUCAAUCUUCUCAUGCACUAAUAGUGCAUGAACGGAACCUACACAACAAAGCAAACAACCAAGGGAACACAACAAAGGAAUAAACACACAAGAAGGGGGUAGCAAUAAGUAAAAUGGAUUAGGUAGAAUGCCUAAAUCGGUGUCUAAUCUACUCUUUCAAGGGGGUGAUUACACUCCCCAACAAUGGCGCGAUUUUGAUCCUCUAAAAAAGAACCAAACAAACAUGAUCGGCUAAGAAAAGGGACUAAUCCCAAACCCAAGGUCUCAAGUGACAAUUUUCACGAGGAACAGACCACCAACCCUAUACUCAACUAUUAAAGACACGGUUUAAGCUCACAAAAGUUCAAAAUGCUAGUUCCUUAAAUUAUCCACUAAAGUACAUAUCAUUCACAAGAGUAAUUGGAACUAAAUUAAGCUAACGAACUAAGCAAACAAGAUACUAAAGAGGGUGAACACAAGGAGAGGAGGGUUGCUAGAUUUCGGGUGUUGUUUUUGCACUCAAAUCCGAUUCAAAAGAAAUAUUGGCCACACUGGAAAAAAGUUAUGGUUUGACCAUCCUCUAAACAUUCGUAGCAGUGUAAUUCAAGGUCUUAAAUUGGACUACCACUACCAAUUGGCAAGUGAGCAAGCCAAUUGGUAGUGAACACCAAGUGUUCAACAAAAUUCUUAGAUGCUAAAAGACUUACUGGCAUCACAAACACUUGACAAGGGUGCUAAGUCACUAUUUGACACCCCCUAACAUUCCAAUCGCCUAAAUUGUCACUACCUAAGUGAUUACCAAAAUGCACUCAAGGUGUUCGAUAAAAUGCCACUAAGAGAAUCCUCACACUAAAGGUUGAAUUGGGGUGUGUGCUUGGUCCACACACCCUUAAUCCAAUCUUGGACUACACACUUACUCAAGUCAAGCACAAUUAAGUAAUUGAAAGAGUGCAUUUGACCUAGAACAAGCCAUAGCACAUUCUAAGUUGCAAUAACCAUAGUCCAACCAUUCUCAAAUACCAUAAUCCAUAUCCAACAUGUAUCCAAACUCUCAUCAUGAGGGGAUCAUCCUAGUACAUAGCAAUACCCUAAUCUAACAACUAAAGAGUCUAGCCACUCAUCAUGACACUAAAACUAAAGAAAAGGGAUACAAUCACCAUCAAACAACUAGAAUGAAGAAGAUGAUGAGGGUAGGAUCCUUCCUCCAAGCUCUACUAUUACAAUUCCUUCAAUCCUUGGUCUUCUCUAGCUCCCAAGCUUCUUCAAGGUCUUCAAUUGACCUUUUAAGGCUUCAAAUUGGGGGAAAAUCGAGAGAGGAGUCAUAUCAUCAUACAUCUUAAUAUUAUCUCUAAUUGGGACCACCUCAAUAUUAUCUGCAACAAUCUCAUCCUCAGUGUCAACCUCUAUGGCAAGUAGCUGUUGUAACUCCGUUUCUGAAGAUGAUGCAACCACUCCACUAGAGGAGGCAUCACAAUGAACAGCAAACCUACAUGAACAAACUCUAUACGAUUGAGGUUACCAAACAAAUCACCCCACACUUAUCUUUUGCAUAAACCAAUAUGCAUUAAUCAAGCUGUAGAAAAAGAGAAGAGUGGGCUUAGAAGCAACUAUUGAACAUCUCAUCCAAAUAGGAAAUCUGUCAUAAUAAAGAAUACUCAACAUCAUUAAGGCAAUCCACGUAAGGUUUAGGGCACUUAGAAACUAUCCACAAAGUCACACAAACAAUGUAAGACAUGUAAAAUUUCAUAAAUUCUUAACCCAGAAAAAUACCGAGCAAAACUCAACAUUCCUAUGACACCUAAUCAUAUAAUUUCAAAGUGCAAAGGAUGUCAUUAACAUCCUAUAUCAUACCCAAUUGAAUUCUAGCAUCAUCAAUUUCACAAAACCUCAUAUUUGAAAUUUCAAGUUCUUCAAGCUAAUCAUCAAUCUCAACAAUUUAACCAAUCAGGGCAAAGUGAACAAGGAGAAACUGGGCAAAAUUCAAUGUAAACUAGCUCAAAACUCACUCAAAGUUGAUGAAAAACGAAGGGGGGAGAUUGGGGGAGGGUUCGGCGGUGACCGACAACGGUUCUAUGGUGACAGGAGUGCGGAGUUUUGAAUGACGGCAAAGGGGUAGGAGGGUGGAGUCGGCGUCAGUGGAAUGUUUGAAAAAAAUAUGGUUCAAAAAUCGGCUAAGGCUAGAAUAUUUAGAAACCCGUGUCAACUAUUGCAUUGUAGAAGUGUCAAAAAUGCGGUAUGGACAUAGCGCAAUGUUUGACAAAUCAUAGCGCAAUGAUUGAAAGGAUUUCCAGAACUCAAUGUCAACAUUUUUUCUAUAGAUGGUCAAUUAUUGCGCUAUGGGCAUAGCACAAUGCUUGACACAGAUCCAUAGCACAAAGGUUGACAUCCUAUUAUGUGAACUUCCAUAGUUCAUGAAAGAAUCAACACUCUUUGCAUUGACGACUGGGGACAAGAAUGACACUCAAGUAUCACGUUCUAGACUCGAUCUAACUCCUACACAUGCAAAUUGACUCAAAGAAUAUGAAAAAUACUGACUCCAGACAUGGGCUUCCUUCCAUGAAGCGCUCUUUCUUUAACGUCUUUGAGCUAGAUGAUACAAGGACCUCAAUUUAGCAUCUUCAAAGUAAUGAACUUUUACUCCAUCGGUAGGCUUGGUACUGAGAUAUAGCUUGAGACGUUGACCGCUGAAUUUAAUGUUCCUUGGUCCGGAUGUGUGAUCUCCACAAAUCGGUAGGGAAAUGAUUGUGUGACUUCAUAAGGUCCCGACCAUCUUGAUUGUAAUUUUCCCAAAAAUAGUCAGAGCUGGGAGUUGUAGAGCAGCACCUUAUCUCCCUACUUGAAUUCUUUGACCCCUUGAAUAUUAGCAUCGUCGAUUCGUUUCAUCCUUUCCUUAUAUAUACAUGAGCUCUCGUAAGUAUGAAACAUGUGCUCCUCUAGCUCAAGGAGCUAAUAUUUGCAUUCUGAAGCUACGAGACUAUCAUCCAUGUUUAGCAGCUUCAUGGCCCACCAUGCAUUAUGCUCAAGCUCGACCGGUAAAUGAUAAGCCUUUCCAUAAACGAAUCGAUACGGGAAAGUGUAGAUAGGGAUCUUGAAGGCGGUUCGGUAAGCCCAUAGAGCUUCAUCGAGCCAAAUCGACCUGUCCUUAUGAGACUGAUCGACUGUGCUAUCAAGAAUCUGCUUAAGCUCACGAUUCUUCACCUCCACUUGACCGCUUGCAUGUGGAUGGUAAGCGGUCAUCAAUCAAGGAGCUAUGCUAAAUGUUUGGCAAACUCAAUAGAAUUGACCCUGAAAGUGAGUGACUUUAUCGCUAAUGAUAGCAUGAAGGCCGCUGAAACGCAUGAAAACGCAUGUAAUAAACUUUCCCACUGUCAGAACAUAGUUAGUAGACAGCGGUUGCGCCUCUGCCCACUUUGAGACAUAAUCCACUUUGAAAUGUUACAUGUACGUUGGCAGUUGAUUUUGGGCUUUAAUCUGAAUUCUGUGAAUUUUGGAAAUUGGCUGAUCAAUGGACAGUCACAGGCAUGACAGUCAGUCUAUCACGGGAAAGGUUGUCAGACAGACCACGACCGUUGUCAGCAAACAUUCAUGGGCGUGACCACUGGAAGAUCAAGGGCUUGACCAUCAGGAGGUCAUGGUUGUGACCAUCAGUAGGUCACGGGCAUGGUUUCUAUGUGGCCACGGGUAUGGUGGUAAGUUGGACAUGGGCGUGGUGGACUUAUUAUAUAAGGACAGUUGCAACUUACAACUCAGAAUUACUGAAACCUAAGAACUUUGAAUCCCUCUGCAAAUGGCAAUCAAUUUCAGGAGAUGGAGAAAUCCCAUUUGAUCUAAUCCCAAAUCAUUAGGAAAGGUCUAGAAAUCGUUGAGGAUGCUUCCAAAGCUACUCAAUCUUCUUCCUCCUUUCUCAAUCCUUGAUUGGAAAUCCUACGUAGGAAAUUCCUGACACAUUAGGAUUUGGGGUUUUCAGAUUUCAAUCCUAUGAAUUAAUCUCUACGGGUCAGACAGAACAUGAGGCUUGAUCUUGGGAAGGUAGCUUCAUAUUAGACUCUACUAGGAAAGCUAAUCAGAGGUGGGGGGUUAGGAUUUCUUUUCUGCUUUAAGUGUAGAACUGUAAUUAGGAUUGUCAGGAAUCCGAUUAUUAGAUUCUCAGACUGUGUAGUAGCAUAUGAUUUAUUGUACAUGUGUUGUGAUUUGAAGGGCUCUCAAGACUGUGCAAUAGCGUGUGAUCUACUGUACAUGUAUUACGAUUUUUAGAGCCAAGCUCUUAGUAUUGUGCAGUAACGUGUGAUCUACUGUACAUGGGUUGUGAAACAGAGCCAGGCUCUCAGACUAUGUAGUAGCGUGUAAUCUACUGUACAUGCAGUUGUUUAAUUUCGAGCAUAAGCUCAUGGUGAUUAAACUAUGCUUGUGAUUCACAGUUCAUGUUAGGACAGGAUCAUGUUUAGCUAGAUUAGCUCUCGAUAUGCAUUGGUCACCCGCCCAUGGAUUGCGCAAUCCCUUAGGUCAUGUUCAGGCUCAUGUUGGACGUGUCGAGUAUGCCUAUAGAUGCUGCUCACACGGUUUUCAGGAUGGUUUCAUAGUUUGAUCCACCAUGAGGCUAUCUACCAUAGCUAGGGGUGGUUGUUGUCAAGAUGAUGCCUACAACCUGUGAGUAAUGCAUGGGUCGAACCAUGUAGUUCGAUUGGGUCUUCUAGGGGCGUGUUUCACGGUAAUCUUCUAUAUAUGUCCCGAAAGCAAGGAUGGUGGCUAUCUCGGUAAACCACUAGCGCUUGUAGAGGUGAUGAUCCGAGACUUCCUUUGCUUCUUCCAAGAGAAAUAAUUGAUCAUCCAGAAAGAGCUCAUUUAUCUCUGCUUCAGCGAAUCGACCCAGAGAAGGCCCUUCAAGGUGCGAUAGGUGGUUAGCUGCAACGUUCUCUGAUCUCGCCUUGCCCUUAAUAGUCAUGUCAAACUCUUGAAGGAGUAGCACCUAGUGAAUCAAUCUCAAGUUCCCAUCCUGUUUAGCUAUAAGAUACUUAAGAGCAAAAUGGUCGCCGGAAUCUGGGCAGAGGUCGCCAGCGGUAACGGCCUCACUAGAGAAGAAGGGUGACCUCCCCACAAUCAUGAGGAGUUCAGUGACCAGAUCUGCAAAGUCUGAAAGAUAAGUUGCUGUUGUGCAUUUGAAUAUUCUAAAGUCUAGCUUCCGUAGCUCUGAAGUUUUGGAUGGUUUACAGUUAUGGACCUUGGUCAGAUUUUUUAUCAUUUGGAAGUUCUAGAUCAGUUAGUGUAAUGGAGGUCAUUAGAGGACUAGAGUAACAUUUAUGUCCUUAAAAUUUUCAGAUUAUUGCAAAUAAGUAAAUGGAGAAGAACUCGGUCGUUUGAGCUCCAAAUGACGCACGGUUAGAACUUACGGAUUUAUGGCAACGAGAGAAAUCAUGCCAAGUUAGGAUCAAAGGUGUCAGAUCUUCUUAACAGGUGGGGGUUUAGGAUUACAUUCUGCUUAUAAGCUUAGAACUAUAAUAGGAUGUUAGGGAAUCCGAUUAUUGGAUUCUUCAUGUGAUUCAGAGCAAGGGCUCUCAGGAUUGUACAAUAGCGUGUGAUCUACUGUAUAAAUGUUGUGAUGUGAUUCGGAGCAAGUGCUCUCGGACUAUAUAGUAGCGCAUAAUCUACUCUAUAGAUGUUGUGAUGUGCUUUGGAGUGUGGGCUCUUAGGCUGUACAAUAGCGUGUGAUCUACAGUAGAGGCAAUUAUUAUAAUUCGAGCAUAAGCUCUUGGCGUUUGGACUGUGGCAUGUGAUUCACAGUUCAUGUUAGGAUAGGAUAGGCCUAGAUAGACUAGGUCACAAUUAUGAUACGUCGGGCACCCACCCAUGGAUUGCACAAUCCCCCAUGUUAUAAUCGGGCUCAGGCAGGACGUGUUGAGUAUGCAUACUGAUGCUGCUCAUACGGUAUUCAGAGUGGUUUUAUGGUCUGAUCUACCGUGAGGUCAUCCACAUAGCUAGGGGUGGCUGAUGUUAUGUUGAUGCCUACUGGACCAGAUGGUCACAUUACUAGAGUAGUGACUACAUAGAAUUCCAUGUUCUAUUCUUAGUACAGGUCAGUUUCAAUCUCAGUUCUACGCGAGUCCAGAUAGCCACUUAGUGUUUAUCACUAACUCUAUUAGAUAUUAUUUUCUCUGGUGUAUAUGUGUGUUCGGUCACAAGAACUGGAGCUGAUGGUGGGGAGAGAGCUAGUCGGAGUUUUGAUAUCACAUGAUAUAUGUUUUGAUGUAUUUUCAGUACUAGAGUUGCAUCUCCUUUUAUCAUGUUGUGAUUUGGGAUCCGAGAUCCUUGUUGGUCAAUUUUAUCAAAGUAUUUCGGUUCAACUUUUAAUGCUUGUUUUUGCUCAUUUAUUAGUAGUAGAGAGUAGAGGUUGGUUCAGCUUGGAACCCGAUAAGAUUUCUUGAUUGAACCAGUGGUUCGACCAAAACUCUUAGGGUGGGGUUUCAGAGAAAAUGUGAUAGUGAAAUAUACAUUUCCCAAAAAAAUUCAUCUUCCCACCGAUAAGUUUUGGCUAUUUUCGUAUUUUCAUAAUUACCUUUAUUUUAGAUUGUAUGAUUCAAUUCAUUACCAAUUGUCAGAUUAUGUUGUGACAUCAUCAUUUCUAUCAAACGAACAACAUUGGCUCCAUUUAUAGGAUUUUAUCUAUUGCAUAUAAGACUAUUGGAUCCAUUUUGAUUUGUAAAAGUGGGUCCUACUUCCAUCUCAUUUUGUUUUGAAAUUUUGCAUACUUCACUUUGAAAGGCUUCUCAUUAAUGCAAUUCAAAAACAUUUGCAAAAGUGGACUUACAUGAAUAAAAUGAUCAUUUCUUAUAUAUUAUUUUAUUAGCAAAUAAUGAUAUGAGAAGGCCCAAUCCAUUGGGUCUUGAUCAGAAUGGCACAACCUAUUAAAAAUACCUAUUUUGGCAUAACAUAAUUAUAAUUUUACAAAAUAAAAUAUUUAAUUGACUUUUUAAAACUCAAUACAAAAAACUAAAAAAAUAUCAAAGUUCAUCAUAUUCUUCUCCCACCACCAUCCUAUCUCCACUAUCUUCUUAUCAUCCCCAUCAUCCAUUGCUAAACCCAACAAUUACUUUCUCUAAAUCUAUCACUUACCAAAUCCAAAAUCAUAUUCAUUUGUACACACAACCAAGUAUGCAAAUUUUAGAUAUGAUUUGUGUUGGUUUUUUAGAUCUGAUUUUGUCGAUCUCGAAGGUGAAGAUGAUUGACGACGGGGAAGGGGACUCUAAUACCCAAAUAUGCUACUGGAGAAUAAUCCAUCUUUCCAGACUAUUGCAAUUCAUACCGCUCCUUGAAUACUUACAGAGAAAGACGGCGCAUCGAGCUCAAAAGGAGAGGGUAGCGAGCAAUCGAAGGAGAGUAGAAAAAGCCGUUGCAAGCAAAAGAGAAAUCGACCACCAGAUCUCCUAGGAUUCCUCAUCUGAGGAAGCCAUCAAGAGAUUUUUUCCUAUAAGUCAGUUCAGCUACUAAAGCUACAAGUGGUGAUGAUGAAUAAGCUUCCAUAAGUGGUUCGCUGGGUAUCUCUACUUUGACCUCCUUCAUGGGAGCUCCGUCGUCGCCGCUGGCGACCCUAAAAAAGAACAUGCAUUUAAACGCGUUUACACACUAAACUAAAAAGGAGAAUGAAAGACUAUAAUUGGAAUUUCAACAACAAGAGAAAGUUAACUUCUUUUUUCUAAUCCACCGUCGGGAGGAGCAGCAGCAAGCUUCGCCCGUCUUCUUCCCUUUUGGGAUUUUUUUGAAUUAAUUAAGAAUUUUAUUAAUUAGAAGUUUAAAAUUAUAUGAUGUGGAGCCUAUAUUGAAGUCAAGUGGGAGGUACGUCAGGGGUGUUAAGUUUGACUGUUAAGUUGAUGGUCAAAUUUCAAAUAUGUGCCACAAUAAGUAUUUCUAAUAGGUUAUGCCAUUCUGGGUUUAGACCCAAUAGGUUGGGCCUCCUUAGAUCAUUAUUCAUUUUAUUAACUACAUAUAUGUUAUAAAAAUGUAUAAGUGACAAGUGGGUCUCAAAUGAUUAAAAAAUAUAAAUGAAAAAAUGGGCCACAAGUGAGAUUAUCACUUUGACUUGGAACGAGUACAAAUUUGCACUUAAAAUGAUCCUUUCCCAUCAAUAAUAUUCUCAUUUAAAUUUAAAAAUUGCCACAUAGGCUCCAUGUUACUUAACAAGUAGGGAAAAUCUCAGUGAUAAGAUGCUAUAAUAACAAAUAAUCUUGAGGCCAAAUCCAAUAACUGAGCAUGCCUUCUACAUGUCGGACUCCACCAUAUAAACACGGCCCACGUUAUAAUUGAUUCAUUAAAAAAAAGAAACAAUUUGAUGAAUUGAUGAAAGAAGCGAAAGGCAAAAGAUGGAAAUUGUCGUUUCUCUUCCUAAAACUAGGGUUUUGUUUCUCUCACUAAAAUUAGGGUAUCUCUUCGUCAUGAAGACUUCCUACACCCCCAUCGCCAUCAUGCUCAAGCACAAACCUACUCCUAUCAUCAACAAACCCAUCCCACCUACCGAUGUUGUCAUCAAAACAAGACCGACCCUUACUGCACCCAUGGCCUCCCUAUCGUUGAAGGAGAGUCAUGGCUCGGAGGACCUGACCGGAAUGACAUGGCUGACGAUUGGAUACCAGAGCUGCAGCAAUCUGGAAAGCCCCACAAAGAUUCUCCGCCGACAAAGACCAGCAGGUCAACACUAAGGAGAGGCGGUGUUCCUCCGAUCUUCGAGCUACAGGGGAGCGAGACGACUCUACCCCAUACACCAUAGUGACAUCGCCGGUGUGGACAUCCGAUCAUUCCAUUCAAAGCUCAUGAAGAUCGGCUACACUUGUGUUUGGCUUUCUUUAUUUUUGUUUAGUACUCUCUUUUUAGACAUUUGGUUGAUUUUCAGUCGUACGUUGCACUUCAUUUGUUUCCUUCCUUGAGUCGGGGUAUAGUUUUGUUAAUUUUUUUGUUUAUUUCGUUGCAUCUAAAACCGUUGAUGGUCGAAGAGAUUAAAACUGUAAAUAAAAUAUUCAAUUACCUACUUUCCCCUUACAUCUUUUCUAAAAAACAACUCUCAAUUGCAUUUCUCAUGGUCAAUGUUAUAUCACGCCUCCCUCUAUAAAGAAAUUAUAUUUUGUAAAAAAAAAAAGCGAAAGGCAAAAGAUAUCGCGAGACCUAGUUCUAUAUAAACCCAUUCCAUUCGCAGGUUACGAGCGGCCGUCAUCGCUGUCACAGGGCCAGAUAUGGGAAGCGCUAAAGCUGGCAAACCCUCAAAGAAGUCUCUCAGAAACCCUAAUCCGCUUCGCAUUACCCAUAGGAAGAUUACGAAGCACAAACGGCAAGACAUUGCUGUUGAUACAGUUCCCACCGCCCUGAAGUAGAAACACAACCUCAUAUCGGAGAAGAGGAGCCCCUUCCUUCAGCUUCCCAGCAACUCAGCUUUUUCCUCAGCAAGUUCCAGUCAGCUAAUGGUCUUCAAGGUUAGUCUCUACCGCUGGAGCUCCACAAUAUUGUAUCCCAUGACAUCUCUAUUUGGUUGCUGGACAGAGGGAUUAUUAACAAUUUGUGUAUUGUAUUUGCAGAAACAUCCUUUAUUCAGUUAUUUUGAGAGCUGCCUCAGGAUGUUGAGGGCCUAGGCCAGCAUUUGAAGACUGCUUUCGGAAAGUCAUGGAAAGAAGAACGCUGUGAUCGAAAGCUCGUGGAUAGGUAAACUGAACCAGAGAGUCCUGCUGCUCUUUUCAUUUCUACAUCUGCAUUGAGAGCAAUAGAACUUUUAAGGUAUAGAUUCUCUCAGUUCUUGUUAAUGAUCUUUGUUUUGCUCGAUUUAAUCAGGGUUUGGGCUUGAUUCAAUCUUCUUCUUUUAGGGGUGUGCGUUCACUGAGCGUUCACUGACGAAAGAAUGCCAUGCUGCAAAGCUCUUCUCUAAGCACAUGAAGGUUGAAGAACAUGUGAUAUCCUUUCCCUUUUGUCACUUGUUGUUCCUAUUACAUCGUUAAACAAAAUACUAUCUCUUUAUGUUUCGAGGUGUUGUCAUUUGUUUUGGAUAUCAUUCAGUUCCUUUUAUUAUUACUGCUGCUCGAGUUACGAACAUCUGAGGAAAUAGCAAUGCUUAGGAUGUUAUUGUCCACUUCACUGUCUCGAGACACCGACAUUGUCUUUAGUUAUUAUUUAUGGGUCCAACAAGUUAUGACUUGAACCAUGGUCACAUGGAACAAAAUUAAUUUAUAAAUUCGGACUUCUGUUUCAUCAGUGACAUUUUCACUCUUCGUCAUCAUAUACAUUUGGUGUUUGUUUGUUUUUGGUAAAAGGAUUUGAUAUUACCAGUUAUAAAGAUCAAAGGGCAGUAGCAGUGCAGGAUAAGCUUUUUUCACAUCAGUCUGCUUCUAGUUCAGUAUCUUAGUUUCAAUGAUUUAUGGCUGGAAGCAUGGAGCAGUAUGGAAUUUUUGCAAACAAUUGUUGGAUUAGGAAUUUCAUACUUCUUUUCACUGCAUUUUGAUGUUGGGAUAUGAUGAGUUACACGGAUCAAAUGCUCUAGCAGUGCUGAAUAUGUUUUUUGCACGUCAGUCUGAUCCCAACUUACCGUAUUUUUACUGCCCCUACCUUUAAAUGCAUGUCCGAGUUCUAACAAUAGAUGACUUGAGACAUGGAGCCUAUGAAUGGGGGUUCUCUGUUUGAUUUUAUGACAUUUUACAAUAAUUGUCACAAAUUUUUUUGACAUUGGAUAUGAUGAUGAGUUAGAAUCAAAGGCACUAGAGAUGCUGAAUAUGAUUUUUUGCACGUCAGUCUGAUCCCAGCCUUUCGAUUUCUGAUUACUGGAAUUUAAAAUUUUACUUUGUUUUCGUCAUUUUGACAUUGGGAUAUGAUGAUGAGAUGUAGAUCAAAGGCAUUAGCGGUGCUGAAUGUUUAUUUUGCACGUCAGUCUGAUCCCAGCUCACUGUUCCGAGAUUGUGCUGCCUUCUUGCAUUUCCUAGUUAAAAAAAUGUACUCCUUGGACAUGGAUCUAAACGAACUUCAAAAUAUGAAUGAUUAAGAUUUCGUGAUCAGUGUCAUUCAUAGUUUAUGAUCACUAAUUUAAAUCUCGUGGCAUAUCUUGCAGGGUGUUUAUAGCCAAUUAGAUGCCACACUCACUGAAAGCUUAACUUACGAUUUAGGUUCUGGUUGUGUAUCCCCCCCCCUGUCCACCGCCUUUAACCUUGUACUUCUAAGCAAUUGAUUGUAUUUCCUGAAUAAUGGCUACAUAUUUCGUAAUUGUUCAUGCUCUGCUGAUUAUAUUUUUGCACGUCUCUGUUCCUAAUAAAACUGCACACUAUUUUACGAAAAAAGACGUGCACGCUAAUAUCGUACACCAAUGUAAUAUAACACUAUUAACAACAAAAAGUUCUUAGUACGGGUUCAAUGUCAUCAUGCAACAUCCAUGAUGCCGUUCCUUAGUCUCUCUACGUGACUCUGUGUUGCAUUUGGUAAACUAUUUCUUAAACUUCUGGCUCCGUUUACUGCAGGUCACUUUCUUCAAGAAUCGUGUCAAUAUUGCCAGCGGCACACCAAACAGGUUAGUCACCAGUCAUUUCAUCUCGAUAUUGAUGUUACAAUGGGUCGUUUGGAUGAGGUAUUUGAAAGUGGUAUUUUGGCUCAAGUAACUCAAACUAAAGUUAUAACUGAGUUAUUUGGGCCAAAACACUUCGUUUUCCAUCCGAAAUAAAAGUCGUUAUAUUUCAUAACUGUGAUAUUUGAAAUAAUUAUGGAUGUGAUAUUUGAAAUAACUCAAUUUAAAACCAUAACUCAAAAUGAUAGCUAAACGAAUAAUUCUUAUCCCCCAAAUUCUUACAACUGAUCCAAACGAUUAAUGUUUACUUGCUCAUCCUUUUCGUUCUAGCUGAAUAUUUGCAUUUCCGAAAUAAUGCGCCCCACAUGAGUUCGGUAUACAUUGGUGAUUGCUUUUGCAAGUUUUCCGUGCAUGAAUUGUUGUGGUAUUCAUCAGAAAAUUACCAAUAGGAAAUAGUUAAGAGGUCGUAGAAAAUGCAUCGGGAGUGUCAUUUUAUAUUGUAGGGGCAAAAAUUGAUUUUGAUGAAUUUGAACUUUCUUGACUAGAUUCUUGAUAAAAAAAACUAUCUUGACUAGGUUGAAGAAGUUGAUAGAUAUAAAAGCAAUGGGGCUCUCGCGGUUUUAAAGUUAUCGUGCUAGAUGUCCACCAUGAUGUAAAGGGUUAUUCCUUGCUCACACUUCCACAAGGGGGAGAUAUAGAGAGAAUGUCCGGUCUCUUUUCAACACAGCGAGGAGCAUAGUCGAUUUUGUCAUGUGAAGAGUUGCUGUUGUACAAGUGUUAGUUUGUUAUUUUGACAGGACACUUUUUCAAUUAUUCAAAACUUAUAUUCUAGCUAAGCUAAGGGUAAAUAUCCAUUUUGUAAUUUCACUUGUUGCUGCUUCUACCAAGAGACAGCACACAAGGAAUUAUACUCAUCGGCUUCCUGGCCGCAAUUGAGUUAAAUCUUCUUUUCGGCCCCUAGCGUUUAAAAUAAAAUAAAUCUUUCACCGGCUACCUUCAAAAUCCUCUGUUUAUCUUUCCUUUGAUCUUAUCAAAUUUUUAUAGUGACAAAGUUUGUGAAAUUACUUAAUAAAAAAAAGAAAAAAUUAUUAAACAAUUGCUAAUAUUUAGGCCCGACAUUCGAUAUAGCACAUGUUUUUUAUAAUAUUUUUUUUUGCCCAAAUUUCAAAUUAUGUUAAUUCCUUUAAGUUAAAAUUAACGGAUUGGUGACAAAUGCUGACAAGGCAAACAAUGUGUCUGAUGUGGAUGGAUGAAAAGAAGUCAAUCGGAAAUAAAUACACAGUCAACAUACAGUUAAAAAAUUUUAUAACAAAAACCACCCACAUUCCUUAUCCUCUUCGUCGACCAGCCUUUUAUCACCCACCUGUCACCUCCCUUCUAAAUUAAUUUUCAUCAGAUGGGGAGAAAGAGUGGAAGAAGAAGAAGAAGAAAGAAAGAUGGAGCAAGGUGCAUUUGAUUUGAAUCCCGACAAUGUCGACAACAAUCUUGUAUCUAAAUUCUUUGUCGAUUUGAAUUUCGAUGAUGCCAACAACAACCUCAUUCUUGAACUCUCCGUCGAUUUGAAUCCCGACGAUCCCAUCAACAACACCAUUCCUGAACUCUUCGACAAUUUGAAUCCCGACGAUGCUGAUAACAACCUCAUACCUGAAUUCUCCGUUGAUUGAAUCUCAAUGAUGCCAACAACGACUCUCUAUCGUUGUCGAUGAAAUGCCCAAGCUUGUGGAGAGAUGGAUACAGGGAGUAGUAGCAGGUACAUGUCCAAAUAUGGAUGUUGAGAAAUCCUCCUCGGCUGUCGAUUUCGAAUGGUCCCCACGUUUCAAAUUGAUUUUAGUGUUCUUGCUGGGAGUAGGUUUGCACGCGGCUGAGAUUGGGUUUAUCUGUUUGUUGCAAAUGAAUGAAUUGAAUUGGUUGGUUUUUUAUUGGGGGUGGGUUUUGCAAGCAAGUUGAGUUGUUUGAUUGGUUUGAAGUUUUUUUUGUCUUGAUUGGGUUUUGUAAAAAAUGCUAGCAGAAUACUGACAAUGGAGGAGAAGGUGGAGGAAGGAAAAAGAAGGUGGAGGAGAUGAAUGAUUUUUUUGGUAGCUGAGUUAUUAUUAUUUAAUGAAAGGAGGUAAAUAAAAUUUACCUAACUAAGCUGACGUGACCAGUGAUUGUUAUGUGGCGUCGGACAUGGUAUCUUGAUGAUUUUCUUCUUACGGCGUUUCGUGUUUGGUUAACUAUAACGGUCAACGACAAAGUCAACUGAUUUUCGUUAGUGUGAUUUGAAUUUUGUCAGAAAAAAAUGUAUUUCGGAAAACAUGUGCCAGAUCAUUUGUCGGGUUAAAACAUUGCCAAUUGUGUUAGCUAAUUUUUCCUAAAAUAAGUUAGUGACAUUUUAUCAAGUCGAUCUACACUACAGGAAACUAGAUGUUUAACAACAUCAUUUUUUCUUGUUGACGACAACCAUUUCCUGUUGUUAUGUAUCAUAACGGCGGCUUUGAUUGCGCUAUUAAGAUUGCCAAUGCAAAGAGAUCCUACCAGCGAAAUAUUGGCCGCGGUUAAGUGGGGAAGCGUAACAGCGAAUAGCUGGCCGCUGUUAGGUUGCAUCCUAAUAGCGAAAUAUGACCGAUGUUAGACGAAAUUCUAAUAGUGGCAUUGUGUCCGUUGUAAGGAUUUCGCCUAACAGCAACUACAUAUCCUCAUAGUUUUCUUAUUAUUUUAUUUUUUUCGUUUGGCUAUUUUCCAUAUAUAUCCAACUUGUUCAAGUAAUUUUUUCGAUAGGUAGAUAGAAAUACAAAUUUGGGAAACACUUUGCUAAAUAUAAAACUAGUCAUUUUGAUUAAAUAUUUGAUUGUUAGGACACAUACUAAUUCCUUGGCUUAAACUACACCAUCCUUCUAAAGUAACUACUUGAUUCAUAGUUGUUCAUCCAACAUGUACAAUCCACUAAACAUAGACUACUCCUCUUGGUCGUAAUCAAGCUCAUCGUCCCUCUCAUUUGUUUCCAUCAUAGUGCUCGUUCACAUUUGUUUGCAUCAAAUGGCUGCCAUCAUACAUUUGGAUUUAGAACAUCUGCCUCAUCUCCUCCAAAUCAUGAGAUAAGCCAACUUGAGAGUUGGCAAGAUGAGCUAUACACCUACAAUACACCAAAUAAAAGUUAGUUUUUUUAUCCAAAAAAAUUUGCAUGACCAAUUCGAAUUCACGGUUUAACUUAUACUCUUUGAUCUACAAAAUGAACAAACGAUACUAGAUUUGGAAGGACAAGUUUCGACAGCUACAAUGAAUCAAGGAAACCUUUUACAUCUACAUUAUCAAAACAUAAUUGCAGAAUUAAAAGUAUAAACCAUGAGUAAGGUUGAAUGAUAAAAUUUUCACUAUUUAGAGGUGUCGGUUAAAAUGUGCAAAUUGGAUAAUAAAUUUGCAUGGGAAGGAUGAUUAUGUAGAUUACGUAAUAAACUAACAAAUACAUAUAUACUUAUGAUUUGAAUGGGACUUGUAAGUUAAAAUUGGAGGCGCCCCUCUUAAUUUGUACCUAUUGUAUGUUCACUAACCACCCAUAAUAAAAACAAGCAAGAAAAAUUGGAUUUGGUGGAUCACUCGAUGAAGAAACAAGAUUCGAAACUAGCCCUCAUAACUUGAUUAGGUGAAGUUUCUACCUAUAACAGUCCAACUUAGUGGUAGAAUUAAUUUAGGAUUAAUGCUGAAAAAUACAAAUACUUAUUCAUUUUGCUUUCACUCUAAAUCCUAAAUGGCGCACCACUGUUCCUGACUUCUCUUUUUUGUUCUUCGAACGUAUACGAUAUGCCCUCGCCAUAGCAUCCUCCUUGCUAACCCCAUGUUAGUAUUUGGUUCCUUCAUAAACUGUUUGACUUCAACCUAUAUUCAAUCUCAAAAUCUUAAAUAUAUUAGAAUUGCAUCUUAUCAACAAAAGGUCAAAACACAAUAAAAUUAUAUGCAACUUACAUAAAAGUCUCAAGUAACAUAUGUUUCAUCUUCUCUUUCAUAACACUUGAAAAAGAACUCAGAUCUUCUUACUUCUUUUCCUUUCGCUUUCUUCUACAUUAUACGUUCUACAAUCAAUACAAAUUAACUUCUCAUGACUUUUGGAACAUAAUAUAAAGACGAUUGAUGAGAUGCUUACUUACCAUCUCUUCACGAAUUAUAUUGAAAGGUUUUGACCCUUUCGUAUGAUAGAUGUCUUGAUUAGAACGAUACCUUGUUUCUUUGCAGAUGCAGUCUAUAAAACUGCUAGUAAUUGACAAAUGACAAUAAUAAAUAUCAUUAUAUCAAAUAUAAGUACAAAUGUAAAACUUACUAGAGUUGGCUUCCCCUCCUAUAUCUGCAAAACAUAUCCCACUCACGUUCAUCAAUAUUUGGUGGUUUCCUGUCUAAGUUGAGCUGAAGACCUUGAGUAGCAUCGAUAUUUGGUGGUUUCCUAUCACGUUCAUCGAUACUAAUCAAUUUUCUUUGGAUAUGACUAAUGUAAUGAAGAAGAUAGAAGAGAUUAAAUCUAAAACCCUUAUGAUUACCCUGCAUUCAUAAAGACUGCAAUGCAAUAUGUACAGAGAGGCGUGGACACAUAGCAAAGUCCUUACAAUUUUGACAAUUACCAUCCAAUACAAUUUUGUAAGCUACAGCUAACAUUCAUGAGCUAAUAAGUUUUGUCAGGUCGGUUACGAAAGAAAACACACUUAACUUCAUAAACAAUAAUAAAUUAUGAAAACCCCCAAAUCAAAGUUAGGGCUCAUCUAAAUCAUUAACAAAUCAUACAAACUGAUUUCAAUCUCAAAAUUAAACUUAGACCCAGCACUAUAAAUAAGAUGUCUAACCUAAAGCUAGAACAAAACACUUCCAAUUCACUAAACGGAAAACAUUUCAAAGAUCUAGAUUUUACUAACCUUUCAAUUUUCUUGCUAACACAAGAUGACUGAUUGAGAUGAUGGACAGGAACCAAAAUGAGCCGCAGCUGGAAGGCCGGAGCAAGCGACGCCGGCACGAAGAAGAAAAACGCCAGCGAACGGCCGUUGGUGAAGAUACUAUCUGGCUGUGUCCUUUGUUCAAUUUGGGGAAAGUUGGGUUUUUACGUGGUGUUGGGGGGUUAUAUGUAUUUGGAGUUUCGUUUAUAUUAAUAUAAUGAAGAAUUAAGUCUCAUUUUGUUUGGGGCUUUAAAUUAAUAACCCAACGUCGGCUUGAUUCUCUACAUAGCCGCUGAUAGGAUUACUCUUAGCAGCUGCCAUCUAAAUAAGAGCCACUGUUAAGUUGUUGUAUUCCAUCAUAUUUUUUAAUUAUUAUCCUAACAUCGGCCAAUAUUAAUCAGGGCCGAUGUUAGGUAGUAAUAACGUAUCAGUAGCCUUCCAUUUAUUGUUAGGAUAUUGACCUAACAUUGAGACCAUGUCCGUUGUUAAAUUUUGUAUGUUAAAAUAUCCUAACUGCAGGUCUAUGUGGCUACAGUUAAAUUGGCAAUAUUAGGUAGUCAGUUUCUUGUAAUGCUACCUUGUUUAUCAUAGAAAAUUUGUUAUGACAAACGUGAUUGUUGUUGUUACAUAACAACACUCUAAUUUUCCAUCUAUUUUUAAUUUUAAAAAUUUGACAGUCUUAAUUUGUUGAAUAUUUUUAAUCUUUUUUACAUUUUUAUCUCUCAUAAAUAUGUCCUAAUUUUUAGUUAAAGAAUCCUCAUUCAAUUUCUAUUUCUAUUUCUAUUUUUUUACCUAUAUUUAAUUAAGUUAAUAACUUAAUAUUUCCUUAAUUGCUUUUUACAGGUUGUCAACGGAGUUCUGGUACUCCCAACAAGUGAGAAGAACGAUCAGAUUAGUAACAGAGCACAAACAAAGGUACAAAAUAAAUUACCAUAUCACAGUCUCAGGUAUAUAACUCCAUACAAUAGCACAUUCAUGGGUACAUAACUAGACAAAAAUUAAUCAAAAAUUGAUACUUCAAUACACGAGGUAUAAAAUGCAGUACCAUAUCACAAACCCCUUUUUUUUUUUUUUUUUUUUUUUUUUUUUUUUUUUUUUUUUUUUUUUUUUUUUUUUUUUUUUUUUUUUUUUUUUUUUUUUUUUUUUUUUUUUUUUUUUUUUUUUUUUUUUUUUUUUUUUUUUUUUUUUUUUUUUUUUUUUUUUUUUUUUUUUUUUUUUUUUUUUUUUUUUUUUUUUUUUUUAUUUUUUUUCUUUUUUUUUUAUUGUCUGUUUUUUUCUUUUAUCCUGUUUUUCUUCCUUUUCAAGAUCUUGAAAAGAGAGAGAAAAUGAGAGAGAGAGAAUGAGAAAGAGAAAACGAGGGAAAGAGAAUGAGAGCAAGAGAGAGAGAGAGGAGGAGAAAUUUUUGGAGUUUUUUUAUUUUUAGUGGCUUUGAUAUUGAAAAUACUAUAUAAAGAAUUUUAGAUGAAAUCAGUCAGUUGAUACAAUUAUUGUUGUUAUGUGCUAUUAUCGUAUGAUAAGCGGGUGGGGCUUUUCUUGUUUUCGUAAACAUCAAGAUUUUAUUGGUUGGGUCUAUGAUUCCAGCCUACAUGAUACUCAAAAGGGCCCUGGUUCAUCUGGAAAUGAAAAGUGCUUUAUGAACGUUUGGAUUGGUGCUUCCUUGACUCGGUUUGGUAACUUCAAUUUCUACCCACCUAUAUCGUGUUAAGUCGGAUCACCGACCUAUUUUCAUGGUUGCGACCAAGCUCAAGAAGUCAAAUCUUCCUCAUACCUUUCGCUUUAUGGCUUCAUGGUUGUCACAUGUUGAGUUUAAGCCUUUUUUUGUCGGAAUGGAAUCGGUCUUUUACCUUUAUUCAUCAGAUGUCCAUUCGAGCUACCAAACUGAAAAAAUGAAAUAAGGAAAUUUUUGGCAACAUCCAAACGAAUAGAAGGAGCUUAUCUUUAAACUUGCUGAUGUUUAAGCUCUCGCAGCUCCUCUACUCAUUCAAGACACCACAAUGGACAUUGCAAGUGACCGGAAUACUCAUUUUUUUCACGUAUCCACCUUCCGUAGGCGUGCUCGGAACCACAUUAUUAAGUGAAGGAUGACUGUGGGGUGUGUAUUCAUUAGGUUUGGGAGUCGGUUAAUUUGGUUAAUAACCAUCGGUUAAUGGUCGGGAAGCGCUUUGAUGAUUGAAAUUAAUUAACCAAAUUAACCGACCGAGCAAAAGCCACGGUUAAUCUUACCGACCGAUAACCGACCAAUCAGUUAAAUGAUCGAUUAUUAACAGACUGACUCUCGGUUAACCGUUGUAACCGGCUCUGACCAAUUUAACUCUCUUCUCAUAUUGCAACAAGAUUCUAGGCUCUGGCUCUAGAUCCGUCGUCGAUUCAAGCCUUGGAGACCAUAGCUUCUCUUCUGGAAACAAUCCGGUGCUCUACAACUUGAUCCUUCGGGACUGGAAGCUUUCCGAGACGGCGUUGUUGCGGAUCAGUAAGGAGAGGAGGAAGCUUCAAGCCUAUGGUGUUGCAGAUCGAAGAAUUGAGAGAGUGGAGGAGGAGAGGAUUGGCCGUGGCGACGAAGGAAGCAUGUGGUGUUGCAGAUCGAAGAAUCGAGAGAGUGGAGGAGGAGAGGAGCGCUUGCGGUGACUCGUCGUGGUCGUCGUCGUGACUGCCGGCGAGAUGCUGAAAUUGAAUCGCUUGGAUUGAUAGAGUUGUCGAGAUGGAUUGAUGGAGUUGUCGAGAUGGAUUGAUGGAGAUGGCUCGGAGUUAACCUAAUUUCAGAAUGAGAGGUUGUGAUGGAGUGGGAGGCUGGGAGGGGAGGGAGCGAUUCUGCGAUUGUGGUGAGCAAAGCUUGAUUUCCUAAUUGGGGACCUUGGUUUUUUUAAUUACCGGUUAACGUUGGUUAACUCGAGUUAACCAACGAUUUUACCCUGCUCCAACAAGUACUCCCAACUGUUCCCCGACCGACCCCUACCUCGGUUAAACCGACACUCUAACCGAGUCGAUCAGUUCAUCUGUUUAACCUAUUAACCGAGACUGAUGGCCCACCCUUAGUAUUCAUCCAGCUUGUUGCUGCAAUUAGUGUCGUAUUGAUAUGGUUGAGAGAGGAUAAAAUAUGCUUGAUUUCAAGUUCUCCAACUUGAAAGGUUUAGCUGUUAAAAAUGUAGAGGUCAUGACUGAGUACUGAUUUCCAGCAAGGAGAAGUUGGAUAUUUGCUUGCGAUAAAAAAGAAUUUGGACAGUCUAUCUUAGGCACAAAAUCUAACGGAUGAGAUGGCAACUUUACUUCAGGGGCCUAUUGGUCAUUUUAAAAUUUUCUUGUUUUUCAGUUUAUUUUUCCAUUCUGUUUAAUAUUGGUUCAAGUAAAAUGAUUUCUUGUAAAUUGGGUCUAUUGAGUAACGUGGGUGGGUAGACUUUAUUGCUCCCAUCGAGCUUGACGUGAUAUUUUCUUCUUCGUUUCUUUAACAUGCAUAAAUUGUAUAUAAUACGAAAGGUUGGAAAUAUAUGUGAAGCUCGAGGUUUAUUAUAUAUGUUUCGAGGUUUAUUAUAUAUGUUGAACCUUUUUGCCAAUUGGUUAUUUUUAUCAUGUAGUGCCUUAUCAAGUAAAGGGAAUGGUUGUUUUUAUCUACUGUCACUAGCCAACUUUCUUUCUCAUGUGAUCAAUUAUUUGAUCACGCAUGAAUGACUACAGUACACAAAAGAUAGAAAUAUUAUAAAAACAAAAAACAAAUAUUAAAAAAAAAUACCUAAAAAGCAGGUACAUAACAACAAAAACAAUAACCGUAAAUAUCAAGUACAUGAAAGCGGAUGCUCAAAAUAAGCACGCACACAUUAAAAACUUUGGUACAUACAAGGCAAGAAAAUCGAGAACAUAUUGGAACUCGAGUACCGGAAUUGGUACGGUAUUAAGUACAACGUGAAGAAAUAUCAAGUACAUUAAAAAGCGAGUAUAUAACAAUAGAAAUAAGUACACGAAAACAACUCAGAGAAAUGAUAAUUUGAUUGCCAAAAUUGAGUAUGAUAAAGUAAAAUGCAAGCACGUAGUACAUGAAACAAAUAUGAGUAAGAGUACAUAAAUUUUUUAGUACAAUACAAGACAAAAACUCAAAUACAUAUAAAAACUGGACACUAAAAAAAAUAAUUAAUUAUUCACAAUUUUAAAUAAUAAUAGUCACGAUUUUUAUCAUGAUUAACAGAAGCUAGUCACGAAAAUAAAUCCGUAACUAACCUAACCGAUGCUAGAUGAACUUGUCACGAAUCUGAAUAACCUGUAACUAAGUUGUCACCGAAAUUUUCCGUGACCAACUCAUCACGGAAGAAACCGUGAACAUAUGUGUUUUUGUUUUUGUUUUUUAAAUUAGUGGCACGGAGCCAUAUGCUGUGAUAAUUGAUUUAUUAAUAAAUUAAUCCCACAUCUCCGUGGCUACUAUAUCACCAGAAUUUCCAGAUUCCGGCAACCACAAUUUCCAGAAUCCGGCAAUAAGAUAGAGUUGAUAAUUGCUUUUUUAUUAGAGUAAAAUGUUCUACAUCUAUACAUUAUGAUACCCAUAUCAAAAUUCCAGAAUCCCAAAAUUGAACAUAACGUCAACGAAAGGCACCAUGCAACAAUGGUGACACUAAGGGUUACAACAACCAGCAAAACCGAAACACAGACUGGAAAUGCUACCAAGAGAAGGAUGAGACUAGAUGAUGAGAUUGAGAUUGAGAGAAGAAAAAUGAUAGUAAGAAAUUUUGUUUUCGAGAGAGAUCAAAUGAAGAUGAGAUCUACUUCUAAUUUAAUAUAAUGGAAAUGGAGAUAUGGUUGUUUAAUGGCAAAGAGAGAAGAAAGGAAUAGCCCAUUAAACGAGGAUAGAGUCUGCAUCAUUUCUUUUUUCGACCUUUUCCCACUAAAAUGCUAAUUUUAAAAUUAUAAAUAAAAGUUGGUCACGGUUCCAACAUUUACCGUGAGUAGUUGGUCGCGGUAUUCAACAAUCCAUGACUAGUUAUGGAUUUUUUUUUAUCUAUAAGUAGUUAGUCAUGGUUUUUAAAGCCGUGAUUAAUAAAUCGUGAUUAAUCGUUGAUUUUUUUUGUAGUGCGAGUAUGAGUAUUGAGUAAAACGUCAUGUACAAAAACAAGUACAUCAAAAGCGAGUACAUAAUUAUCAAAACAAGUACUAAAACGAGAGGAAAAGUACAUAAAAAGCGAGUAUAUAAUAAUAGAAACAAGUGCAGUAAAAAUCAAGUGCAUGAAAGGAAAACGAAACUCAAACUAAACACUAAUACAAAAAAAACUUUAGUACGCAAAUAAGUAAAUACAAGAAAAUUAACAUACACAAACGAAUACAUAAGAGUAUAGUGUUUAAACAAAGCGAUUAUACGGAUCAAUACGAUGUUGAGUACAAAACAACAACUUGAGGCUUUAUCCCUCAUUUUUAGAUGAUUUUGUACUAAGUUCUUAUAUGUAUUAGUUUUUAUUAAUGUAAUCCCUCGUGUACUUUGUCUUUGGAUUUAUUUUUAUGCCAUAUCUAUUUAUUUACGCAUUUGUGUAUACUUAUAUUUUUAGAACUUUAUACUCAAAUCAAUUAAUCAAACAAUAAAACUAUUUUCUCUUUACACGAACCAACAUAAUAACCCAUCACCCCAUACAGGGUUGUGAAGGAGGUGCAGUGACCAGAAUUUUCUAGUUGUUGCUUUUCUAUAGUUUGAUAAGGGUAAGCAUCUUGUUCUAGAAUAUAUGUUGUUAGGUUAUAACAAUGCAUCUAGUUGAGCAUGAUUCUUUGGUCAAGUGUUACUGGGAUUCUUUUUGUUCCACAUCAAUGCUCGGAGGUCGAAGAGGCAACGAGGGUGACGAAGAAAUCGGCAUCACCACGUGAGAGAAGAUGAAGAAGAGGUCAGAGAGUGGAGCCGGUGGAAAAGAUAUACUAGAAGAGGUACUUAAAGUUACUUGUACGACAAAACUGCCCUUAUUCAAUUGGACAACCCCUAGAUUAAAAUUUAAAAAUGAACGGACGCGAUUCGUUUGCGGCCAGCAAACACAUAAUAUCAUGGCUGCCUAUCCGGACUCGUCAUAACUGGCGUCAACAUUACGUAGUGUUGUCAAAAAUUAAAAAGGGGAAUAUAUAAUAAUAAUAAUAACAGACGUAAUCUUGUGUAUAUAAUGAUAUUAAAACGUUUUUCAAUCGACAAAGCCAAGUCUGCGGGAGGAACAGCUAAUGGACGAACAGCCUAAGCAUAAGCCGCCUUCUUCGUAUUCUUCAGAUUCUCUGAAUCUCUACCCUUUUUUUUUGUUACGCGGAUUCCCUUCCCUCGUCUGCAAACAAAAAGCUCUUCGUUGACUUUUUAGCAGGCUUUUUUAAAAAACCUUAAUUGAAAAAAUUUGUACAUGGUUGUUGCCUUUGUUGGCGUCAGCAUGACCCAAUGCUGUUGUCAUGUUCAUGAUUGCUCCAACUCACCUGGCUGCGCAUCUGCCUUCUGACCUGACCUGCCCUCCUCCUUUUUUUUAAAUUAUGUUUCCCCAAAAUUAAAUUUAAAUCGUUACAAAAUUGGUCUCUCCUUCUCCUAUAUAUAACGUGGAAGAGCUCCUGCCAAAAAAGUCAUUCAAACUCAAAGCAGAUAAAUUAUCAAAAUAAAAAAGAAAACCCCAGUGCUCUGCCUGCCGUUAAGAAAUUAGUUUAUUGGGUUUGUUGUGUUUAUGAAAGCUGUGUUCCAGAGACUGAUAUCGUCAAGCACCCAGAUUGGCUGUAGGAAGAAAGUUGCAUCUUUUCCAUUAAUCAGAAGCGCUAAUAUGUCUGAAUCCUCUGCCUUUGAUUCUCCGAGAUUGGUGACCAAGAAGGUCCUUGCUAAGCUUCAGCGUGAAGGGGAUGGUGCUUCUGUCAGGAGAAGCAUUGGAAGGUAUAAUAUAAUAUAUCAUGGAUGGAUGGAUGGAUAUACAAUUUUCUUCUUGUCAAAAUUGAAUUAACUGUUUUCGUUUCUGUGGUGAAAUUGAAUGAUUGAAUGUUGAAUUAUUUUGGUUCAGGAGUGAGCUCAGGUCUCUGGACCCUUUCCUCAUGUUGGAUGAGUUUUCAGGUCUGCUUUGCUUAAUUACUUGAAACCAAAUUCCUUGAUAUUUUCUAGAAUUAGGAUGAUGAUGGAUGAUGGAUGGUAUUUAAUUUGUUGUUGCAAAUUGCAAUGCAUGAAGUCUCAGCUCCUGCUGGAUUUCCUGAUCAUCCACACAGAGGUUUUGAGACUGUUACAUACAUGCUGGAGGUACAGACAGUACUGGAGUUAAUUAUUUAUUAUGAAUUGAAGGCUGUUUUUUGUCCUUGGUAGUCUAUUUAUUGAUGUCUGUGAAAUUCGUGGGUGGCACUGGCAGGGAUCAUUCACUCAUCAAGAUUUUUCUGGGCAUAGAGGGACUAUUCAUGCCGGGGAUGUUCAAGUAAAAUAAUUCACUCAAUUACAAUACUACGACGUUUACUUAAUUAGCUAGCUUUACUUGAUCAAAGUCAAAAACUCUUUCUUUUUUUAAAGUAAACAACAACAACAACUUGUGUGUUUUCCUGUUGGGCAGUGGAUGACAGCAGGUAGAGGGAUAGUCCAUUCAGAAAUGCCUGCAGGAGAAGGAGUCCAGAGAGGCCUUCAGCUUUGGAUAAACCUCUCUUCUCAACAUAAAAUGUAUGUUUUUAUUUCCUUUUUUGUUUGUACUUUCCAACUUCACCAUUCCAACAGUUUGUAAUAUGGAACCAACAGGAUUGAGCCAAGGUAUCAGGAACUUCUGAGGCAGGACAUCAAAAGAGCAGAGAAAGACGGGGUUGAAGUCCGAAUCAUAGCAGGGGAAUCAAUGGAAAUCGAGUCUCCAGUUUAUACAAGGACCCCAACAAUGUACCUUGAUUUCACACUGCAACCAAGGUCCCAAAUGCACCAGCCCAUUCCAGAAUUAUGGAACGCAUUCAUUUACGUCAUUGAAGGUGAGGGAGUGUUUGGGAUCCCAAACUCCUCACCAGUUGAAGCACAUCAUACACUCGUUCUAGGCCCUGGUGAAGGAAUGAGCGCCUGGAACAACUCCUCUUCCAAACCCUUGAGGUUUGUCUUGAUUGCAGGCCAGCCACUUAACCAACCAGUGGUGCAGCAUGGUCCUUUUGUCAUGAACACAGAAUCUGAAAUCCACCAAGCAAUUGAAGAUUACCACUACUCCAAAAAUGGGUUUGAAAUGGCGCAGUAUUGGAGUUCCCAAUAGGGAACAAGUAAGUGCUUGGAUCACUCAAAACCAAAUCUCCACAUUCCCUCUCAACUUUGAAGAAGAAAAGAGUAAAGAAUAAAAAUACACAUCCACAAACACUAAAGGCCACACGCAUAUGUGAGUGAUACUCAUUUGUGUUCCAUCAUGUAUUAAUUUAGCUUUUAUCCUCUUCCAACCUUUUACUAUUCCAAAUCAAAAGGUUGAUUAUUGCAUUGUCACACAAAACAAUGAUAAUAAAAAUACUCAAUUCAUAUAAUCCUUAGAAUUAAUUCUUUUCAUAACUAUAGUAGAUGUUUGAACAAGUGAGAACAAAAUAUAAGCUUAAUCUUAAUAGUAAUAUCAACGGAUAAUAGCACUGUGUGUCACUUAAUUAUUACCCAUGUCGCACAUAAACUACUUAACUUUCUACAUUGCACAUAAAGCCACUUAACUUUGCUUAUGCUUGCAACAUCCAAAUUUUCAUUCAAUUUAUGGAUAGACUGAUCGAAUUGAUGAGUUCUUAUUCGAGAUCUUCUGUAUGAAUAACCUCCAACACAUUAAAGAGAACAAUAAUUUAUAAGAACUGACAGAAUAACUUAUUACUUGUUUACAGAAAAGAAUGAUAAAAUAAAAAGGCAAGAAUAGAUUAUAAUCAUGCCUUGGACACUGCUUUCGAAAAAAUAUUUCCCGAAUUUAGAACACCAAUACAACUAAAGGUUAAUCACAAUAUUCACUCAAACUCUAGUGUAGGGCUUGAAUGUUGGAACUUGGAAACUUAUGCUAUUUUGAUUCCGAUUUUGAGAGUGAAAACAAAGUUUUCUGCCCAUAUUAAUCAACUAGGAUUUCCCUUUUUAAAGAGAACGCAUCCACUAACCAACAUCAAAUCCAGAUUCUCCUUUCUGAUGAUCAUCAAUGAUAAGCAGAUAUGGGGAAGGUGGAGUUGAGCUCCCGAUUUCUAGGAAGCCAACCAAAUACUUCUGUUAAGCAUAAGUCUUGAGUAUAUGCGGUAUGUAACUGAUCAUUACUGUUACUUCAAGUGGUUAGAUAAUGGUUACAUCAUCUUGCUGUUGUCCGUUGAUGACAUGUUGAUAGCAAGUUCUAUUGUAAAAGAAGUAAACAAGUUGAAGAAACAGUUAUCUAACAGUUUACUAUUAAGAAUAUAGGAGACGCUAAACAGAUUUUGAGUAUGUGCAUUGAUCAUGAUAGGCAAGUAGGAAAGUUUUAUCUUUCGCAAGUUGAAUAUAUCAAGAAAGUCUUGAAGAGGUUCAAAAUGCAGGAUGCAAAACUAGUAAAGAUUCCUUUGGGUGGCUAUUUCAAGCUAUUUGAGAAGGAUAUGCCUAAUAAUGAUCCAGAACGUGCCCAAAUGCACGAAACACCAUACAUUUUUGUAAUUGAUAGCUUGAUGUAUGGAAUGGUGUGCACAAUACCAGAAAUUGCACAUGUAGUGGGAGUUGUCAAUAGAUUCAUGGGAAAUCGGGGGGAAGCGAUUAAGUACUCCUGAGAUAGUUGAAGAUUACUACUAAAAGGGUCUUGGGCUUUGAGGGCAAAGUAAUGUAGUUAGAAGGAUUUGUCAUCAAGUGACCUUGAUAGAAGAAGAUGUACAACAUGGUAUAUUUUUACUCUUUGAGGUACCAUGGUUUCUUGGGCUUUUAAGUUGCACUGUCUAACACUCAAGCUAAAUAUGUUGCGGUAACGAAGGCCAGCAAAGAGAUGGUAUGGUUUUAGAAUUUCUUUGGUGAAUUGGGGAAGAAGAAAGAGGAUAGCAUAUUGUACAUUAGUCUUAUACACUUGCAAAAAAUUCAGCAUUUCAUUCAAAAUCGAAGCUCAUAUUGAGUUGAUGUAUCACUUUAUGGGUUGAUCUCUUGGAAAGGAAGAUCUUACGGCUUAUGAAGAUUCUAGGAAGUGAGAAUCCUAUGGAUAUGCCGACUAAGGUUGUAAAGUUGGAGAAGUUGACACUGUGUAUGACUUUAACUGGUUUUGUAACUGAAGUUGAAGGUCAGAUGCUGCUUGUAGUAGGAAGACGUUGAACAUGGAGAACCAAUGAGAGGAGUAUGUCUUCAGGUGGGAGAUUGUUGGGUUAUGGUGCCUAAGAAACUGAAGGCUUGGUCCAGUUAGUUUGUUUAGUUAGAUAAAAAUUAAGAUUAAUCUUGUCUAUUCUAUAUAGGAUUAGAAUUAAUAUGGUAGCUCCCUAUAAAUAAUCUAUAUUCAUAUCAUUGUAAUCUGUAUCACAACAAUAGUAGUCGAAAUCCUAACUUGGUUUGUAAAAAAAGAAAUUCUAGCGUGGUAGCGCCCUAGACAUACUCUUCUCGUGAAGAGGAACUAGGUUCUUAAUUUUUCAGUUUAUGAUUGCGUUUCAUUUUUUACAGGAACGACCAGAUCCAGCUCAGAAACUUCCUCAAGAUGGCGACGUUGAAGAAGCUCUGUCUCGCUAACGCCUAACAAUGGCUUCUCUAGACUGAUUCAGACUGUCCUCACCGCUGGAAAAGGAGAUUAGAUAGAAAUCCAUCUUUUAUUCCUCUUCAUUGUUUUUAUGACAAUUUCUUCUUUUCUUUUAUAAUAGAGAACUAUUUAUCACUUUUGUUGGACAUUUCUUGUUUGUUUCCCUCAAGAACUAAUAAUUUUGGUCAAUGGGUGACCACUGAUGAUGUUGAUUCUAUAAGCUUUAGUAUUUAGUCAAAUUCUUGAGUUUUUUUCAACUAGAAAAAAAAAGAAGAGAGGUUACAGUUUCAAUUAUUAAGUUUGAAGAAUUAAAGAAAAAAAACUAGACUACAGAUAUGAAAAGGUAAUUCUGAUAAUUUUUAUUGAUGAAUUUUUUUUUUGUAAUGAGUAAGAUAAUUUUUUAGGUUUUAUAAAUGGGUUUUUGGUUAAAAAUCUCAUUUAGAUAGAGUUUUUGAUGGGUAAUUAUGAAAUUUGACAUAAAGGGUACAUGAUUAAAAAGGUGGGAAAGGAAGAUGCGAAAAGAAGGUAAGAAGGAAUCAAUUCAUGGCAAAAAAGAAAAAUAAAUAAGAGGGAAGAAAGAAGACAUAUAUUGAUGGGAGGCGGAGGUGGGAUAGGGAGGUGAGAGAAAGAUGUAACAACAAAGAAGGGUUUAGCGAAAGGUGNNNNNNNNNNNNNNNNNNNNNNNNNNNNNNNNNNNNNNNNNNNNNNNNNNNNNNNNNNNNNNNNNNNNNNNNNNNNNNNNNNNNNNNNNNNNNNNNNNNNNNNNNNNNNNNNNNNNNNNNNNNNNNNNNNNNNNNNNNNNNNNNNNNNNNNNNNNNNNNNNNNNNNNNNNNNNNNNNNNNNNNNNNNNNNNNNNNNNNNNNNNNNNNNNNNNNNNNNNNNNNNNNNNNNNNNNNNNNNNNNNNNNNNNNNNNNNNNNNNNNNNNNNNNNNNNNNNNNNNNNNNNNNNNNNNNNNNNNNNNNNNNNNNNNNNNNNNNNNNNNNNNNNNNNNNNNNNNNNNNNNNNNNNNNNNNNNNNNNNNNNNNNNNNNNNNNNNNNNNNNNNNNNNNNNNNNNNNNNNNNNNNNNNNNNNNNNNNNNNNNNNNNNNNNNNNNNNNNNNNNNNNNNNNNNNNNNNNNNNNNNNNNNNNNNNNNNNNNNNNNNNNNNNNNNNNNNNNNNNNNNNNNNNNNNNNNNNNNNNNNNNNNNNNNNNNNNNNNNNNNNNNNNNNNNNNNNNNNNNNNNNNNNNNNNNNNNNNNNNNNNNNNNNNNNNNNNNNNNNNNNNNNNNNNNNNNNNNNNNNNNNNNNNNNNNNNNNNNNNNNNNNNNNNNNNNNNNNNNNNNNNNNNNNNNNNNNNNNNNNNNNNNNNNNNNNNNNNNNNNNNNNNNNNNNNNNNNNNNNNNNNNNNNNNNNNNNNNNNNNNNNNNNNNNNNNNNNNNNNNNNNNNNNNNNNNNNNNNNNNNNNNNNNNNNNNNNNNNNNNNNNNNNNNNNAUGGGUUUGUGGUUAAAAAUCUCAUUUAGAUAGAGUUUUUGAUGGGUAAUUAUGAAAUUUGACAUAAAGGGUACAUGAUUAAAAAGGUGGGAAAGGAAGAUGCGAAAAGAAGGUAAGAAGGAAUCAAUUCAUGGCAAAAAAGAAAAAUAAAUAAGAGGGAAGAAAGAAGACAUAUAUUGAUGGGAGGCGGAGGUGGGAUAGGGAGGUGAGAGAAAGAUGUAACAACAAAGAAGGGUUUAGCGAAAGGUGAUAUAAACAAAAUUAAUUUUGUAAGAAAAUAUUUUUUUUAAUGCCAUGUCAACUAGUUUGUAACUUUUAGUGUCCAUGUCAACAAACAAAAUUUUAUAAAGUUACCAAAAUUCAAAAUUUGUGUUACGAAAAGUAUUUCUAAUAGAUUGUGCCAUUUUCGGUAAAGGCUUAAUAGGUUGUGCAUUUAAGAAAAAAAAUAUUAUUGUGUUUCUACAAUUAACAUCAAUUAUCACCAAACCAUUAAAUACUAAAAACCAAUUAAGAUAUAGUCAUGUUACAAAAAAUGACUCUUGUUAUGAUUUUUUUGUUUAUGCAAUGAUAGGAUGAGAUUAAAAGGUUAAUUUCUUUUUCGACAAAACUUGUAAAAUAUUAUUAAACUCAAUUAGAUAUAAUAUCAUCUACAGUUGGUCAAUCAAAAAAAUUGAGGGUCUAUCCACCGAAACAAUCGUGGAGUUCCAAUGAGUCUGAUUAUACGCCAUAACAUGGGUAAGCUUGUUAACUUAUCUCCGGCCAUGACGCCAAUUACCACAAUCAAACUUUGCCAAAAGGCAACGAAUUAUGGACUAAAAUCCAUGUUCGGUAUGAUGAUCUUCCACAUGAUGCAAAGUCUCAACCAUGAUCAAGCUAUCACUUUCAAGAACCACAUUAGGAUACCUAUGUUGCAAGGCCAAUUGUUAGCAAAAUCUUGCCUCGACCGCCUCAGUUAAAGUAGGCUCAUAGCAACCCUACAAUUUCAACAUAUCCGCCAUUAAGUAAUGCCGAACGCCAUCCCAGAUAACCACCCCAAUACCCAUUCUGGAUCCUGUAAUGAUAGUUGCGUUUAAGGUAGUGAAACUGGUGAGUCAACAUGGGAUCGAAAAGGGACCUAGAAUCGUAAUCGUAAAAUCAAAUCGCAAAAUCAUAAAAUUUCACGGUUCUUCAAUAAUACUAAAUAUUCAGAAAUUCACCUUAGCAUAAAGACGUAAGUUCAUUAUCCAAUCUAAAAUUAAAAAUAAAAUCUCAAAUUCACCUUAAUAGGUUCUUCAGUUGCACUACUUUGAGCUGAUUUUCGAGUCUAGGAGACCGGAGACAAAAUCUGUGAACAAAAUUGUACAAUCUUACAACAAAAAACAAAAUACCUUCGAACAAAGAACCUAAACACCAAAAAUCCAAAACUAAUCUAACAAAAACAGAAUUAGAGAAAGGAAUGGGAUGAUGAGCAAAAUCAUGGAAUGGGAUGAUGAAGAAUCAUGGAAUCAAGGAAACAGAGAUACCUUCGAGCCGUAGGAGUGGCUGGAGCGAUGGGGACGACCAAAGAGGCUAUGACGAGGACCAUUGACUCCUGGUUCUGGUCUUCUAGACUUCUGGGGGACGACCGACGGGGGAGACGACAAGAGAGAAGACUGAGGAUCGAGCAGAGAUCGAACGAGCAAUCGACGACUUGCACAAUUUUUUUCAGAAGAUAAAUGAAUUUAAGGUUCGAUUUUUUGCCCAAAAUUGAACUCGGAUUUCCGUUUCGGUUCGAACCGAAGCAUAAAAACCAGCGGUCAGCACAGAGUAGUGGACUCGUGAAUCGUUGUAAACUCGUUCGAUUCCACGAUUUUCACGAUUUUGCGAGCGAUUUCAUGCCAUUAUAAGCCAUUUUGAUUGCGCGUGAAAUCUGACUCGACGGACCUAACAAAACUCGUAAAAUCGUCGAUUCCACUUCCUUCGUUGUGUAUGUACUGAUAUGGGGUUCCUGGUUUAGUGGUUGAACCGGGGUUGGACCGUUUUUAAACCGGGUCGGCCAUUUUAAAUAUUACAUAAAGUUAAAUCGGACCGAAAAAAUAUUGGAUUGAACGAAAUCAAACUGACAGUACAAAUAGUCAAAUUUUGAGAUUUAACCUUUGAAAAUUGAACAAUUUUAAAAAAUUUAUGUACAUUAUGAUGUUAUUCUUUUUUAAGUUUAUGUAAUAUAAUGAUAUUAUCUAUAGUUGAAGUCUUCCACACAUAUAUAUCUAGAAUGCUAAAGAAACCCUAAUGGAUCUUUCAAUCUUUCUUUAAUUGGGCUCCAACUACUCAAUACCCUCUCUCACACUUUUUUUCUCUAUAGAGAAACUCUCUCCCUUUUUCAUCAGAUUUUUUUCUCCUUGUAAUCUAAUCUUAUUUUUCUAAUAUUUUCAUUCUAUUUCUUCCCUAUUUGUCUCUUUUACUUUUUUCUUUUUGGAAGGUUAUUAGAAAAAGAGGACCACUAAAUAAUUCCGUCGACGUCCAGCAAUAGGGUUUUCCAAUUUUUUCACAGAUGGAUCCAUGUUUCCAAAGUUCUUUUGUUUUUUUUUCUGAUCUGAUAGUUGGUUCUUUAACUAGUUGAAUUAUCUGGUUUUCCGGGGAAAUCGGGUCAAUCCUCAGUUUUGUUCAUUCUCCUCAACCGCUAACUCAGUAUUGAUCAAAUGAUCGGUUCACAGUCGGACCGGCCGGGCUGAUAUGGUUUUGCUAACAUUGAUCUUAGUAGAGCCGACUAGAGGCCAUUCCAACCGAGCCACAAUGGCCUCAUACGAAAAACUCCUAGUUACCCUGAGUUCUUGAUAAUAAAUAAGAAUUGGAGUGCUUGUGCUAUGAUAUCACACUCCAAUUAGUGAAACUCAUUAAGCAUACACACAUUCCUUUCUUUCCAUCAGAAUCACAUAAGCAUUACCCAUCUUUCCAACUCCAAAUUCAAAACUUUGCGGUUGCUAAGUGAGAACCAAUCGCAUCAGUCAUUAGAAUCAUCAAAAUCAACCAGUGAUCAUGUUUAGAGUUACCUCAAAUCCGCCAAGUCCAUUGGCAAUCUCGGAAAUAGUGAAUUUGCAGGCAACCUGCAAAAUGGGCAUAUAUCACCAUGUCGAGGAUUAUGCUUAUACAUAUUAUACCUGUAGGUAAAAUUUACGAUGAAAUUUUCAUAAGAACUGCUCACCUUCGACGGAAUCUACAAUGACCAAGAACAAUUCCAAACAUCCGAGUUGCAAUUUGGAUUAAGACCCACUAAAAGAAAACCGUGUCCAUUAUUACGGAUAAAACCGGCCGUUGUCACUGAUAUUUCCAUGUCCCUGCCUCGUUGUCGCGGGAAAAUCAUCCGCGACAACGGGCGCCUUCAUAAUGAGGGGUGNNNNNNNNNNNNNNNNNNNNNNNNNNNNNNNNNNNNNNNNNNNNNNNNNNNNNNNNNNNNNNNNNNNNNNNNACGGCCGCCUUCAUAAUGAGGGUUGUGGGGACUAAACUAUCCGCGAAAAAUAGGGUUGGCGCGAACCCGUUAUGACCGGUUUGGUUCAAAUAGUUAGGUUGAAAGGCAUUUUAACAAGUUUAUCCGCAAAAACGGCAAGAGAUAUCCGCGACAAUGGCUAACAACAUUUGUUUUGCCGUCAUAACGGUUCCCCUAACGACGUUGAGUUUAUCCACGGCCAAGGUUGACAUUGUUAGUUUCUCCAUCCUACCCGUAAUGGUUGUUGUGCCAAAUACUAGGCCAUAAUAUCUGCGACAACAGCUCAAGUACUGCCUAAAAUUUUGUUAUUUUUGCUUGUUUCGUCCACUGUGGGCGCCUAAAAUAAAAGUUUAUAUAUGCACUAUUCUACACAUAACACAAUAUAUACCAAUAUCAUUAGCAUAACGAUAACACAUAUGAUCAUCCAAGAGUUAAUACUAUAACAUAAUCCAUAGAUCUACUCCAACAUAAUUCCUUGAUUUUUUACCUAACUAAAGUCAUUAGUUCACUAGACUACAUCACUAUCAACCUAGAUAUAACUACACUAGAGACUCGUCAUCCUCAUCCUCGUCAUUAUGACCAAGAUCCUUAUUAGCUCAAGUAUACAAAAGAAGAUAUAUAAAAUUGAAAUUAGGUUAAAACACAUAAAAUUAAGUAACAUGAACUUUAUAACAUAUAAAGAUUACUAAUAAUUUACCCGCCACAUCGUAGUCGUAGUUCUGUUGGAUGUGGUUAUAUUAUAUUAACCGCUACAAUCGUCGUUACGGAUCAUUAUCCGUGUCCGACGAUGACCUAACCGUGACACCCGUUAUCGCGGAUAUUAUCCCCCAUAACUAAUCUACGUCAGACAUCAAAUUUUGUUGUAGUGGCCAAGCUAUUCUUUAAAGCUAGUCAGCCAGUUUUAAUACCCCUAUUUUUUCGAAUAAACAGCUUUACUACUUGAAAUCCAAAUAAGCAUUCCGAUUCUUGAACAUCGCAAUGAAUAAUUUGCACGAUAGAAGUUGAUAUAGUUGACCAAAAACAGCUUUCAAUAAGAGCAGUAUUCUACUGAUAAGUCGUUCGAUUAACCAACUCACGAACUGUAGCAUCAACAUCAAACCUCAUCGGCGUAGAGGUCACAAAAUUACCGGGUACUAACGGAAGCCAUCCGUCUCCCCAAAUUCUAACGGACAUACAAUUUCCCACCCACCACCCAAGGCCACUCCAUACAAAACAUUGAGCACCAAAAAGGCUAUGCCAUAUAAAGCUAAACCCAACUCAGCUUUAAAGACAUAAUAGAAUUUUUAAAAUACUUAGCUUUCAUAAUUCUUACAAUAAGGGAAGAUGCUCUUGAGUGUAAGUUCCAAAGAUGUUUAGCAAGUAAAGUAAUGUUAAAGCCUAAAAAAUCACAUAAUCCCAUCCUAGCUUCGGAUUUCAAACUCAAUAGAUAUUCUUGACAAAAUGAGGGAUGAGCACUGGGUCGGGUCACCCAUCAAAACCCACCCGCCUAUAAUCACUCUCUACCACUACUACCCUUUUCCCCAUCACCAUAAAACUUUGCAUGCUUGUUUGUGUGUUUUUGUAGUUUUUUUGUGUGUUUUAUGUCGCUUUUCAUCGUUUGAGUAGAGAGAGAGAGGGAGAGAGAGAGGGAGAGAGAGAGAGGGAGAGAGAGUAUUUCAAGGGUUGCAUGUCAUACCAAUGAUUAAGAAUGCAUGAUAGAAGGUCUCGAUUCAAAUUAGGGUUCGGUCGGUGUCUGAUCGAAGGACGAAUGAUGCUUGCAUUAUUUUAUUUUUACUGAAAAAUUGGGCUUCUGGAGCAGCCUUUAGAUCAAUCUCAAGGUGUGUGGCUUUGCAUAGUGUGUGUCGUUUCCUUAAGUUUCUCUCGAUAGAAAAUCGAGUUUAUGGCGUGUGAUCCCACAUGCCAUGUGACUGAUUUUUGACAAAACGAACCGACCAAAGAACAACCAAAAACCCAACCGGCUCAAACCGUAAUGAACCAGAUUGAUUUUCAAACCGAUUUUCAACCAAAUCAAACUGAGUUUGACCAGACGCAUUGACCCUUCGUUGACCGGCCGUUGCCCCCGUUGACCGGUCACCAUGGAAGAAAAAACAUGGCAGUUUAGUAGUAUUUUGGGCAUAACAUUUUGCUCGGGAGUCUGAUUGACACAAGGUCAGUGACGUUGGAAACUUGUUCAGUUGCCUACAACUUUGAUGUCAUGAUGUGGCCUAAAUCCAUGCAGUUUGUGCUCAUUUUUCUUGGUUUGGAUUGAUGGAAUUUGAGAAAGUUUGAAUUGUGGUCUUGUUUGGUUUGAUGAUUUGGUGCGAUCGUGAUCAAUUUCUUGAUAGUAUUAUAGUGAUAUGUUCAUUGCAAAUGCUAACGUUUGGGAUGGUUGUCCAAAAUGGAUAAUUCUAGCUUUGCAAUGUGAAGAUUGCUGGAUGUUGAGACGUGAUCACUUUGUCACUCUUGUAUCGAUGGCAUGUUGUUGAUUUUCAUGAGAACUUGGAAUGGCAUCAUGAUGCUUCAAAGUGUGGUUGAACGUAGGUUGUUACUAGGCCUGAGAGUCGGUUAAUUUGGUUACUAACCAUCUGCUUAAUGUUCGGGGAAAAUGAUUUGGAGAUUAAAGUUGGUUAAUCGGUUUAACUGACCGACCAUAUGUAAUGGUUAAAAAGCCGACCAAUAACUGAUAAAUCGGUUAAAUAACCAAUUAUUAACCAACAGAUUAGUCGGUUAAUCCUAUGAACUGACUUUGAUUGAUUGACCGACUAUACCGACUUAACCUAACAAGAUCUGAAUCUCCAUGCUCAUCUCUGCCAUCGAGUGAGCCACGUUCUGCUCAUGAUAACCGUUCGUCCAAGCAUUCAUACUCUACUAAGAAAGCUUGCCAUGGCCGCCACUCUGAACACCGGUCAAAGAACUGAAUACUUGUUCCAAGAUCCGAACUUCCAGAACCGUCUCCAAUCCAUCUUCCCAAUUGUAGUUUGGACAAAGUUUCCUCAUCUGAAUUUUUACUCAAUCACACAACUACAACCUACACGACAACCAUAAUCAAUAGAGUGGAGGGGGAUAGGAUGAAACAGAGGACUGGUUGAAAUUAUAUGGGCCUAUGUUGCAUCCUCAAUAGCUCGUCGUCGCCAAGCCUCACUGAGCCGUCCCCGAGAGAGGAAGAGACGUAGAGUCUAGAGAUCGUGCUUUACUAGUGCUCAACACUCAUGGAGCCGUCACUGAGAGAGGAACAUAAUCCCUAAUGAAUCGUGAAAUCGAGAAUGAACGGGGAUAAGUGAAUAUGUUUGUGUGUGUGUGAGUUUGACCUAAAAAUGGGGGGAUUGGGAAUACGACGUAGACAUUUGGGUUCAGACUUGGGGUUCUUUUGACCGAUUAAUGUUGGUUAACACAAGUUAACUGACGGGUUUUAACCGAUUCACCGUUUAACUGAAGUCAGUUUUUCUCUUUGACCGUCCCCCAACCAACCUGUAGCUCGAUUAAACCUUCCUCUAACUUAUUCGGUCGGUUAAUCAAUUUUAAACGAUUAACCGAAACUGAAUUCCUACCCUUAGUUGUUACUAGGUGCUUUUGUUGCUCCCAAUUGAUGAUUUGUGAUUAUUUCCAUGCUCAUUUAAUUUGCUUCCAUUGCUCAUAUUUUGUCCUACCAUUACCCUUGAUGACUCAUUGGUUACUCACUGUUUUGGUAAAUGGUUCAAAGAAGCAUGAGGCAUAUUACUAGUCCAUUUGUUCCUGUAAUGAUAUAUCUUUGACCUCACCUUUUGGUAUAACUUGAAUGAUGCAUACGUUGUCACUUCAUGCUUUGCAUACACUCUUUAUGCUCGUUCUUGUUCAUUGGACUUGGUCAACAUUUGUGAGGAUUUCUUUGUGGCAAUUGAUGAUAAAUGAGUUAAGGUGGUCCCAUAGCUUUUGCUUACCCUUGUCUUACUAAUUUAUGAAUUAUAGGAUGCUCUUGUUUAGGAUUGCUAGUUAGUCUUGCUUGAGAAUAACUAGUUAUCUUCUUCAUUGGUUUUGCCUUUCUUUUACAUCUUGCCUAUGCCAUGUCUACUUAUGAGCUAUUUAUUGCCUAUCGUUGCCUAAUUCGAUUGGAUGCUUAUUGAGGUGGUUCCUUAGUGGCCGUAGGAUUAUGGGUUGACACCUCUACAUGCUUGAUGUGUAUGAUUAUUCUCCAUUUCGAAAUUUUCAAUGAUACUUUAAAGUCAAAUUUGAAUGCUCUUUACAAAUGUGUCAAUUUUGGCACAGUUUUCAAGGAUUCAUCAUUUAGUGUUUAUAAUUCAUUUUCGUUUUAAAUUUUCGUUUCCCACAUUUACUUUUCAUGUUUUGUUGCUUUUAUUGUUUUAAAUUUUAUUAUUUUUAUUUUAAUAGGCUUACUUUCCUUGUAUAUCCCCAAUUGUAACUUGGUAUCCGUAUUCUCAACUAAAUCAACAAAUGACACCAAAUAACUUAAAAUUGAGAACUAUAAGAGCUCAAAAGAAGGAGAUUUAGCAGAGUCUCUUAUAGGUUUCAAAAAAGCGAGGAAGGAUCUUCAAGUGGAGAGGACCCUUUCUCCUCCCUAACUCCAAUGGCGAACAAAACUCUAGCAUUAGACCACCUAAAGUCAGACGAUAAGCCAUGCAUUCAUCUCGUGGACUUUAUCUUCUAUUGCGACACCAUCAAGCUACACGGUGUUUCUGUUGAGGUUCACAUCGUGUUCCCCUUGAGUUUCAGCAACCAUCCACUCCAAGCACCUUAAAUCAUCCGUCUUAGUUUCUGCUUGUCCCCAAACACCGUACAUCGCAUGUACUUCGUGAUUUUUCCAUUCUUUGAGGCAUUUAGCUCCUCCUUGUACAUCAUACAGUUAUGAAUAAUGCCUCGACGUUGUUGUGUGCCUGAAAUUGAUAAAAAACACAACGCAACAACAUCAAAUGGACCCCAAACGGGUAUGAGACACUAAAUCGAGAUAGAAGUUACAAAUGCACAAAACAUCAUGUCGUGAAUGUUUCGAUCCGCGACACCGAUGGCUUGAAAUAUUUCAGAGUCGCCACCAAUCUGUUGAAGCGGAUUGGACGCUGUCGACAUAACCCAGGUCCUUUUGGACGUGAGUUAGAACAGGUCUGCGGAACAGAGAUCCUGGAUUCGAGAGGCGGUUACGUGCAGGGAAGGAUUAGCACCCCCAUAGCGCCCGUCAAACCGGUACUACUAAAUUUGAUAAGUUAUGUUUUAUUUUCUUAGUUUAGUGGUUUAAUUAUGCUUUAGUUUGGACGCAUAAGGUUAUGUAAAUUUUUUAGAGAAUAUUUUUAUUCAAUUGUAAGUCUUUAUGAGUUCCCACUCUUGUGGAAAUUUUUUUUUAUGUUGAUAAAUAUUUUGAGUUGAACAUUCUUAAUUUAAUUGUUUGGAUUUACGAAUUCCCAUUCUUGUGGAAAUUUUGUUUUACGCUGGUGAAUAUUUUUAAGUUGGUUAUUUUUAAUUUAUAUGUUUGGACUCAAGUCUUACGACUGCCUACGUACCUAAUUCUUUGGGAUCAAAGAUCAUGUAGUUCGUUAUGGAAAAGUUGAUUUGAGGAUUUUUUGUAAUUUUUACUAUUAUAAAAACCACGUUAUCAUGCUCAUUUUUUAUUUGAAAGACAUUUAUUUGGUUAUUUCAAAGUUGGAACUUUAUUUGCCCACUUAUGAUUAAAUGAUAAUUCUACAAAAUUCGAAACUCUUGUCACGGAUACGAAAUUCAUAUAACAUUGCUAUAAUAUCUUUAAAGGAUUAUUAUUAAGGAAAUUUCACAUUUUUUGCCAAUCGAAAAAUUAAUUGGUUUAUAUCAGUUAACUUAAUUUGACAUAAUUAAAAAUGCAUUACAAGACGGUUAACGAACUUACAUUUAAAUAAAUAUGUCACAAGUAUUUUUGGUGAUUUGACAAUUCUAUUGUGGUUAUGUUAAUGUUAAUUAAAAUGAUACGUUGAUUUGAAUAAUUGUAAAGUUUUGAGUUUUUAAGUUUACAACUUUAAGGUAUAAAUAUCAAAUAGGAUUAAAGAAGGUAUGACGUUUAUUCUGUUAUUCUUCCACACUUAUUUCACUUUUAUUCCACUCUUAAUAUGGCCUUAAUGAUAUAUGAAUAUAAUUGAAUCGACUAAAGGCUUGGCCUUUCUAAAUUAAUUGUGCCCAAGCUCGAGCUCGGCCCAACCGAACGAUGAGCCGAACCGGCGGGUAAGAGGAGGGCAGCCCGCGUGCCAAACUGGUCGAACCGGUUAUCCACGGUUCGAUCAGAAAACUCAAAAAGAUGAAAUUGCCCCUAGCGUUCCGUGCGCUGAAGAAGGGUGGCAGGGGAAAUUUUGUAACUUCACCUUAAACCUAAUCGGCCUUAUAAAAGGGCCUCUUAAAUCGAGAAAUGACUCAUUUGCAACUUCCCACUCUCUCUUUAUCAUCCCUCUUUCUAAACCGCCGCCCUUCUCCCCCCCCCCCCCCCCCCCCCCCCCACCCACCUUUAUCACGGAGUGUGCUGUUUUUUUCUAGUUCCUUUCUCUUCUUCUCAGCCGCCCUUUUUUGCCUCCUCUUACCUCUCAGGACCCCUCUUUCUACCUCCGUUUUUUCGAUUUUUCCAGAUUUGGACUUGCAUGUCAUCGGAGGAUACUCCGGUGAGUCCUCCGGCAAAAUGCAAGUCUCGAUCUGUAGAUCUAAUGUUUUAUUUUGGUAUUAAACAAUUUUGGUUAUUUGAGGGUGGUACCGACGGGGGUGGCGGGGAGGUAGAGAAAUGGAAAAAAGAGAAAGUUAGGUAAGUAAGAUUUCUUCCCUAUUCCUUUUGAUUAAUGUCUGGUUAAUUGCUAACGAAGCUAACUACCGGUUUCUUUGAUGACUUUUUUUAUGUCUUUGAAAAUGGGCAUAGUCGACAUGUUUUGGAAAAUGAGAGGAAAAGGAGAAGAUUGCUUUUAGGAGGUAAGACAGCUAAUUUUGAACCCAUUCUAAUUUUUCUAGGUAGAAGUAACAAUUCUAUUUGUUGAUAAGUUGCAUAAGAAACUAGGUUUGUUUUGUUACUGAAGUUGUAGUAGUAGUCUAGGUGUUUUAAAAAGUUUUGUUUGAAAAACUUUAUUUUUUUUACUAUUGUUUAAAUUUUUUUAGCAACAUUGUUUAUUCCAAAAAUCCGUAUUUUAACUCGAUUUUACUAUGAGUUUCAUAGUUCUUUAGGUCUUUGGUGCGAAAAUGAUGAAAGAUGGCUAUAGGUUUCGUUGUUAAUACUUUCCAAUAACUUUUAGUUCAUUUUUGAAGCUUAUUUGAUUGAUUUGUUGGUUGUUUAUUAAAAUGAAUCAUUUAUUUGAUUAGUUGCAACGAAUCAUUGGGUUCAAUAGUAGUUUAGAAGGUUGCUAAGUGAUAUAGCAUAACAAUGUAUAUGUAUGAAUGAUGUGUGAAUGCUUCAGAAUAGGGAUGUUUUGAAUGAUUACCUUCAUUCAAAAUUUCUCUUUUAUCGUAUUUCAGGUGGCGGCGCCUAUCGUGAGUGACGUCAAACCGAUUUGGCGGCUUCUAUGUGUAUGGCGACAAAAGAUGUUGUAAAACUUAUUUUUUUACAGUUUUGUAAUUAUUUCCCGGGACUUUGAACGAGUGAUGUUGGUGUAUUAUUUUUGGGGGUUUUGGGAAGAACUGGGGGACGAAUUUUGAAAACUGUAAGCUCCUCUUUUUGCUGAUUUUUGUCAGUCCAUUUAAAUGCAGAAAGGGCUACAGUCACUUCUUUUAACCAACCACAUCUUGCAAAGUUUUCUGACAAAAAUAAAAGGUGGCAGCUCCCCAAAUAAUAACCGUAACGGGCCCGAUAUUGGGCUUGAAAUAAGGCCUGGAAUCGGGCCCGAAAUCAAAUUGGGUCUAACACAUAAAUAGUUUCGAGAUAAGGGAUUUUGCCGAAUUUCGAGAUAGCGGACUUGAGGUCCACUCAUUUCGGCCGUUUCCGUUUAAAAAGAUCUAAAACAAAAUCGGCUUAGAACAGUCUGUAACAUAAUAAUUACAUCUCGAAAAUAUGCUAUUUGGCUACCAAGUUCUCCCCUAACGUGCACUUUGAUUAAUUUAACUGAAUAAACUUCGCAACAAGUAAAAUCUCGACGCUAAAUCCUUCCUAGAGAUGCUACGACUAUUUAGUGAAAUGACACUGGCGUGCAUUCUUCACUCGAACGAAAUUUGGUUACUACAGUUGUCCCUCUUUGUAUUACUUUCGCUUGGAAGUGGAAAGUGGUACAAAGACAGAAACCAAAUUUCGGACGAGCGCCUGAACUUCUCACGUCAAGUCCACUAGGGUCCAAGGAUCUGCCACAACAUCGGGUAGAAAACAAAAUUUGCAACCUGACCACACAAACAACAUGCAAUGCAUUUCCCUAUGGGUGUUAGGGUGAAUGUACUAGGGACUCAGCUUGACUUAUCUCCCGUUCCAUGGGUUGACUAUACUAGGGACUCAACUCGACUUAUCUCCUGUUCCAAGGUGCAAUCCGCUUUCCCCAGGAUGCUAAGGGUUGAUGUACUAGGGAUUCGACUAGACUUAUUUCCCGUUCCAACGUGCGAUCCGUUUGCCUUAGGACGCUAAGGGUUGAUGUACUAGGGAUUCAGCUUGCUUAGUUCCCGUUCCAUGACUACAAAUGUGUUGAUGAUGAAUGGUUUCGAAAGAGUUUGAGUAAGGCUCCCCCUUUUUGAAAAAAACAUGCAUCUGAUGGCAAUGCUUGAUUGAUAUUUUUCAUCAUUUUCACUCCGACGAGAUUCACUGUUUUGUUUUCUUGUCGCUUAGUUCGCACUACGUGCUAGCGCAAUGGUGUCAACCCUGCUGAUAGCUGGGUAACCUUUAAUGUAUGUGCCCAUUUUUCUUUGUUUUUCCCCCGACGUCUUCAUAUUAUUCCCAUGCCUUGGGAUUUUAAGGAUCUCUUUCCUACUUUGUCUCUACUUCUAGAUAUAAUGGUAAGAUAACGACGACCUUUGUAAAUUUCUUUCUUCGGUUAGGAAUAAGUGGAGAAAUCCUGCCAUCCGGGCUUCUUUUCUUUAACCCUUCCCUUUUACUAAUUUUUUCAUUCUUUCAACGGUUUUCAUUAUUAUUACUAUUAUUUUUCUCCCUUUUGUCUUCACUUUACCGCUAAUUUCAUUUGAAAAGACCUCCUAAUGAUUAAUUAGAGCGAAGGUGUUUGCACGAACGCAUUUGCCUCAAGUUCCUGUGGGGUGUUGUACCUCAUCCAUUUUGUUUGGUGAUGCGUGAACAAUGGUUAGGAGAGUAGUAUUUGAGAAUUCAUGAAGUAUCCAAAACUUAAAGUUGACUUAAAUUAUCACUUUAUUGAUGGAAAACCGAUCACGUAGAUCUCCGUCAGGAACUUUAAGCAUAGUACUUGUUUACUGAAUAAGAGUUAAAUAGGUAAGGGAGCUUGUCUCCGUCCAUGUUUGCCAGUAUUAAUGCCCCCCUGAGAAAGCCCUUUCCCCUACAUAGGGCCCUUCAUAGUUCGGCUUCCACAUUCCUCUUGGGUCCCCUUGUCAAAUGGAAAUCUUCUUCGUUACCAACUCUCCUUCGCGAAAUUCCCGUGUUUCACUUUUUUUUAAAAGAUCUGAUAAAUCUGCACUGAUACAGGCGUUAGUGGUGGAUAGCUGCCAACCUUUUCUCAUCAAUUUAAUUUAACUGGUCGUAUGCCGCUUUUACCUACUCAACUUGUUCUAACUUCGCCUCCAUGAUAACCCUUAGUGAAGGCAUUUCUACGUCCAUGGGAAGCACUGCCUCCAUCCCAUAGACCAAUUGGUAAGACGUCGAUCCCGUUUAGGUUCUUACUGAUGUUCAGUAACCGUGCUGGGUAAAUGGUAGAAUUACGUGCCAAUCGCGGUCGGUAACGACCAUUUUCUGUAUGCUUUUCUUGAGGUUUAUUGUUUGUCAGCUCGACCGCUCCGUUCAUCUUUGGUCGGUAUGGUACCGAGUUGUGGUGCUUAAUCUUAAACUUGUUGCAAAGCUCAUGCAUCAUCUUGUUGUUGAGAUUUUUCGCAUUGUCGAUUAUUAUUCUUUCCAGGAGCCCAUACUAGCAAAUGAUUUCCUUUUGUAUGAACUUUUUGACAACGCUCUUGGUAGUGUUUGCAUAUGACACAACCUCGACCCAUUUCGUGAAAUAGUCGAUGGCUACUAGGAUGAAACGGUGCCCAUUAGAUGCUUUUGGUUCAAUCAUGCCUAUGACCUCAUGAUGCAAAAGGCCAAGGCGAUGCCAUAAUGUGCAACGAUGAUGGAGACACGUAUUUCUCACCGGCAUAAACCUGGCACUUAUGGCAUUUUCUCACGUGUUUUACAUAGUCAGAGUUCAUCUUCGUCCAAUAGUAACCCAUCCUUAAUAUCUUCUUAGCUAGCGCAUGACCACCGACAUGUGUGCCGCAGACUCCCUCAUGGACUUCUUUUAUUGUUCUCUGAGAUUCAGGGGCAGCUACACAUCUUUGCAGCACAAAAUCAUGGCUUAGUCUGUAGAGGGUAGUCCUAUGAACAUAGUAACCCAUCUCCAAUCUCCGUAGAGUCCUUUUAUCAUUUUCAGAUGCCCUAGCUGCGUACUCCCUUUUAUGUAGGUAGGUCUUUAUGUGAUGGUGCCAGGGAUUCCUCAUGCUCUUUUUGGACUCUACCUAGGUAGGCAGGUGCAUUUUUCUUUUUGAUUUUGCUUCAUGGGUUAACCUCGGUCUCGUCCAGUUUGUACAUCGAGGACAAUGUGGCGAGAGCAUCCGCUAUUUGAUUGUCGACUCGCGAGAUGUGCUCAAACUGUAUCGACUCAAAUUUUGCGGCCAUUUCCCCUAUGUAUUUAUGGAAUGGGACAAGCUUAUGACCCCUAGUUUCCCAUUUUCCUUCAACUUGUAUAUUACUAGCGCUGAAUUACCAUAUGCCUUCAAAUUCUUAAUAACCAUUUCGAGGGCUCCUCGGAUCCUGAAAGUGCACGAUUGGCACUCUGUUAUGUUGUUGGUGCAAUCGAAGCAAAUUUUGGCAGUAAUAGGGCACACCCUCCCUUCAGAAGAGACAGAAACGACGCCGACGCCCUGUCCCAAUGAGUUUGAGGCCCCGUCAAACUUCAUCACCAAUGUUUUUUGGACGAAGCCUUCCACUAAUUUCUCAGUGUUCAGUAUAGUUUCAUCCGGAAAUUCCAUUAACAUCGGAUUCGUGUCCGAGAUUGCAUGCUCCGCUAGAUGUUCUGCCACUACACUCCCUUCAAUGGCCUUCCUUCGGAUAUAAACGAUGACGUAUUCUGCCAGCAGCACUUGCCAUUAGCCUAUCCAUCUGGAGAGGGCCAACUUUUCGUGGACAUCCUUGAUAGGGUUCAUUUUUUAUAUUAGGAGCUUCGUGUGAUAUAACAUGUACUAUCUCAGCCUUAUGGCUACCCAUACAAGUGCUCCGCAAGUUUUCUCGAGCGAUGUAUAUCGAGAUUCGUAGUCAUGAACUUCUUGCUGGUGUAAUAUAUUGGCGCGCUCUUUCCUUCCCGAUUCAACAUGUUGGGCCAACAUCGCGCUUACCAAAUUUUCAAAUACCGUGAAGUACAAUAUUAGUGACCUUCUAGAAGUUGGUGGGGCCAGAACCGGAGGGUUUAAUAAACACCCUUUGACUUUCCGAAAGGCAUGAUGACAACCUUCAUCCCACUCGACAUUCCGGUUCUUCUUUAAAAGCUUGAGAAUGGGUUCACACGUUAAGCUCAAAUGCGAUAUGAACCGACUAAUGUAGUUCAAGCGUCCUAAGAAUCCUAGCACCUCUUUAUGCAUUUAGGGAGGAGGUAUGUCAACCAUUGCCUUCACUUUGUCAGGGUCCACUUCAAUCCCCUUUUGGCUAACCACGAAACCGAGCAGCUUCUCCGAGGUGACUCCGAACGUACACUUUUCUGGGUUCAGCCAGAGCUGGUACUUCCCGAGUCGCUCGAGCAAUUUUCAUAGCACAGUUACGUAGUCGUCUUCCUUUUAUAACUUUGCUAUAAUGCCAUCCAGAUAUACCUAUAUUUCUUUGUGUAUCAUGUCAUGAAACAGUGUGACCAUGGCCCGCUGGUAAGUUGCCCUAGCGUUCUUCAGCCCAAAAGACAUAACUUUAUAGCAAAAGGUUCCCCAUAAAGUGAUGAUGGUCUUUUUUUCUCGAUCAUCCGAAACAUCCUGAUAUGGUUGUAUCUUGAGAAACUGUCCAUGAAAGAGAACAUAUUAGUUGACGGUAUUAUCAACGAGGACAUUUAUGCGAGGCAAAUGGAAGUUGUCCUUUGGGCUUGCCCUAUUUAAAUCUCUGUAGUCUACGCACAUUCUCAUUUUUCCAUUCUUCUUAGGCAUAGGGACCAUAUUAGAGAUCCAAUCGGUGUAUUACGCCACCUGUAAGAACCCGAUUUCGUAUUGUUUCUGCACUUCUUCCUUAAGUUUGAGUAUCCAUUCCGGUUUCAUCCGCCAUAACUUUUGCUUUACUGGCUUGCACUCCUCCUUUAUUGGCAAGUGAUGUGUUACUAUUGUUCAUCGAGGCCCAACAUAUCUUGAUAAGACCUUGCGAAAACGUCCUAGAAGUUCUGGAGUAGUUUGACGAGCCUGUUCUUUUCUGCUUGGUCUAAACUGUCCCCUACCUUAACCUGUCGCCGAUUGUCCUCUGUUCCCAAAUUCACGACCUCUACUGACUCGUAGAAAGGUUUCAAGGAUCGCUCUUCUUAUCCUGCCAUCCAAUCUGUUUCUAGGUUAGAACCAUCACUGGCUUCCUCGGUUUCCAUCUCAUAAACUGGGUGGUGAAAGUCAACUUUAGUGUUUCGUACCUCUUCAUUGUUUUCAAACACAUCUGUAACCCUGUUACGUGACGGGAAAUAGAAAAGGGAAAAAGAAGAAAAGCGGAAGUGAAUAAUAUAGACGAUGCACGGAUUGAGACUUAUGAAAACAUGCUUUAUCAAACAUGUGAAAAUGUGAUACAUGCAUUCAGGAUCACUUAAAAAACACUAGGAAGCCCUUGCUUAUUUUAUUUAGUAGUCAUAUUUUAGAGUUAUUACAUCUGCAAUGGCGAAAGUAACUCCAAAGCCUCCCAAUUGCUUAGCUCUUCCUUUGGACGGAGCUGCCGCACCCAUUUUAUUCCGGUCAUAAUUCCCGUACCCAGCAUGCUGAUGAAGAGAUCUGCAAAAUCCGACUGUAACUCUUUGGUGGUCGGAUCAGUGUAGUUUUUCCUCACAUUUAUCUUUCCAGCAUUCUUGCUUGUGAUGUGAGGUAUGAAAGUCAGGCCUUCAUCAUCUUCUGUCCCACUUAACCUGGACACCCUCCUCCUUAUCCGUUCCUUUUGGAUCCUCCUUAUAUCAUCAUCGUUUAGAAUGUAUCGCAAUCCCGCACGGUUCUUAUUUUCUUUGACCUGGAUGGGUUCUUUCAGCACCUCCUGCCAUUAGUAUCAUAGAUUCCAUACUCGAUAUUAAUCUAACCGAUGUCUCGAGACUAAUUAGAGUUAAUUACCAAGUGCAUUAAUAUAGUACAAUGAUUAAUCUGAAAAUUAAUUCCAAAGCGGAUCGACAUUCCGCCCCUCUCUCAAGUGUAGCGGAGACGACGAUAGACCUUGGCGUUUGGGGAUUUAGUCUCACUUUCGUAUCUAAACCAAAUCCCAACAAUAAUCUUACAACUGGAAUUCGACAAUUACAAAAUAAAGCAGUAGCUAUAUGCAAGAGAAAGACAAUAACGAAAUUAAUGAUAGUUCCGCUUAACACAAUCGAAAUUAUGUCGUAUUAACACAUAAUCAAGGUUUCAUCAAUUUCGGACAGACAGCUUAGUUACACAUGGUGAUCAAAUUAAAAACACAGAAAUCAAGAUAAUACAUGAACCUGGAGCUCCAUGCUUCAUGAACGCUCUGCCGUCGUAAAAUUCAGCAAUGUAGGCGGUCCGAACGGAAGUUCCGAAAUGGAUUUCUUCACCUUCGGAGCUCGAAAUUGCAUGCGGUUUGAAGUGGCAUGUUCCUGGGUUGAAGAAGGACGUCUUGGGGCAGAGUAGGAAGGCUUGCGGGUCUGAUAUGGUGUGUGUAUGGUGUGAUUUCGAAGUGGACAUGACUUGCCCUUAUAUAGGCUCGAAAAAUGGCGUAUUAAGGCCUCCGACAUGGGCAUACCAACUCCAUCAUCUGUAUGCAAGCUGUAGCUGUCCCUGGACUGAUGAUGGACGGAUCUACAUGUGCUGGACGUCCUCAACCAUGCCCGGUUAUCCUUCCGGCGAUCGGUUGAGCGGUGGAUUGUAAAACGGGUCGUAACUUCUUCGUUGCAAAUCUGAUUUAGCUCCGGUUUGUAUCGUUGGAUUUUUAAUUCAUCCCUUUAUAAUACGUGACCUGAAAUUUUAUUAAACACACUAGAAGAAAUAUAAAAUUGGACCAUAAAGGUCCAAGGGUUGAAUUUACGGAAUUAAGUGCAAUAUAACUGAUAUCCGUCGAAACUUUUGUUUGCAAUUGAUAUUAUGACUUGAAGUGUAGAAAGUUUAGUGCCAAAUAUUACGGUAUGUUAUGAUGUGAUCAAAAUACCCCACACUUAAACUUUUCUUGUCGUCAAGAAAACUGUAACUUAACCCACACGAAAUACCAAAGAUAGUUACCAUCAUUUAUACAAGGUUUAGGAAAUGUAAUUUUACAAUUUACGAUGCAACAGAGGUUAAAUGCUUGGCCACAUCGGUGAGAUAAAUCUCUAGUUAGAAAUUCACGAGACAGUGCACACCAGAUUAAUCAAGAUUCAAAUGCUAAAAAUAAAAGGGUUAAAUGCAUUUGUUGCAACUAUAAGAUUCAUUUUGCGCUUCCUUACGAAAUUAUGAAAUUUUAUUUCUUUUUUAAAGUUUCAAAAUUUUGAAUAACCCGUAGCCGAGCAAGACUAGUGAGUACUAUACUCAACCUUUUAACACAUUUCAUUCUUCCCACACACACCUCAAUUAAGUCCCGUAUGGGAGGCAUCUAAACUGGCUGCCUAAUUGGCAGGGCAGCUAAUGCAGAGGUGCUAGUCCUCUACCACACGCGUUAAGUUAAUCAUUGAAUUAUUGAGACAAAUUAAAGAAGCAUUUUGAUUUAAACAUUUUUUUAUGGCGAAAGUUGAAUCCAGUUUUGAAUUUGCAGAUUUAAACCAAACAUUUUAAGCAUUUGCAUCAAUUAAUCCGAGAUGUACUAAAUACAAAAAUGAAAGUCUAGUAAAAACAAGUGGUCAUUCCGCAACAACUACCAUGUCACCCAUAAUCGUUACAUUCCCAUUGUCUAUUUUAAUGUGAUCCCUAAAUUGGUAGAUGUGUAACCGCUAGUACUGUUUGUGAGGAGAUUAAAGUAAAGUACGGAUGAAAUGUUGAAAAAAAUUUAAAACACCUCUCGUUACACCAUCACCCAACACUUGAAUUAUACAUUGCCCUCAAUGGACUAUGAAUCUGGGAUAAGAGGGAAACAAGUAUACCGAGAUAUCGAGAAUGACAAUGCCAAAGUAAACUGCUCUAUAAUACCUGUCUGUCGGAUGAUAACGGUAACACAGUGAUAACAAAACAAAACAAAACUCAAAACACAUUUGGCAAAUGCCACAACUAAAAAUCAUACUAAAUCACACCACACAAUGAUGCAGAUCCAAGAUAAAUAUAUUCGAAAAUGUUAAUAUUUUGAAAUACAUCAAAAAGAAGAAGAGAAAAAUACACAUCCUAGAUCGAAAAAUCAAUCAUAACUAUCGGAUCAUAUUCAAAAUUUUGGGCAGAGUCAAGAUGAUUUUAAGGGUCUUGGAUGAUUUUAUUGAAUGAAAUAAGAAACUUGGGUUGUCUCCCGAGGACCACUUUUUUAUCGUCUUUAAGUUAGAAGUUUCCAAGAAAAUUAUUUAAUUAGCCAGGUGAAACACCUCAUGGAUGGUGAGAGAGUCGCUCGCAAGGUAGAGUUUCAACCGAUGACCAAUAACUUUAAACAUACCAUGAUCAGGGCUCGAGAUUUCAACAAUUUCGUAAGGAAGAACUUCAGUCACUGUGAAUGGGCCCAACCAAUGGGAUUUAAUUUUCAUGGAAAGAGGCGAAUCCUAGAAUUAUAUAGGACUAUGUCUCCCGGACGAAAGUGUUUUCCAGGUUUUAACCUUGCGUCAUGAAGACGCUUUGUCUGUUGCUUAUACAAAUUGCCAUUUUAAUAGGCAUGAAGAUGGAAUUCCUCCAGUUCAUGUAUGUGGAACUGAUGGCGAGGUCCAGCGACACUCAUAACAAGGUUUAGAGAUUUAAAGGCCCAUAAUGCCUUAUUCUCUAACUCAACAAGCAGAUGUCAUGCCUUUUCGUAGAAGAGACGGUAAGGGGUAGUGCCGAUAAGAGUUUUAAAAGUGAUAUGCCCAAAGUGCAUCGUCCAACUUUUUUUACCAAUCCUUGCGAGUCCAGGUGACAGUUUUCUCCAAAAUCUACUUAAGUUCUCGGUUCGUUACUUUCGCUUGACCACUAUUAUGUAGGUAGUAACCAGUGGACAGACGAUGAGUGAAACCAAAGCGGCGACACACAUGAUCAAACUGUCCCUGACAGCGGGUUCCUCGAUCGCUGAUGAUAGUGCGAGGUGCUCCAAACCGAGUGAAAAGUAGUUGCACAACUGGCUUAUAAGCUAGCCUCUUCCAUAAGAACUUUGUGGGUAAAAAAAGAGGGAGAGAUGCUUCGAAUAUCAUAGAUUUUCCAAGAAAUGGCCUUAAUAUGCUCUUUUAAAAGGGUGAUGAGACGUCCCUUUUAUUCCGGAAUGAGGGAGGCAAUGAUACUGACUAGAAGCUUCGAGUAAUCCAUCAGAAAAGCAUACUUGAGGUGCUCCGGUAGUGCUUUCAUCUUCAAUAUUGGAGGCUCCUCAUAUGAGGGUUUGACGGGCUCAAUCCUUGAGAGCUUGACAGGAGGUUCAGGAGCAGAGUCUUAGCAAUCUGCUCAAGUUGUUGUACCUCAUCAGAAGCAUCCCAAACACCAAAAUAAAAGGCACAACUCGAGAGGGUCUUAGCAAAUGCCCUCAGAUAAGAAGAAUACUGAUCCAACCUCAAUGGAGUCAGCAGGAUAGUUUCAGUCAUCCUGGACAUGGGCAUAUUUCAUCCUGUCAGCAUGGCGAAAUGUGGCCUUUCCUUGACCUACUUGAAGAGUAAGCUCGCCUUCAUGGACAUCAAUGAUGGUGCGAGCCGUAUUUAAGAAUGGGUGGCCAAGAAUGAGGGAGGCAUCUGAUUCAUUGGUGUCAAUGAUAACAAAGUCCACCGAAAAGACAUAAGGUCCCAUCUGCAUAAGUACAUCUCUCAGGAUUCCACGACAAAUUCGAGUGGACUUGUUAGCCAACAGGAUGGUCAAUUGAGUCGGUGUUGGUUCUCCUAAAUCGAGCUGUUGGGAUAUCUUGCAUGGCAUUAGAUUGAUACUUACCCCAGAGUCAGCCAAAGUCUUAUCCAUGCAGGUGUUGGUGAUAUAGUAACAUAAGGUGAAAGAAUCGUGAUCCUUAUGUUUCUUAGGUAGCUGGUUCAGAAUGGCAGCAUAACAUUCAACAUCAAGAGUAACAGACUGAAUCUCAUCCAAUUUUCUCUUAUUGGUCAGAAUCUCCUUUAGAAAUUUCGAGUACUAGGGCAUUUUGGUAAUUUCCUCAAUAAACAGGAUAAUGCCAUUUGCCGUAAUCAUAAGUUCAAUGAACCUUUUGUAACUGGCACCCAUCAUAUCACUCCUUAGACGAGAAGGAUAAGGAGGUUUUGGUUUGUAGGGUGGUAACUCUGGCUUAGGGGGAGAUGGUUACAGUAGCCUUUGGAUAGGUGGCCGAGGUGGCUUUCUCAUCCUUCUUCUCGACGCUAAAGUCAAUGAUCAGCGUUGGAGGAAUGAUGACAGGUGUGGACUAUGGAAUGGGAGGAUCCUUACUGGUGGUUCCACUCUUGAGGGUGACACCUUCACAAGAUUCCGAAGUGUCAAAUCCUUCAUUAGUAACAAAGAUUGCUUUUGAUUCUUCUUGCAUAGAAUUGUUUUCUGUGUUGCUAGGGAGAGAGCCUUGUGGUCUCUCACUAAGAAUUUUGGAAAGAUUUUUCAAUUUCAAUUCAAUGUUAUGGAAAGUGGUUUGUUGCCCACGGAUAAUCUUUUCCAACCUCUCGAGUCUGGAAACUUCAUCAGACUUGGAUGUAGAAGAGGCUUGAAUAGGCGGUUAUUCAGGCUUUUGCCCAAAACCAGGAGGUCAUUGGUUAUUAGUAUAGUUCCUCGAUUGAUAGCCUUGAUUAAGACGAGAGGCAGAGUUUCCUUGGUUGAAGGUUGAUCUGUAAUAGGCAUGUUCAUCUAAUUUGUGAAUGUUUUGCUGUUGUGACGGUCCUGAGCAUUGGGUAUCAUGGUUGGUUUGGUAAGAGUUUUGGAAAGACUUGGAUUUAACUUGAUUUCAAAAGUUUGAGUUUUAAUUUUGACCAAAAAUUUAUCAAUCUUGUGGGUAACCACCACCCAAAAAGUCAACUUCUUCUGUCUGGUUAAAAACGGUAUCCCCAGAGUAACAGUCAGUAGAAUCACAUCCUUGAUCCCCUCAAGCAACAUAGACAAAGAUUAUUGCCGUCGAAUUCUAUAGGGUCCUGACGUUCAGCUUGCUCACUUUUUGAGAAAGCGCAUGCAGCUGAGAGAGAACGGGAGAAAUAACCGUCCCAAGGGUUUCAUGACGAAUCACAAAGGAUGAAGUGGUAGGCGGGGUGCUAUGAUGCUUCCCAUGUUGCCUAGUCAAAGUAUGACUACACAUAUCACAUCCAGCAGCCAGGUUGAUCAUUUGUGUGCUUUCCCGAUUGAGCCUUCAAUUGAAAAUAUCGGCUUGGUUUCGGUCAUCGAAGCUGUGAUGAGCGCAAGAGCGGAGGAGGGCUUGGAAUCGAUUGCAUGCUUCAUAUAAUUGUUCAUUAUCUCAUUGCAUGCAAUGGAUAAUUCUCUCUUUUAUCUCACCGCGCUUCUAUGGAGGAAAAAAUACCUUGAGAAAGGCUUUAGCGGGACCGUCCCACAUGGUAAAACUCCCUACUGGUUGAGAAACAAGCCAGAUUUUUGCAGCUCCCUUGAGAGAGAAAGGGAAACGCUAGAGGCGAAUGGCAUCAUGGUGCACCUGUUGGAGUUGUAAGGUGUCGCAUAUUUUGAGUAAGUAUUUGAUAUGUUGGGUGGAGUUAUCGUCCUCUUUCCCCAAGAAUUGGACUGUUUGUUGGACCAUGUAGAUCAUAGCGGGUCGCAAUUAAAAAUUGUUGUCUUCGACGUGGGGUCGGGCGAUGGAGGACCCCAGGUUCUAGAGACUUGGUUUGGCAUAAUCGCCAAGUGUCUUCUCUUCAGCCAUGGUGAAGGAUCCUUUGGGGGAAAUGCUUACGUGAUCUUCGCCAGAGUACUCAUCCUUGGAAUCCGUUCUACCGAGAGCCGGAGGUGCAAUUGUAAUUCCUUCAAGGACAUGUUUAGAAAAUUACCAAGUAAUCCGUCGAGUCAUUCAUUUGACCGAAUAGGAGUUUGGAAGAUGGGAGGAGAGAGGGAAGCAGAAUGAAUGAAUUCGUUGAGUUUUAGGUUUUGGAGGUUUGAAGAAGAAGUUUCGAGAGAGUGUUAAAGAAGGUGAGUGGGAAGAUUAUGGAGUACUUUACUUAGAAACGCCGCCUUGUUGCCAAAACCAAAACUUUCAUUUCAGUUCCAAGGAAAGUAGGGGAGUCACUCAGACUACUUAAAUCCCUUUAAACUUUAGGUAGCAUCUCUUUACGAAAGCCAAAAUAAUCCUCUCAUCUUUUUUAAUUCUCCUUUCUUAUGAUUUUAAAUUUUUUCUAUUUUUCUAUUUUUAGUGUUUAAAUUCAUAUAAAUGAUUGGUAGCAGAUUUUUUUAUUUUUUAAUUAUUUAUUUGGAUUUUUUUGUGGAAUAGGAAAGAUUCGGAGAUGAGUGGAAGAUAUGGAAAAGAUUGAGAGUUCAGUUGAGCAAGAUAAAAUAUUGAAUGGCUGAAAUGUAGAGAGAGAAAAGUUGAGUGACCAAGAGGGGAGCAUGGGAAAUAGUAUCUAGAAAAUAAAUAUAAAAUAAUUUAAGAAAAAGUAUUAUUAUUAAAAGUGAAAAUUUAGUAACUGUUUCGUACAAAAGGAACGAGGUCCACGACAACGACGCCAAAAUUUGAUCACCCCCGUAGGCAAGUUUAAAGAUAAACUCGGAAAAACCGAGGUCGUAUUCACGCGGAUUCAUUCCGAGUAUUACUCCUGAAAGUGCGAAGAUGAAAGUCUAAUCGUUGGAAUAGCGGGUAUGAAAGCACACAAAUCGCAAUCGAGUAUAAUGGAUGAGUGAAACCUGUCCGGAAAUGAAUUCACCAAGAAUCAGAGCAAGGAUGGUCAUUGUAACCCUUCUUCCUUGUUGCAGUUUCAUCAUGAUAGGCUACACCUUUUGUUGUUAGAUUAGGGAUGAUGUGGAUGCAAGGAGAAUCCCCUCAUAAUGAGGGAUUGGACAAGAUUUGGAUGAUUUGUGGGCUUGCUUUGGAUGAAUGUAGGGAGAUUGAUGCAUGUACACACUUGAUUAAACUAGGAGUGUAUCAUUGAAUGAGAAAUUGGUAGUAUACGAGGACCUUCCAUACCCAAUUCAUCCAUCUUUUUUUGUAAAUUGCAUUGACGCAUUUAAUCAAACAUUUGGCGUGCAUUUUGGUUCUUUCUUAGUGGACCAAACUAGGUUUAGAUAGAGUCAUUGGGUGUUGAUGUGACCACAUUAGCAUCCUUCAUAGGUGUUUGGGGUGCCUUAUUUCCUUGUGCAUCAUCAUAUUAUUCCGAUUGAACAUCAUUGAAUGCACUUUUGGCUUAUAAGUUGUUUGUGACCACAACAAGUUAUAAGGUCCAUUGGUACUGUUAGAUAUGACCAUGCAUAUAGACUUUAACGAAUAGGAAUGCAUGGAAGCUUGUAUAGUUUGGUACCUAACAUUACACUUUGGUCAUAAAAUACCCAUCACAUAAUCAUAAAAUAUUCAUAACAUUUGGUUUAUGUUUUUCUCGCAACUCUUUUUGUUGGAUUUAAUAAUCACCACCAGGAUGCCGUUUUUAGAGUCUGUUUAAUGUAUGAUGAUAGAAUUAAAUCAUUUGAUUGGUUAUUCCGUACAUUUUUACAGUGCCUGUGAGGGAAGGCACCCAAACCAUUUUCUCAAAUCAGGACCCGACCAUGGAUGCGGCAUUGAAGAGUGCCAUGCCAAAUACAUACCACGCGACGGCGGUGGGGUAUGAUAGGAAUCCUCUGUCGACACACCCUAACUGUGAUGCAUGUCAUCGGGAGGUUUGAAAGCGAGAAGUUCAACACACUUCCCGCAUAUACAUGUUGAGGAGAUGGACUAGAGGAGCCAAAAUUCGGUUUCAUGACAUAGUUAUUACGCGGCUCCUCUCUCAGGAUGGUGAGGAUGGUGAAAGACUUGCUGAAGUUUGUUUCUAUGAUUAGGGUUGUUUAUAGGGUCGAUCAGUUUCAUAAUAUGUUGGAUGUUGUGGUAGAUGGGUUGGCCAUUCAGGUAUGCAGUAAUCAAAGUAUACUUAUUUGUUAUAUUCACCGUACAUGACUUGUAUAUGGUCAUAAUAUACCUAUUAUGAUAGUGGUAUUUCUGUAGGUUGAACAAGCAUUGACCUUGUAUGAUGGACAACAGCCAAGGGAAACUGUGGUGGCAGAUAGAGAUACCACCAGCGUUGCAGUCGCUACGUGUUGUAGUAGUGUGAUCAGGAGAGAGAUUGCAACGAAGUACACCCCGCAGAGCAGACCAAGUAAGAACAACCAGCGUGGGAAACAUAUCACAGAUACGGUCGCAUGAGGCAGUGUAACAAGUUUAGGAAGAUUCGUGCAAAGGAAGUUCAAUCCGAACAAGCAGUCGCAAUGGACGUGGAAAUGGAGGACUUACUCAAUAAUGAUGUUAUACAUCAGUGCAUCGCAUUUUUGCAGGCACAGGAGAGCACCACUGCUACUGGCAACCCCCCUCGAUUGAGAGUGGCCCUUGAUAGGGUAAUCGUUAAUUAUUUAAUGGUCAUUAUGGAGAAAAGCCUACCUGUAACGCUAGCAGAACUGUAGCAUUAUAUAUGUACACUAGUCACGUAGUUAUGUAAGAACAUUGCCAUAUUAUGGGUAGAUCAGUGACAUAUUUUUGGUAAAACAGUACCAUAUUUUGGUAGCACAGUCUUGUAGUGUUGGAAGAAUAGUGGCAUAUUUUGGGAUGUAGAAGAAGACACAUUGUUCGGAAUUAUAAUAUUAUAUGUGGUGCUAGUAUUGACAUAUUCUGCUACAAGGAUUACACCAUGUGGUAGGUCCACUUCAAGGAAUACAACAAGGAUACUACUGUUACCCUAAACAAUAGGCAUAACAUCAAUGUACAAUAGCCAUAACAACGUUACACAUACUUUCUUAGGUUCAAACUGCCAACCAUUGUUCUUCAAAUGGAAAAUGUGACCUUCAUCGCCAUGGCACUCAAAUGGAAGGCCGUCUGGAUGCUCUGAUAUGAUAGUGCGAAUGACGUUCCCUGCUUCCUUGAAAUUGACUUUAGCCUUCCAAAAGGUAUCCUUCCACAUUUCAAUCCGACUGACCAAGUCAACGUGGCUGCUCCUUUUGUCUCCAGAGUGAAUGAUACCUUGGUCCACGAGGCUCCCCUAUCAAUGAUUUCCAUGCAUAAUACAAACACCCACUACUGUACUAGUAUCAACCAGAACUGAAAGUAUACAUAUCAUUUUUCAUAUUCAUGCAACCUUACUUUCCAAUCGUGACAUUCUAGUAAGUCUCUUGUAAAGCUCCCCAUACACAUAAACUAUGCUCUUAAAUAGGGCAUAAUUCAGAAACCAUUUAUAACGAAACCGUAAGAGUAACAUGGUACUAGCAUACCAUACACAUAUCCAUAACAUAACAUAGAUAUCUAACUAGGAGGGUUGGUCGAAGUUCCAGCUUCUAUGAGGAGGUCCACUACCCCUUCAAUUAAAAUAUGGGGAUGAAGUCGACUCCAUUGUGAGAGGACCAGGCGACAGAAGUACUUGAGCAUGUCCUUAAUCAUAACGUUCUCCUCAUCCCACCACUUCGUUUGGUCCGUUGUAAAACAACCAAUGUGUUGCCCCAUAAAACGAAGUGCCAUACAGGCCACACCUGUGAAUGUCAGGCUUUUGUGGCGCAGACACCACCCUCAACUUGAAGUCCUUGAUAUCCACGUGAGUGUUAAGAAGAACAAAUGACCUCGCAUAUUGCAUUAUCUGUGUUCUUGUCGGCUUGUUGUAUGGCUUGGUCUCAAAGUCCUUCUUAUAGAUAAGGCUAUUGAGAAUAACUCUUUCCUUUUUCUCCAUGUCCAACCCAAAGACAUAGAAGUGCUUGAAACUAUUUCCCCUUAUGUUGGGAAGAAGACCGAACACACAAAUAUAAUAUAGUAAUCACAUCAGAUUGUAUAUCAACUGCAUACCACAAAUACAAUACAUACAUAUUUCACGGAACUCAAGCCCUGGAGGUACUUCUUAUUUAAGAAAUCCUUGCAAGUUGGUGGGAAUUUAGAUUGAGUUAGUGAAAACUCAAUCUCAUUUUCAACUUUUGUCCUAGCAGGAGUUUGAAGCCAUAACACAGUCUAACUACACACAUAAAAAAUCACACUUACUAACAAGGAAUAGUCAGAUUAUACUCAUAACACAGUUAAAUUGGCAACAUAACAGAGGCAAAUUGUAUUCAUAACACACACAUAACAUAGAAAGACAGUUAAGUAACUUUGACGAUUCAAACAAUACUUGUAGUAAUUGAAAUAAGCCCAUAUAGUCUUUUUAUUGUGUUGUUGUUAGCCAGUAAAUUGUCAUUAUUGAACUGGUUGCAGAAUGCAUCAAUCAGUUUUGAUGUGCACCUGGUUUGAAUAAUAGACGGUCUCCAACUCAAGCUUCAUGACUUCCAUGCCUUUUUUUCCGGAAAGUCGCAUAUAAUGCAGCUGUUGAUAGGAAACAAUACUGCACUAGUUGUAGCCAUAACACAAAUGUAACACAAACGUAACAAAACGUAACACAAAUGUAACACAAAAAUAAAGGAUAUAUAACAUAGUGAGAAAUGAUAUGUACUCCCUUUCAACACUAGAUAUGGCAUAAGUUACUAUCUUGCUCUCAACUAGUGUUAAUUCAUGUUGAAGUCUAUUUGUGAGAACGAUCUUCAUGCUAGUCUUUUGUCGGUAAUAUGCAAUUGGAAUUGGAUUCUCUGAAUCACCUACCAAGUCCACUACAACUUGUCUCCACCCGGAGUUGCCUUUGUCGAUCCACCCACUAACUCCAAGAUGGCUUCUUUUGCGGUCAUUCUGUUGGUCCACUUCAACUUCCUUCUAUUUUCCUUGGCAACCUGCUCCUCUUCCUUUUCCUUUUCGGCUUCAUUAUCUUCAACCUUCUCUUCUUUCUUUUCUUCAUCCCUAUCAUCUGACUUCUCAUCUUACUUUUCGUCUGCAUUUGCAUCCUCCUCACAGUCACUACCAUCACAAUUUUCACCCUUGUUGUCAUCAUCAUCAUCAUCAUCAUAACCAUCGUCAUCUUCCUCCUCAUCUUCACCAUUGUCUUUAUCAUCAUCAUCACCAUCGUUAUUGUCCAUGAAAUCACCGUAGCUCUCGUCUUCAAACUCAUUACGAAACUCCACGUCAACAACUCCCUUGCCCUUCCCUAGUAAUAGGUUCUGGACAGACGCACUCCUAUCCAGUCACAACUAUAAUUAGCAAGGCAGUUGUCCUGCAUUGCACCUCGAUCGUCGCAACCUCUGCUAACAAUGUUUGCUGCAAUCAUGGUAUGAAGAUGCCUUCAGAUUAACCCAUAUACGAGAUAUAUAACACUUAGGUAAUUCAAAUAUACCACCAUCAGAACAGUACAAUAGUCGUGAAAAGCAGUUCACUGGCACAUAACAGAACAACAACAUAUCUUACGUUUAACGUCCAUAGAACAUUGUAAUAACACCCAUGGAUCAGUUACCUGUUAUGAAGAUGCAAGUUGUACUAUCGCCGUCUACUUGUCCAUUCUAGGGUUCGUUAAUCAUGUUCCCCUAUGCUGAUGCACAUUCACCCCAAAGGUAAGGAAAUCUAGCUCGAGACUUUGUCGAAAAUGUCUUGAGCCUAAGUGGGAGUAAUAGGUUUCAAGCCAGCUACAAGAGACGCCCUCUCACUCAACAUGAAUGACCAGCUGCCGUUAGGAGUACUUAUCCUUCUCAUCAUUUUGAUGACAACAUCGCAUCUUAGUAGGAACAAGUGGGAUGCUCUUUCGGAUCGAUACCAGAAAGAUCAACCAUGUCCAGAAAAUGCAGCUGACACAAACAACCGAGGAUAUCAAGAUUAGACAAUCAACCAACAGUAGUCUGCAUCAACAUAAGAACACUGUACAACUAUUAUAACACAACGAUAGCAUAAAUAUAAUAGCAAUAUAACUUAACAGUAACACUUACCACCAUGAAGUUCAUGUCCCUGCUGGGAUAGGACGCCUUCUGAUUCUUAUAGUAGUCCUCCAGACCUCUUAGCAGAUGAUUUGAGACGUCAGCCGCCCAAUUAGGAUUAGCAAUCUCAAAGUUGUGAAGGUGAAGAUACUUGGAAAACUUCAUUAUAACCCACCGGGUAUUUGUUGGAACAAGCAACGACUCAAGGGCAAGCAACAUGUACAACUUUGUAUAAGCCGUGGGAUCUUUACAAUUCUUCAUUGCAGCUUGGAGUUGAACUAUGUUGAUGUGAUUGUACUUAUUGCUCUUUGUACCGGUCACCCUUUCAAACUGCUUCAAUACCCUUAGCCCGAAAUGUUGGACAUCCACGUCGGCUAGACUUGUAUACAAGGGCAGACCAUAUACAUGGUGCACGACCUCUGACGUUACGCCCAACAGCUGACCAUCCGGGAACUUGAAAAGACCAAGUUCAGGAACAAAGGAUUGGAGGAGGAAUUGAGGAACCUCCUUAUUAAUCAUCUCUAGUUGUAGAUACAACAACCCAUAGAAGCCAGCGUCAUUGAGACAUAGACAGAUGUUAGUACGAUGCGGGUGGUCGUUUUCAAGUAGAUCAUUGGCAGCCACCAACUGUCCAAUUUUGCAACAGAAUGGCUUGCCAUUUCCCUUCUUUUUCUUCAAGCCAAUCUCCCCUAGGGGGCCCUUCUUUACAAUUGGUUGCUUUGUGGCAACUGCCUUUUCGUUAGCACAACCCUUCUUUGUCGGAUUAGUUUUGGCCACCAGACAAUCAAAUAACAUACUCAUAUUCAUAAUGUACCAAUGUCAUUAUGAUUCUCAUAACAACAAGACCAAACAAAGAUCGACAAUCAUACACAGGUACGUGAUCAUAUCAUAGUAAUAUCAUAUACGUAACAUAGGCAUUACGUAAUACUAAGAAAUACAAAUAGAUACACAAUCAUAUCAUAGACAUAAGAUAGGAAUAACAUAGGCAUCUAAUAUGCAUAACAACCAUAAACAGAAAGAUAAAUUGUAUUACACACAUAACAUAGGAACUUCAUACUAGUAAGUAGCAUAAACAAAAUAACAAUCAUAUCAUAGACAUAACGUAUGCACUUCAAAAUUGUAACAAACAUAGGCGGUCCUCAAAUCUCCCUUUUCUUGGGGGUUAACAGACACUAAUGGUGUUUUGUAGUUAGAGUCAGACUCCAAGCUCUAAAAGGAGGACGAUUCUUUCCGUUUCUGUUUCCACUUUUUGUUGCAUGAACCUUUCUGUACCCCACGUUGAGAUUACUGUAGCUCUGUGAGCCAUUUUAAAGAUUGAUGAGGGGAGAUGAGAACUCCUUUGUUAGUCUUCUCUAUAGGAAACUACGAGAAAGGAGGAAAACUUAUUAGAGCCUUAUAAAAUACCCUAAAAACCAAUCAUAUAUAUACGAAGCCUUAAGGAAGGUACAACAUAAAAAAAAAGUUAUCAGGUUUGGUGGUUCUAACCGUCAAUGUAUAGGUGGAUGAGGAUGAAUGUAACUGCUUUGGUGGAUGAGGACGAAGGUAACUACAACUUCACCAAGAGAGAGGCCUACAAACCUGAAGCCACCUUCAAAACUUCCACCCAGUACUUUGGAUCUACUGGCGGAUGAAUUUGAUUCCUCCAUGCAACGGCUUCACCGUCGCCGGUGAGAGGAGAGAGAUUAACAGGAAGAGGGAGACACUGAUGUUGAAGAAAGAGAUGGAGAGAAUGAAGAAAGAGAUGGAAAAGAGGGAGAGAAUGAAGAAAGUGAUGUGAAAGAGGGGUGACAGAAUAGUGAUAUGACCGGUCUGACACAAGGAUUGAAAAAAAUCGCAAAACAUUUUCAAUUUCCCAUUCUCGAUAAUGAAAUUCGAAUCUACGGAUGAAAAAAAGAAUUGAAUAUUAAAUAUAAAUAAAUAAAUUCUCGUUCCCAACCCCUAGAAGAAAGAUAGCCGUCUGAUCGAAGUCAACGAGGAGACGGAUUCCCAGUCGUCAGAUCAAGCUGUCUAGCCGUACAACUUGACUUUCCAUGCCAAUCAUUAACAUUUUUGCCCAACCGAGGCACCCUGUUUGUCUCCAGUUUGAUGAGUUCUUGCCGGUGAACCAAUCAACAAUGAAGAAGCUCCGAUGGAGGGCCCAUAAACUCACUAACAACUAGGUAAGGAUCAUGAAUGUUUUCAUAAGCUUAAUUUAAUAUUUUCUUAAGCUUAACCAGAUCUAUACAACCCUCCAUUGCCAGAUUCAAGUUUCGCCAGAGCCGCCGCCGUCUCUAUUUCUCAAUUUAAUCUCCUUUAUUUUGAAACCAGGUGAGGAGAGUUUCCCCUAAGUUAAUUUGGGGCUUCACAAUGGUUUGAAGUGGGAUUGAUCUCACCUGAGUUGACCUCCAGAACCCGAAUUUUGGAAUAUGGGUUUCGGCUCAUCGGGGAAGACGACUGGAAAACAUGUCAUGACGGUGCCUGAAGUUCCAGUGAUUUCAAUUCAGUCAUUGGACUUCUUGAGGCCAGAUCCGGUCACCUAAAUUUCCUAGAUGGCAAGCGUAAAACAAUACUUUAAAAUGUUAACAAAUUGCUUAAUAACGAGACCUAUAUAUCUGUUGUGACUCUAAACUUUAGGAUUAUGACAUUUGACCCAAAUACAUAAAAGAUAUUUAAGUGUUGAGGGUUAACCCUAAUUGAUCUUGAUAUGCUAUUCAAGGACAUUAAGGAUAAAUACAGGAUUUCUGAACUCGUAAAAGGAUUAAGGAAAAUGGAUUCUUUCGUUAUAAGGGAUCAUUAGUAAAAAGUAAUCAUGAUUUUGGAAAAGCCUAGUUUUUCCUUAUCACUUUAACAAUGGAGAUAAACUACAGAUACUUUGAGUCAUCACUCAGAUCUUUUUAUUUCAAAUCAACUCUGAGCCUAAUACCUAAAUUCCCGUAAUCAGGUUCUCAGAGUCGAAACCACUUUCAAGCGUGGAUCUCGACCUUUUUUUUGGGACCCUCACCACUUCACUUUUCUAGGCAAGUGGUUUAAGGGGGUAAAUUCUUACGUUGCUGUGUUUAGGAAUGAACCUAGAAUUAAAUGAUUACUUGAUCUAUUUGUUACUAUGUGUUUUGUAGUGAGUUAUGAUUGGUCCUAUACUCAUGUUGAUGUUAUGUAUCAUGCUUGCGUGUUACUUCCUGAUUAGUUAUGUUACUAGUAAAUCCUCAUCGUUGCUAAAUUCAUGUUGAUGCCAUGUGUCAUGUUUCCAUGUUUUUUCCUUGAUAUGUUAUGUUUACUUUUAAAUUCUUAUCCUUACCAUAUUCAUGUUGUUACCAUGUGAUAUGUCUUGGUUAUUAUCAUGUUAUGUUAUAAAUCACCUAAACAACAAGUAAGCCUAUGAUAGGCAAUAUAAUAACACGUAUCUCGCUAACUAGACCGCCACCCUCUUAUGUUACCUUCAUGUUUCACGUUUGGGCGGAUGGUAGGAAUCAUGUUUAUGGUUCGAUGAAUACGUACUCCCGGACUCUCACGUUUACAUUUUGGUGGUUUGCUAGUUAAUCAGGAGGCCCCUAGAUGUCAUGUCAAGUAAGCAAGCCAAGUAAAUAAUGUCAAGUAAACCAUGUUAAGUAAAUCAUGAUAAGUGAAUCAUGUCAAGUCUAAUCAUAUGUAAUCCCUAAUAACAUUAUUGUUUGGAUUGCUAACCUAAUGUGAAUGUGUACUCAAGAACUAAAAGCUUAUGUAAAACACUAAUAGUUAAGCACGCAAGACUGACCCCAAACCACUCACCAGGUCAUACUAGAGAUACCGGCAUAGAGACUACCUAAAAGAACUUUAGUGGAUGUUGAGGAUGUCACAUGAGUUAGAGUGAGUGAUUUUGGAGGAUGGACUACCAUGUUUACUCUCUUUCGAGUUUCUAGUACUUGAGACUUGGGUUUUGUUUUUUAUUUUUUCAUACUUGAUUUCAGAUGUUCGGGUUGCUCACUUGUAAGAGCCGAUUUACUUUGGAUUUAUGUGUAGUUUUCAAAAAAGUCUAUACCUUUCUCUUUUGACUAUCUUGAGUCUUGUGAUCUCUCCAAGGAAAUUUGGUAUUUAAAUAAAUGAAAAGGAUUUGUGAAAAUUUGGGUCGUGUCACAUACCACUUCCCCUUGCAACUCCUUUGAUGCCAAUAAACCUAAAAUACUCACAAAAUCACCCAAAAACCAACAUUAAAUGUCCCCAAACGGGCCAAGUGGAUAAAAACACAUAUUUGAGUUAAAGUUCCUAAGAACUACCCAGAAUAGCAUGAUAUGCACGAAAUUUGGCUUAAAAUACGAUAGAUGAAUGCAAUAAAUCAAACACUACAACUAACCCCACACUUAAGCUUUGCUUGUCCUCAAGCAAAAAACUGAUAAAAGCUAUGAUAAACAUCCACAAUUGAAUGACGUUACUAGCAAGGCAAAGCAAACCCAUAUUCCACAAAGUACCCCUAUAUUUCAACACAUGCAAGUAAACCCUUAAAAUCAACCAAUCUAGGAAGUAAGGGUCUCAUCAAAAGUUGUCCAACUUUUCAUACAUCAUCCGCCAUGGUAUACCACCCAUCUAGACUUUCUCUCAAAUGGCACAAUUUAAAAAUGAAGUCAAGAUCAUCUCACUCAAAGUGUUUAGGGAUAGUGUUUGUGAGCUCAUUCCUCAACUCUGACGCAAACUUCAACACUCGCACAUCAACCUACUUUUUAAUCAUUACAUCAUAGAACUUCAAACACUAUUCUAGAGGUCUUUUAUUAAGGAUUGUAAUCUGAAAAAAAGAAUAAGAGGAGAAAUGAAUUUGGUGGUAGGUGUACAUAUUGGCCGACGAUUCAGUCCACUCUAAACAUGGAGCUAAAGCUACUUAAAACAAACAACCACGAUGCAAGGAUUCAAUUUCCAUCAAGAGCUUAAUACUAGCUCCUCUAUCCCUUAAAUAAGCUACUACUCCUUCGAGCUUUUCCAUCAAGAGCUUUAUACUAGCUCCCCUAUCUCUGAAAUAAGCUACUACUACUUCAAGCUUUUCCAUCAACACUUGGCCUCAUGUGCAACAAAAUCCAGAAACUGGGUGAGGAACACGAUUUAGACAACAAAUGUAGCAUCCUCUGAUAAUGCAGAUAAUAUUUCCUUAAGACCUCAUGUUAAGGCAUUAGAAAAGAAGCUAAAUGAUUUUACUUUGAAAGUUUCUAACCCCCUGCUACUUAUGUUUAUACUUGUGCUUGGGGUGAUGUUCCUUACAGCCAGGUAGAAUGUGAUAUUUUCCUCACCAACAAAUUCAUGAUGAUGGAAGAAGUGGAUUUUGUGCGACAGGGCUACCCCUUCAAUCAGCAGGGAUAUCAGGAAUUCAGAGCAAAGAACGCCGAAGGCCGACGAUUCAACUUCACAUACCCUGGAAGGCGUUGUGACUUCUACAAGUGUAGGAUGGAGGAUUACAAUGUCAAAGACAACAUCACUCCCCAAAGACAAAACUCACACCAUUAAGGAAACUCGAGCAACAACUACCAAGGUCCACCAGGAUUUCCAAUCAAGCCAACUAAGCAGCAACAACAACAUAAUUCGGACCCUGCUGGAGGAAUAAAUGAAGACAUCAUCCAGAUGAUGAAAACCAUGCAUGUCUUAAUUAUAGCUCAAAAGCCUGCCAACACAAACUUUAUCCUCACUCCAGAGGAAAUCAAGAAGCAUGUUCGAUUCUAUAUCCAUUGGUAGUCAAGAAGAAGGGGCUUUGAAAGGCAUUUUAGAGAUUUAUAGAGAUCAUCAAGAAGAAGGAGGUUACAUUAACCUUUCUGGAAGCUUUCAUAAAGAUUCUAGCAUAUGCAAAGUUCUUGGUGAUGCUAAACAAGAAGAUAAAUCUUAGUGAUGCCACAGAGGUCUCACUCUAUGAAGAAGGAGCAAUAAUCCAAGUUGGAUCGACAAAGCAAAAAGACCUAGGGAGCUUUACUUUACCAUGCAUGAUUAAGAAUGUUAAAGUCUAGGGAGCUUUAUUUUACCAUGCAUGAUUAAGAAUGUUAAAGUUAGUUAGAGUCUUGCUGAGCUAGGUGCUAGUAUAAAUGUUAUGCCCCAAAGCUUAUAUGAGAAACUAGAUAUAUGUGAACUUAGACAAACUAAGAUAGUUCUUCAACUUGCUGAUAGGUCUUUGGUAAAACCCAGGGUAGUCGUAGAUGAUAUUUCAAUUUGUGUAGGACCUUUUGAAUUUUCUGCUAAUUUUGUUGUUCUAGAUACCCAUGAGAAUGACAGUCAUUGGCUUAGUCCUACGAAGGUUGUACCUAAGAAGGUGGGUUUCAGGACCAUUUUUGUUU
Molecule: long non-coding RNA, 121913 nt
Filed under: Linum usitatissimum (flax)
Lineage: Eukaryota; Viridiplantae; Streptophyta; Magnoliopsida; Malpighiales; Linaceae
Description: long non-coding RNA (LUSI_LNC006001)
Rfam family: Small nucleolar RNA Z122 (bases 69046-69124)
Source: RNAcentral